Molecule: long non-coding RNA, 117320 nt
Filed under: Gossypium barbadense (sea-island cotton)
Lineage: Eukaryota; Viridiplantae; Streptophyta; Magnoliopsida; Malvales; Malvaceae
Description: long non-coding RNA (GBAR_LNC021482)
Rfam family: MIR7486 microRNA precursor family (bases 107763-107849)
Source: RNAcentral
CCUCCUUAGGUUCAAUCCUAGGCUUUUAGGUGAUCCUUCUCAUAACAGAAUAAGCCAGUUAUAGUGGAAGAGGACGCCUACGAUCACCAGCUCGAAUUAGAUUUUAGACUUACGAUUUAAAGGAACCCGGCUCUAGCCAACCGUCACUUUUAUGGGAUCGUCUUACAUUAGAUCGUCACUUCUCAAUGGCGAAUGCCAUGUCAUGUUGUCUCUUGGGCUCAACAACCACCGAUGCAGUAAGCUAACGAACUGAUUGUGCAACCUUCCCAAAACAUACAAACUGGCCACUUUUGCACAAGAUGAAAAGAUCACUUUUGGAAGGACAUGGAUGGAAGCGUCAGUCCUAUAAUGCAAAGAAACGAUGAUUACUCGUUGAGAAGGCUAAAUGCGAAUUCUAAGCCUCAUGAACCUCUUUUUGGGGAAUGUCGACAACCUUUAGCUAGAUGAGUUUAGUGACUCAUGCUUUUUGGGAAAAAAAGAAAUAAGUUUAAUCAAAUGGAAUUUUAUUGAAUAAUAAAAGGAACAAAAGCUAGGGCUUUUUGAAGAGGGAGCUUUUACAAAAAAGAUGAGUGUCAAUUUGUGUCACUCCAUCCCUUAUUUAUAGUACAUGGAAAACUUAGUUUGUUCCUAUUUAAACUCUAAAGGAUAAAUGAAAAUAAAAGCUGAAAUUAAAUCCAAAUAAUAAUCUUAACAAUAAUCCUAAUAAAAUUCAAAUUUAAAUAGUCUUAUGUUUAUAAAUCUCUUCUUUGAAUUUUUGCCCCAAGUCUUCCACACAUUAUAUUUUCGGCACCAGUUCUUUCCUAUUUCGCAUGCUGACCCAUUUUGUCUUCAAAUUCACGCUUUUUGCCCCCAAAUUUCCUUUUGCCUUCAAUUUGGUCCCUACAAGAUAAAAAGCCAUAAAAAGCACAAUUUAGUAGAAUCAUACUCAAAAUAUAUUUGCAAUUAACACAUAAAAGUAUGUCAUUUUAGAGUAUUAUCAUAUUCCCCCUACUUAGCCCAUGCUUGCCCUCAAGUAUGGUUCCUAUCCACUGUGUAAUUUAGAUUUUAUCAUAAAAGAAGUAUCACUCCAAAGUUUUAUAAAAAUUAGGCAUAAUGCAUAUGAAAAAUAAAGGGAAAAUUUAGCUUGCUUUAAGUAAAACUUGAAAAAGUAUCCAACUUAAACACACAAAAAUUAAAUCAUCUUGGAUUAUUUCAUGAAAAUUAGGUAAUUUACUAAACUUACCAAGACACCCUAUUUGUUUCCACCCUUAGUUCCCAAAUGUAAAUCUUUAUUAAUAUUAUUUACUUGUUUUUCCUUCUUUUUUCUUUUCGUUUUUCUUUUCUUAAGAAUAUAUUAAACCUUUUGAAGCGAAGAGAGAUGACAACCAAGUACCCCACACUGGUUAUUCAGCCCAACAUACUCCUAAUUCAUUAUAUUUAUAUAUGUUUUCUUUUCUUAAGAAUAUAUUGAACCUUUUGACGCGAAAAGAGAUGACAACCAAGCACCUCACCCCGGUUACUCAUCCCAACACUUUCUUAAUUUUUUUAUUUAAUUCCUAUUAGCGGAGUUUUACCUAACACGUCACACAAACUUUUGACGCGAAGUAGGAUGACAACCCAAACACCCUACCCCGGUUACUCAGUCAGUCACGUUUUAAGCUGCGCUCAUAACCACGGAGGCAUUAAAAUUUAUUAUUAUCAUGAAACAUAAUUUUAAUUUUGGAGGACUAGGAAAAAAAACAAUCAAGUGCCAAAAAUAAGUUUCGGCAGCUACCUAACAGUCAUGAAAAUAAAUUUAGCAUACAAUUGUAUUAAGUGUCCUCUUUGCAUUAAACUUAAUCGAUUUUACUUAGCUGUGCUUUUUGCAUUCGAUAAAUUUAGACCAUGUUUGAUAUUAUCUAAAGUUGUUGUUUACACUGACCAUUCAACUCUUCAUUAUCUCCUAACUAAAUCAGAUGCAAAACCUUGAAUUAUAAGAUGGAUUUGAUUAUUGCAGGAGUUCGAUUUGGAAAUCCAGGAUAAGAAGGGAGCUGAAAAUCUUGCAACAGAUUACCUUUCCAGACUAGAGAAUUCACAUAUCAAGGAGCUUAAUGAGAAUGAGAUAAAUGACUCGUUCUUUGAGGAAUAACUCUUGGUUAUAACCGAUUUUAAAGCCCUUUGGUUUGCGGAUAUCGCAAAUUACUUAGCUGCUAACAUCUUAUUAAAAAGGUGGACACAUCAUCAAAAGAAGUGAUUCUUUAUCGAUGUGAAAAAUUAUUUUUGGGAGGAUUCUUUUCUUUUUCGUGUAUGUGCAGAUCAAGUAAUUCGGAGGUGUGUUACAAAAUCAGAAGCGAGUAAAAUCUUGGAACACUGCCACUCAGGACCAAUAGGAGGACAUUACAGUGGGACUAGGAUAGCACAUAAAACACUUGAAUCAGGUUUGUAUUGGCCUACACUGUUCAAGGACGCUAAAAAGAAUGUUGCUUAUUGUGAUAGAUGCCAAAGAAUAACUUUACCUACCAACGAUGCUAGAGUGGUAGUUCGAUUUCUUAAGAAGCUCUUUUCUCGAUUUGGAACACCUAAAGCGAUUAUUAGUGAUAGGGGUACGCAUUUUUGUAACGCCAUCAUUUCAUUUUUACCCACUACCAUUUUACUUCAUUUUGCUAAUCACCAUGCCAUGUAUCGUGUUAAAAUAUAUUUAUCCAUUUUACUAUUAUGCCAAAACAUAUUAAAAAAUAUAUUGUUUUAAAAAAGUUACAUUCAUUCUACCUAACGUAUAGGAAAUAUUUAAAACCAAGACAAUGUUCAUUAUUUUUGGGAUUCGAAGAGUCGAGCUUCUAACUUACGGAGCAUGACAUCUUCUUAGAAUCGAAAUAACAAAUAUUCUAUUUAAAAUAAAAACGAGAUUUAAGUAAGGAUCAAAUGGUUAUUAUUCUUGUUUUCGAGGAUUAAAAGCAUCGUGUCCUAACUUACAGGGUAUGAUCUUUUCUUCUCGACUAACUCGAAAUAGGACCUUUUCGUAAAAUUUAGUUUAGUUAAGUGAUUUUAAUUAAAAAGAACAUCAUACAAAGAAGGGUCGUGUUUUAAUUCGAAAUAUCAAUUUUUGACAUCAAAACAUCAAGUAAUCAACUAGGUACCAAUUUUGGGCGUUAUGAGGGUGCUAAUACUUCCUCAUACGUAACUAAUUCCCGAACCAAUUUUCUAGAUUUUUUAGACCGAAAGUUACCGUUUUAGUAAAUCUAACAUUUUAUUAAAAUGAACGAAUUUUGAGGUGAUCUGAUCACACCUAAAUAAAAAAAGAUUGGUGGUGACUCCAUUUUCGUUUUUAAAAUAAAAGUCGAUUUCAAAAAAAGGUUUCGACAAUGGCAAUCCACUGAUGCAUGAUAAAACGUGACUUAAUCAAUGACCAACCGAACAUCAAAUACACAAAGCGGAACAAUGACAAUACUCUCGGACGCUCAAGGCAGUACGCACAAAUAAGAAAUGAUGGAAAACCCUUCACACUACGGCAUGUUGACUAUAUCUGAAGAAUUUCUCACUAGUUUUAUCAGGCAUUUUUAUCAUUUAAUAAAAAUAGCAAUUAAAAUAGAGCUUCACUUAAUCAUCAAAGAAAAAUAGCAUUAAAUCAAUUACUUCGCAAAAUAAAUUUAGAAUGUGAAGAGUCACAAAAUAACUUUAAAAUAUCAAGCAAUUAAAUUAACCACAAUAUAAGGCAAUCGAAAUUCAAAGGUAACAAAUCGAAUUUUCUAACUGUUUAAUGCUUGGAUGCGAGAAAUCCUUGAUGACCUUCAAUUUCAACAAUUCGCCUAACUCUUUCACUUUAAUAAAGAAAAACAUACAAAUUCAUUAAAAACAAUUAUGAGUUAUCAAUUCCAUGGCUAUUAGUGUGGUUUUAAUAUUUAAACAAAAUUUAAUUAUUCUAAGUCAAAUUGAAAAAAAAAAGGUCACGAGAUCUGGGGUGCUCCACACAGCCUGGACACACGGGCGUGUCCUAGGCCGUGUGCAUACUGGAGUUAAUGUUUUUCAAUUCUCUUUCGACACACACGUCAACAGAAAGUUACACGAUUUAAAGAUAUGGUCGUGUGAGACACACAGCCUCUCACACGGGCAUGGGAGAAGCGAAGGAUCAUCGCACACGGGCGUGUCCUAAGCCAUGUGGAUACUGGGCAUAUUUUUAUUUUCUUUUCGAAGAAGCAUACGGGCUAAGGUUACCCACACGGCCUGGUGACACGGCCGUGUGCGGCAUACGGCCUGGACACACGGGCGUGUCGCGGGCCGUGUGAUGCCUGGAGCUUAAUUGUCUUAAAUUUUAAAGUUACACAUGGCCUCAGAGUGCACACGCGGGUGAGAGGCAAAGCCGUGUGGCUCAACACGGGCCCUCUACAUGACCGUGUCCUCUCUUUAAAACUAGGGUUUUGUUUUUUUUUAAAUUUUGUUUUGUCUUCCUCUAGUCACGCCGUGUGCUUCCCCUGUCUCUUGUUUCUUUUAGGCCUUUCAUCGUCCCUUCACCGCCGACCACCUCUGCUGCCAUCCUUCGUCCCCCACCACCAUUCGGCUCCCCUUUUCGUUGUAUUUUAUUUUAUUUAAUACUAUAUUUUUUAUUAUUUCAUUUAUUAUUAUGAUGAUGAUGUUAACUAUGUUUAUGUUUAAUGGUAUUAUGCUAGUUUAUUAUUAUUAUUAUUACUGUGUUGAUUAUGUCUUUUUUUAUUUAUUGUUUUUAUUAUUCCUGUUGUUAGCUUUAGGUUGUUAGUUUAGUAUUGGUUGUUUGUCGUAUUAGGAAUAGGUUUUAGGCAUAGUAGUUAAGUGAUCCGGCUGUCGCCUUGAGAUGAAUUGCGUGCUGAUUUGUGUUAUUUAAUAAUGCCAAUUUUCCAUAACGCAUCAAUACAAAUUCAUAUUUUAAAAUUACCCAAGAAACACAAGAUGGAAAUGCAUUCAGACACAUAAGUGCCCAAGCAAACACUAAACGGUUGAUGAAAACGGUGCAAGCGUCAAUAAUGGCAAUACACCGAUGCGCGAUAAACGUGACUUAAUCAGUGACCAACCGAACAUCAAAUGCGCAAGGCACAACAAUGACAAUACUCCCAGACGCUCAAGGCAGUACGCACAAAUAAGAAAUGAUGGAAACACCCACACUACGACAUGCCGACUAUACCCGAAGAAUUUCUCACUAGUUUUAUCAGGUAUUUCUAUCAUUUAAUAAAAAUAGCAAUUUAAAUAGAGCUUCACUUAACCAUCAAAGAAAAAUAGCAUUAAAUCAAUUACUUUGCAAAAUAAAUUUAGAAUGCAAAGAAUCACAAAAUAAUUUUAAAAUAUCAAGCAAUUAAAUUGACCACAAUAUAAGGCGAUCAAAAUUCAAUGGUCACAAAUCGAAUUUUCUAAGCGUUUAAUGCUUAGAUGCGAGGAAUCCUCGAUGACCUUCACUUUCAACAGUUUGCCUAACUCUUUGGCUUCAAUAGAGAAAAACAUACGAAUUCAUUAGAAACAAUUAUGAGUUAUCAACUCCAUGGCUAUUAGUAUCGUUUUAAUCUUUAAACAAAAUUUAAUUAUUCCAAUUAGUCAAAUUAAUUUGAUUGUAUAUCUAGUUUAAACAUAUUUUCAAUUUAAUCAUUAUUCGAACACUAAUUAUCCUACACCAUGUCUACAUGUAUCAACUCAAAUAAAUUAGCUUUAAUAUAUGCAAAUUAAUCUAAACAUAACUCCGACUGAAUCAAUAUACCGAAUCAAUUUAUAGCAAUUCGAAUUAAAUAAACUUUAAUAUAAGCAAACUAAUGUAAAAUUUCCACCACAUUUACCUUAGCCUCUCACAAUUAAUUAAUCUAAAUUUAAAUAAACUCAAGUUAUCUCCAGCUACACCAAAUUCAAUUUAAUUAUUUAAUUAAUCUAAAUUUAACUCAAAACAAGUUCAAUUUAAUUAUUUCUAUUUAAUUACUAGUACUUUUAGUCCUCAUUGAUAUGAUAUUCCCUACUCACCAUAACUAUACUAUCGUUUGAUAGGUACGCUUGCCUUAGUCGUAUUUAUAGUUAGUUCAGUGAUCAUCAUCCCCUUUCACCGAAAUGGCAAGGCGCGGCUCCGCAGCUUCGUUGACCUUGCCAUGGAUACCUGCCAAUAAAAAGAAACGAGAUAGAUGACAGAGAUACCAGAAACAACCAAAAAACAAAACAAAAAAAAAUGUAAUCGGCUAUAAAAGCUGUAACAUUGAUGUGUAUAUUUUAUGAGAUUUUGAAAUAACAGAGAACAAAGAAAACAAAAGGUAGAUUAUUUUUCUUCUUUUUUUUAUUUAAAAAAACAUAAUAAAUAAAAAAUAUAAGACCCUUUUACCUGACAUUUCACCUUCUACCACCGUAGGAGACCAUUUCCGGCCCCGAAUACCUCAGAGCCCACUAGGGUUCUGCCGAGGGUUCGAUGAGCGUGCAAGGCUGAGAGUUUUUUUUUUCCGCUUCUUUCUGAUUUUUAGAAGGCCUUAGCCUUCAGAUCUGGCUCCUAGGGUGUUAAAUAGGGCUAAAAAUCUUUUUUUUUUGUAACUUCGGCCACCAGAGGCGACAGUCACCGUCACUGAUGACCGGUGGCCAUGGCAGGGAGACGACGACCCUAUGGUCGGACUCAGAGAUGCAUUUAGAGAAACAAAAAAAGGAAAGAAGAGAAUUUUUUUUAAAACACAAGAGAGAAUUGAAAAUUUUCAAAAAACUUUGGCUUAUAUAGUGCCUCGGUGCGACGUCGUUUUGGCCUGGCUUGAGAAGCCCCAAAAUGGCGUCGUUUUAAAGUACGACCCGAAUCUCCCCUAGGAUCUGCAUGUUUUUGCAUAGAGAGGAUAAUUUCUAUUUUGGUCCCUUUGCUUUUUUGCUUUUUUUUAAUUUUUUCCUAUUUCAUCUUUAUUUGUUUUAUUUUUAUCAUUUUAUUUUAUUCUUGUGCAAUUUAGUCCCUUGACCCACUGUUGACCUUCUGAGGGAAGGACACAUUUAAUAUGGGUGGGUUAAUACCCCUUUCGGUCUCUUUUCAUUUUCUCAUUUCAAUUUAGUCCUUUAUAUCCCUUUUUUAUUUAGGCAUCAAAUUUUGUUAGACUUUCAAUUUAGUCCUUAUUCUCCUUUCUUUGUUUAUUUUGCGAUUUAUGCUUUAAGUUUUGCUUAAAUUUCAAUUUAAUCCCUUAUUUGGUUAGCUUUGCCUCUUUAUUUACUACAUCAUUUAUUUAGCACUUAAAAUUUAUGCAUUUUAUUUUUAUUUAUUUAUACAUUUUAUUUUAUCAAUUUACUAUAUCAUUUAUUUAUACAUUUUAUUUUUAUUUUAUCCUUGUUAUUAUUGUUAUUAUUUUAUUUAUUCAUUUAGUACUAUGAUAGUAAUCAUGACAUGAGUAUUGCUAUUACUACUAUAAAUUGAUUUUUUUUAGUAUCAUUAUAGUUGCAUUGAUAUUAUUCACUAGCAUAACAUUUCUUUUGUUUUUAUCUUCUUAUUUAUCUUCAUCUAUUUAUUUAUUCAUUUGUUUAUUUAUCAUUUAAACGUCAUCAUUUCAUUUUUACCCACUACCAUAUUACUUCAUUUUGCUAAUCACCAUGCCAUGUAUCGUGUUAAAAUAUAUUUAUCCAUUUUCUUACUAUGCCUAAACAUAUUAAAAAAUAUAUCGUUUUAAAAAAGUUACAUUCAUUCUACCUAACGUAUAGGAAAUAUUUAAAACCAAGACAAUGUUCAUUAUUUUUGGGAUUCGAAGAGUCGUGCUUCUAACUUACGGAGUAUGGCAUCUUCUUAGAACCAAAAUAAGCGAAUAUCCUAUUUAAAAUAAAAAUGAGAUUUAAGUAAGAAUCAAAUGGUGAUUAUUCUUGUUUUCGAGGACUAAAAGCAUCGUGUCCUAACUUACGGGGCAUGAUCUUUUCUUCUCGACUAACUCGAAAUAGGACCUUUCGUAAAAUUUAAUUUUGUUCAGUGAUUUUAAUUAAAAAGAACAUCAUACAAAGAGGGGUCGUGUUUUAAUUCGAAAUAUCAAUUUUCGACAUCAAAACAUCAAGUAAUCAACUAGGUACCAAUUUUGGGCGUUAUGAGGGUGCUAAUCCUUCCUCAUACGUAACCAACUCCCGAACUUAUUUUUUGGAUUUUGUAGACUGAAGGUUGCCGUUUUAGUAAAUCUAACGUUUUAUUAAAAUGAACGAGUUUUGAGGUGAUCUGAUCACGCCUAAAUAAAAAAAGAUUGGUGGCGGCUCUAUUUUCGUUUUUAAAAUAAAAUUCUAUUUCAAAAAAAGGUUUCGACAAUGACAAUCCACCAAUGCAUGAUAAAACGUGACUUAAUCAAUGACCAACUGAACAUCAAAUACACAAAGUGCAACAAUGACAAUACUCUCGGACACUCAAGGCAGUACGCACAAAUAAGCAAUGAUGGAAAACCCUACACUCUACGGCAUGCCGAUUAUAUCUUAAGAAUUUCUCACUAGUUUUACCAGGCAUUUUUAUCAUUUAAUAAAAAUAGCAAUUUAAAUAGAGCUUCACUUAAUCAUUGAAGAAAAAUAGCACUAAAUCAAUUACUUUGCAAAAUAAAUUUAGAAUGCAAACAGUCACAAAAAUAAUUUUAAAAUAUCAAGCAAUUAAAUUAACCACAAUCUAAAGCAAUCAAAAUUCAAAGGUAACAAAUUGAAUUUUCUAAGCGUUUAAUGCUUGGAUGCGAGAAAUCCUCGAUAACCUUCACUUUCAACAAUUCGUCUAACUUUGUUAGAAUUGUGUGACCCAAAUUCUAAGAGAUUGCUUGCAAGUCAAGUUAAACAAAAAUAUAUUUUCUUUCUAGAAGAUUUAGUAUUUAUUAGUAUAAUAUAUUUAGCAUUUAUUAGUAUAGUUUAUUUGACUUACUAAUUUAGCCUAUAAAUAGGCUCCUUUACAAUCUUAGAAUUAAGAGACACCCAUUAGAUUAGAACUCAUAACACAUUCAGAGAAUUUUGUGUUUACGUUUGAGGGUUCUUUAUUUUUCGGGUUUUCGGGGUUUAGUUUUUAUCUCCAUCUUUUGUACUCUUCAUUCUUUUGCCAUUAUAGUAAAAUUAUCUUUGCCCGUGGUUUUUUAUCCUCUUUUGAGGGGUUUUUCCACGUUAAAUUUGUGUGUUCAUCUUCUCAAUUUCUUCUACUAUUUUUACUUGUUCGUUGCUUAUUCGGGACGAUCCUAACAAGUGGUAUCAGAGCUAGUUUAACUUUCAUAGAUCAGCCCGGUCAGAGAUGGCAGCAACAAGGUUUGAAAUUGAGAAGUUCGAUGGUGAGACAAAUUUCAAUAUGUGGCAAGUUCGGAUGAUGGCAAUUCUAGUUCAAAAUGGCUUGAAAAAGGUUGUUACAGGGAAAAAGCCUGAGAAUCUAAAUCAAACAGAAUGGGAAGAGCUUGAUGAAAAGGCCUUGUCUGCAAUCUAGUUGUGCCUCGCGAAUACAGUAUUGCAGGAGGUAUUGAUGGAGAAGACCUCAUUCGCCUUGUGGAAAAGGUUAGAAACUCUUUAUGCGACUAAGUCUCUGGCUAACCGUUUAGUGUUGAAACAACGUCUAUUUACGUUUCGCAUGAACGAAGGUGAGCUUCUUAAAGAUCACAUCAGUCAAUUCAUUACUCUUUUAAAUGAUUUAAAGAACGUUGAGGUUCAUAUUGACGAUGAAGAUCAAGCUAUGCUAUUAUUGUGCUCUUUACCCUCUUCAUACAAGUCUUUCAGGGAGACCCUGAUUUAUGGCAGAGACAAACUCUCGUUCAAAGAUGUGAAGAGUCAUUUGUUGAGUAGAGACAAACUCGAUAAUGAGUUUGAUUUGAAUAGCAAAGCAGAUAGACAAGCUUCCGUUUUGGUAGCAUCAAAGAAACGAGACAAAAGGUGUCGCUAUUGCAAAAAGUUAGGUCACGUCAAAGCAGAUUGUUAUAAACUGCGAAAUAAAAGAGCUGCUGAGAGUAACGAGGAAGAUGUAGCUGGUGCUAAUUUGGUCGAUGAAGGCGGUGAUGAUUUCUUGUUAGUGUCAACGAGCGAUAACUCCAAGCUUACGUCUGAGUGGAUCCUAGAUUCAGGAUGUUCUUUCCACAUGUGUCCCAAUAGAGAAUGGUUCUCCACAUACAGUUCAGUUGAAGGUGGAGUUGUGCACAUGGGAAACGAUUCAUCUAGUAAAAUAAUCAGUAUUGGUACUGUUAAAAUUAGGAUACACAAUGGGACGAUUAGGACACUCUCAGAUGUCAGGUAUGUACCUGAUUUACGAAAGAAUCUCAUCUCCUUGAAUAUUUUAGACUUGAAAGGAUGCAGAAUCAACAUCGAGUCGAGCAACAUUAAAGUAUCUCGUGGAGCUCUCGUUUUGUUAAAAGGUAAAAGAACCGGCAGUCUUUAUAUUCUGGAAGGUUCUACAGUGACCGAUGAAAUCGGACGUCCCUCGUCCAUUACGGAGUCAAAGUCAACUCAUUUGAAGCGGAGGCAACUUGGUCAUAGGAGGGAAAAAGGUAUGACCGUUUCGUUGAAGAGAGGUUCUCUUUUGGAUGCAGGUUUUGAAAAGUUAGGGCACUGUAUUCGUGAAAAUCAGACCCGGGUUAGUUUUGAUUUGGCAGUGCACAAGUCGAAGGCUAGAAGUCUUCCAGCUUCUAAGCAUAGAUUCGACUCAGUUAAUUCCCUGCAUAGUUCAAGAUAGGCCCAUGGCGGGUUUUGGCAAAGAUGGCAUUGAAAGAAUUCGUGUCAAGGUGGAGAUUGUUAGAAUUGUGUGACCCAAAUUCUAAGAGAUUGCUUGCAAGUCAAGUUAAACAAAAAUAUAUUUUCUUUCUAGAAGAUUUAGUAUUUAUUAGUAUAAUAUAUUUAGCAUUUAUUAGUAUAGUUUAUUUGACUUACUAAUUUAGCCUAUAAAUAGGCUCCUUUACAAUCUUAGAAUUAAGAGACACCCAUUAGAUUAGAACUCAUAACACAUUCAGAGAAUUUUGUGUUUACGUUUGAGGGUUCUUUGUUUUUCGGGUUUUCGGGGUUUAGUUUUUAUCUCCAUCUUUUGUACUCUUCAUUCUUUUGCCAUUAUAGUAAAAUUAUCUUUGCACGUGGUUUUUUAUCCUCUUUUGAGGGGUUUUUCCACGUUAAAUUUGUGUGUUCAUCUUCUCAAUUUCUUCUACUAUUUUUACUUGUUCGUUGCUUAUUCGGGACGAUACUAACAAACUUUUUCGCUUCAAUAUAGAAAAGCAUAAGAAUUCAUUAAAAACAAUUAUGAGUUAUCAAUUCCAUGGCUAUUAGUGAGGUUUUAAUAUUUAAACAAAAUUUAAUUAUUCUAAGUCAAAUUGAAAAAAACGAAAGGGCCAUACGGUCUGGGGUGCUUCACACGGCCUGGACACACGGACGCGUUCUAGGCCGUGUGUAUACUGGAGCUAAUGUUUUUCAAUGCUCUUUCGACACACACAACAAUAGAAAGUUACAUGAUUUAGAGACAUGGUCGUGUAAGAUACACAACCUCUCACACGAGCAUGGGAGAAGUGAAGGAUCAUCGCACACGGGUGUGUCCUAAGCCGUGUGGAUACUGAGCAUAUUUUUAUUUUCUUUUCGAAGAAGCACACAGGCUAAGGUGACCCACAGGGCCGUGUGUGGCACACGUCCUGGACACACGGGCGUGUCACGGGCCGUGUGAUACCUGAAGCUUAAUUGUCUUAAAUUUUGAAGUUACACAUGGGACUUCUAUUUUAUUUUAUUUGGGUUUUCCAAUUUUAUUAUAAGUUGAAAAACAAUCUGAGAAUCCUUGUAGGUAUAGGAAAACUUAAUUUUCAAACUCCAAAAGAAAUAGGAAUUCUCAUGUUGAUGAGAAUUGAUAUGAUCUAAGUCGGUUUAUUUCACUUUUUAUAGAGCUUCUGCUUCUUCUUCUUCUCUGCUCUUUUCACUGCAUUGUACGUACUCGAGAAAAGAAGAAACGAUGGGUUUAAAGGAAAAUGAUGAAGAUCGGAGUCCCUUCCAGUGCUUGCUAGAUGCGGCUGCCUUGGUAGAGAGGCUGGACGAAGAAACGAUGAGACUGAAACUGAAACAAGGGUUGAGCAAAAUUGACGACAACAACUCGUCUGGCGUUGAUAACCAACCCACAAACUCUACAACUGUGAGAAUAUUUGGAACUAAUAUUAUAAUUGCUGCCAUUGACGAAGACGUGAUUACGAACCAGCCUCCAGCUGGUUCUUCAAAGAAACGAAAAGAAAUGGUUGAGUCAAGUAGAGCAAAGAAGCCGAUGCCGAAACAGCAAAGGAAAAAGCACAAGCACAAGGCUACUUUUGGGGCUGAACCCUGUUUGCCCCAAAGGUUGAAAGAGAUGAUCAAAUGCAUGGAUGGAAGCGAGGAGAAACUAAUUAUACAGAAGGCACUCUACAAAACUGAUUUGAGCAAGCACCACGGACGUCUCUCCAUACCCAUGAAUCAAGUCGAGGUCGAGUUUCUUACAGAUGAAGAGCUGAAACAAAGCAGCAAGGAGGGGAUAGAAGCAUUGGUGAUUGAGCCAUGUUUGAAAACCAGGGACAUGAGUUUGAGAAUAUGGGACAUGCCAAAGCCAACAGGCCGUUUCAGCUCCCUCUACGUCUUAGUAACUGGGUGGAAAUCAGUGGUAGAAGGUAAUGACUUGAAGGAAGGUGAUGUGAUUCAAGUGUGGUCAUUUCGGGUCAAUUCCAAACUAUGUUUUGCACUCGUAAUUGUUCCUUGAACAAGGAAGACGAAGCUAGAUUUCAGAUUGGACUGGAGUUGUUCCAAAAUCAAGGCGGUUGUAAUUUUAUUUGCCAUUAUUUCUUAAUUUUUAGAAUUUCUUGUAUUGGAAACAUCUAUCAAUCCAUGCAACUCUUCUCUUUUUUAUCUUUAUUUUUUCAAUCUAAUUUACCUAGAAAUAUACUGCUGCAGUAUAAAACAAAAUAUUUCUUUAACAAUAUUUGGCAUGUAAAAUGUGUUGAUUUAGGGAUGUAUAGGCAUAUGUCUCGUUAUUUUGUACAUGAUACAAAUAGGAAAUAUAUAUUCAUAUGUAAUUCAGUGGCACAACACAAAGAUAAUUCAAUGUCCCUUUGUACGCCGUCCCAAUCGUUGAAGAAUCAAUUAGGUUGCUGAAAUCUUGGCAGGCUGUUGAUCUCUUCAGCUCUGGUACACCUGAAAUGCCAUUUUGCUGCAGAUAUCAAUAGAUAACUACUAAUAUUUUUAAGUUUUAUGAAAUUAAGGAACAGGAACUCCUACUCUUUAUUUGGAACUUUUAGGAUAUUUACACUUGAAAGUUCAAAUCUGCAAACUAAACAUAAUGUAUCUGAACAAGAGAUUGAAUAUCGAAAGAUGAACCAUUUUUUUGUGGAUCAUUUCUCAUGCAUACACAUCCAAACAUCCGUAGUCAGGAAGGGCACAUAUAUAACAGAUAGACAAAUGACUAUCAUUGGAUUUUCUUGCAAUCAAGAUAUCAGGAAGCACUACAAAGCUCAAUGAUACUUGAGGCCAGUGGUCAUAGCCGAUACAGUGCCAUUGCUGCUUCAGCAUCUUCAGCUUUUUUUUCUUUUUCUUUUUCUUUUUUUUUUUGUCUUUUAGAGGUUAACGAUUGUUGGCUUUUAAGAUCCCAUGGAUUGGAUCUAUGGCUUGGGAGAUGAUCCUCAGAUUCAUAAUACAAGAGCUUGCUUUAUCCAGGCUAACAACGCUGUGCAAUGGUGUCUUUUGUUUGGUCAAAUUAUGUAGAUGGCCUUGUACUAUUGCAUUUUCUGUAGUAUAAUAUGAUGUUUUGAGGGGAAAAUUAGGCGAAUAUGCCAAUUUUCGAAAAAAAAAAAAAAGGAGUUGGGCCAAUUUUUUAGAAAAUUUGGGAUACACGCCGAUUUCACAGAGCGACGUUGCCACGUAACCAAACCAGAACUCUAGAUCGUCUUUUGCCUCAUUGUCGUUGGUGGUUUGCGAAGCCAUGACUUGAGCAAGUCGUUGACCUAUGGCUUUUGCGGCAGCGUUUUUAAGAAACCAUUGGUUUCACUAUGUUAAACACGCGGUUGAGGAUGUGUUGAAGAUGAUGAUCUCGUUUCACCAAAUCUUGAACACAUUGGUGAUCAAGUUGUAUUUCAUUUUAGUUCAACACUAAUUAUUCUACACCAUCUCUACUUGUAUCGACUCAAAUAAAUUAGCUUUAAUAUAUGCAAAUUAACCUAAACAUAAUUCAAAUUAAAUUAAUUUAUUAAAUCAAUUUGCAGUGAUUCGAAUUAAAUAAACUUUAAUAUAAGUAAAUUAAUGUAAAAAUUCCACCACAUUUAUCUUAGCCUCUCACAAUUAAUUAAUCUAAAUUUAACUCAAACCAAGUUAUCUUCAACUACACUAAAUUCAAUUUAAUUAUUUCUAUUUAGCCCAAUUAUUAUCGAUAGUAGACCUGUCCAUGGGCCAGGCGGCCCGGCCCGGCCCGAAGGCCCGCCCGAAAUAUGGGAGGGUUUGGAUAAAAAUAUAGGCUCGAAAUAUGAGCUUGGGCAAAAUUUUAGGCCCGUUUAGAAAACGGGCCGGGCCUCGGGCACAAUUUUUUUGGCCCGGCCCGGCCCGAAAAUAUAUUAAAUAAUAUAUAUUUUUAUUUUUAAAAUAUAAUAAUUUUUUAUUUUAAUACUUUACUUUCAUUAUAAAAGAAAUAAAGUGUUAUAAAAGAAAUAUGAUAGUUUAGUGUUUCUAUUUUCAAUAAAAGAGGGAUAAGAAAACAAUAAAUCUAACUUCAUUAGCUCUUGAUUCUUAUUCAGUGAUAUAUACAUUGUUGGUAUAUACAAUGACAUUCUUUAAAGCAUGUAGGUGCAUUGAAGUCGUGUAAUUUCCAUUUCAUUUCACCACUUAAAAUAAAGUGUUAUUUCUUGUCUCAUGACUUAUGUCUCACAUACUUCCAUUACUUGCAGUGUAGGGUUUGAUGAAAAUUGAAAAUCUAAUUGAAUUCAUGUAUGCCCAUGAUCAUAAACUGACAAUUCUUCUUAACUUGUGCACAUGGUAGGUGCAUUUUAAAAUUUUAAGGUGAUAUGAUAUGUUGGAAGAAUACCUUUACCAGUAUAAAUUAUUUGUAAAAUUUAAAAUUUAGCAUAUAUAUCUUAAAAGUGUGAUGUAGACAUCUUGGGCCAUUAGUUUCAAGGAUCAAUUAUCAACCUUGGAUAGAAAUAUCAAAAUAGAAAUAGAAAUGGAAUAAAUAAACCCAUGUAUUGUAUAUGUUUAAUAAUACAUAUUAAAUGUCAAUUCAUUAUAAAAGAAAUCUGUUUAACAGAUUUCCAUUAGUUAUUAUUUUAACAGAAAUCUGUUACAAAAUAAAAAUAAUAAAACAUUAAGAUCAAAUGUUAGAUUUACUAGUUAGAUUUUGUUAUAAUAAUUAAUACAAUUAAUACAAUUAACAAUUAAUACAAUUAAUAAUUUGAUAAUUUUAUUAAUCAAAUGUUAGAUUUUAUUACAAUAAUUAAUACAAUUAACAAUUAAUAAUUUGAUAAUUUUACUAACAAGUAACAACUAAUCUUAAUAACAAUUAGUUUUAAUUUUAUUAAAAAAAAUAAUUUUAAUUUUAAUUUUAAUUAAAAACUGGCCGGGCCGGGCCGGACUCGGGCCUCUUAUUUUUUCCUCGGGCCGGGCCUGGGCAAAAUCUCAAGCCCAUAUUUCGGGCCGGGCCGGGCCCGGGCCUAGUAAACGGGCUGAAAUUUUUUAUGGGUCCAGCCCGAACCCGGCCCGGCCCGGCCCAUGGACACCUCUAAUCGAUAGGCUUAUACCAAUUUAUCUAAAUUGUCAAAUUAAAAGUUAGACUAAUAUAAAAUUAAGCUACAUGAAUUCUAGUUACUCUUAACUUAAAAACAAUCCAAGUUAAUCUAGUCAAUUAAUUCUAAACAAAUUUUAGCUAUUUAAUUAAUUUUAACAAUCUUCUGAUACAUCAAAUUUUAAUCAAAUUAACUAAUCAAACAGAGCUUCAUAACUCCACCACUAACCAGUUAAUCCGAAACAAGAAUUAACCUUAAAUCUAGUAGCGAGUCACAAUAACAUUAAAAAUUGCAGCAACCAAACCGAUUUUAAUGGCCCCUUACUUGAAACGACUAACAACAACAAUAUAUAGGAGUAAUGAUCGGCAAUUGGCAGCAUCUUAGAGCAGCAAUUUUGGAGAUAAUUAACCGCAAUAACUGAGGUGGUGAAGGCAGCAAAAUUAAUGAAAUACCAAGCAAAAAUGGCAGCAACUUGAAGCACGACACAGAAGCAAAAUGGAGGCGAUAAGCAGCAUGUCGACUCAGUAAAAUUGGGGCACCAAACGGAAACAAAGAUCAAGCGAAAGAGCAUUGAAGGAAAGCAGCUUACUGGAUUGCAUAAAGAGCUGCUAUUUUGGUGAAAUUACAGCAGAGGUUUCGAUUUUUGCAGUAGCAAAUUUCCUAAUUCGUACAAUUCCACAAAGUUAUUUUUAAUAGCAAAUUGCAACUUUUUUUCAAUUUCAAUAAACAAAAUCUUUAAUUCAUUUUAAACAUUUCGAGUAUAACAUAACUAGCUUUAGAAACAAUCUAAAUAUUUCAUAUAACAUUUCACAGUAAACAUCAUUAACAAUUAAUAAAUUUCCUAGAACACAUCAAUAAAAAUUCAUAUGUUAAAAUUAUCCGAGUAACACAAGAUGGAUAUACAUUCAGACACACAAGUGCCCAAGCAAACACUAAAUGGUCGAAGCAAAUGGUGCUAGCGUCAAUAAUGACAAUCCACCGAUGCGUGAUAAAACAUGACUUAAUCAAUGACCAACCAAACAUCAAAUACGCAAAGCGCAACAAUGACAAUACUCUCGGACGCUCAAGGCAGUAUGCACAAAUAAGCAAUGAUGGAAAACCCUUCACUCUACGGCAUGCCGACUAUAUCUCAAGAAUUUCUCACUAGUUUUAUUAGACAUUUUUAUCAUUUAAUAAAAAUAGCAAUUUAAUUAGAGCUUCACUUAAUCAUCGAAGAAAAAUAGCAUUAAAUCAAUUACUUUGCAAAAUAAAUUUAGAAUGCAAAGAGUCACAAAAUAAUUUUAGAACUGAAGUUGGUAACGGAGGGUCGGCUGGUAACGAUAAACGCUGAAGAGAAUAUCAUUGCAUCCGUAACUAGUGACGCACCAUACAUAGGAGCGGAUGACGAGGCAAUAGAAUGUUCUUUUCGAUCAUCGGAAUUUGUUAAUGCAACUUUCAUUGUUGAAGAAAAUAAGAUCCCAGUGCCAAAAAUAUCCAAAACCACGAGGAUGGGUCUACAGUUGACGGUUGAGAAAUGAGCCUUGCCUGGAUGAGGACUCGAAAAAUAUCUUCAAGGAAUAGUCGAUGCACCAACGCUGAUGGACAAACAAGACAGCUUUGGCUUAGGGUACAAGCCAGAUGCGAGACUGAAGAAGAAGGAAAUGGAAAAGAAGCAAGAAAGAAUAAGAACACGACUAAGUGCAGGAGAGGUCAAAUGGGAACUGAUGAUCUUCCCCAUAUAUCUAAAACAUUCGUGUCAGGAGAAAUCAUUUAUUCUGAACAAAAAAUGGUAGAAAAAGAGAGCCCGUUAACCAAAACUGCGGAAGGAAUGUUGGGAAACUUGAGCAUCAAUGUCAUAUCCGAAGAAAGAAUUGGGGAAGAAAGCCUAUCAGACAUUUUCCUUAUAUCCCUGGAAGUGUUCUGAACAAUUGGACUACAAAAGAGAUCCCUGUAAUUUUUAGAACUACUUCAGAGUAAUGUUCAAAACACACUUAUUUCUCUAAGCCUGGGAGCAAUAAGAAUCCUUUUGUGAAAAAUGCAUAUGUCCACUAUUUUUAUUUCAAUAAAAUAAUAUUCUUCUUUUUUUUUCAUUUCAUUCAUACUCAUACCACACAGAUAACUAUUCUUAAAUUUAUUUGCUCAUUGGGUCUUCUUUUGUUCCUAUAACAGGUCUCCGGAUAUCAAUGAUACGAGUGACAUUACUGCUGACUCAGAGUCUCCUUUUGAGCAGGAUAUGUGUCCAGAGGAACCUCAGGACUUUGAAGAUGAUCAAAAUUGUAACUUAUCUCCUGAUUUGUUAAGGAUGAUAGAAUAAGAUGAGAAACAUAUCCUACAUCACAAAAAGUCAAUGGAAAUUGUGAGCUUAGGAGACAAACAAUAAAAGAAAAAGGUGAAGAUCGGAGCUUGCAUCACUGUAGAGAUAAAGCGAGACCUCAUUGAGUUACUCCAAGAAUUCAAAGAUGUCUUUGCAUGGUCGUAUCAAGACAUGCCUGGUCUAAGUACUAAUAUCAUGGUACAUCGGCUUCCCAUAAAGGAAGAAUGCAAGCCGGUUCAACAGAAACUUUGAAAGAUGAUACUUGACGUCCUGUUGAAAAUAAAAGAAGAGGUCAAGAAACAAUUCGACGUUGGUUUCCUACAAGUGGUUAAAUACCUGGAGUGGGUAGCCAAUAUAGUCCCCGUCCCUAAGAAAGACGGGAAAGUACGAAUGUGUGUAGACUACAGGGGUUUAAACAAAGCCAGCCCAAAGGACAAUUUCUCUUUGCCUCACAUUGAUUCCUUAGUGGACAUCACGGUAGGUUAUUCACUAUUCUCCUUAAUGGAUGGCUUCUCUGGAUACAGCCAGAUAAAUAUACAUCUUGAUGACAUGGAAAAGACCAUAUUCGUAAUAAUGUGGGGAACAUUUUGCUAUAAAGUGAUGCCAUUCGGACUAAAAGAUACGAUAGCAACAUAUUAAAGAGUCAUGGUAACUUUGUUUCAUGAUAUGAUGCACAAAGAAAUCGAGGUUUUUGUUGAUGAUAUGAUUGCAAAGUCCCAAACAUAAAAGGAGCAUGUGAAAGUCUUGAGGAGAUUGUUUUUAAGGUUGAGAAAAUUCCAGCUAAAGUUGAAUCCAGCAAAAUGUACUUCCGAGGCGACGUCAGGAAAAUUACUAGGAUUUGUAGUCAGCAAGAAAGAGAUCGAGAUCGAACUGGAUAAAGUCAAGGCUAUACAGGAGUUGCCUCUGUCGCGCACUCAAAAGGAGGUCUAAGGUUUCUUAGGCAGAUUAAAUUAUAUCACCCGAUUCAUUUCACAACUAACCGAAAAAAUGUGACCCUAUAUUCCACUUCCUUAAGAAACAUAAUCCAAGUGUAUGGGAUGAGGAAUGCCAGAAGACCUUUGACAAGGUCAAACAUUACUUGUCCAAUGCCCCAGUGCUGAUGCCACCUAGCUCAAGUAAGCCACUGGUACUGUACUUGGCAGUAUUUGGGAAUUCUAUGGGAUGUGUGCUUGGCCAACAUGAUGAGUCAGGAAGGAAAGAAAUAGUGAUAUAUUACCUUAGUAGGAAAUUUACUGAAUGUGAGAUAAGAUACUUGCCAAUUGAGAAGUUGUGUUGCGCUUUAAUCUGGACGACCUAGAGACUGAGACAAUACAUGUUGUACCAUACAACUUGGCUCACCUUAAAAAUGGAUCCUUUAAAGUAUAUGAUGGAGUUGACUGCAUUGAUGGAAGAAUGGCUCGAUGAAAAAUUAUGCUAUCCAAAUUUGAUAUAAUUUAUGUAAACCAAAAGGCAGUAAAGGGGAGUGUAAUAGCAGACUUCCUAACUAGCAGAGCUCUAGAGAAUUAUGAGCCUUUAAAUUUUGAUUUCCCAAACGAUGAUUUGAUGUAUGUUGCGACCAUUGAAGAAGGUACUCUAAAAGAACAUCCCUAGAAACUAAAUUUUGAUGGGGCCUCAAACGCCAUGGGUAACAGAAUUGGGUCAAUCUUGAUAUCCCUAGAAAAAGAUCAUUAUCUUUUUACCAGUAAACUUGAUUUUGAUUGCACAAAUUACUUGGCAGGAUUUGAAGCAUGCAUCAUGGAUAUCGUACAACCAAAAAACACAAUAUCAAGGUUCUAGAAGUAUAUGGGGAUUCUGCACUAGUGAUCUAUCAACUCAAAAUUAAAUGGGAGAUGAGAGAUCCCAAGUUAACCGAUUAUCGAAGGUUGUCCUUUAGCUAAUUAAGGAGUUUGAUGACACCACAUUCUGUUACCUCCUGCAAAAUGAAAGUCAGAUGGCCGACGCGUUGGCUACCUUAGCUUCCAUAGUUAAAGUAAACAAACAAGAGCAUGUAAAACAUAUCCAAAUGAGUAUUUAUGAGGCUCCGACCCAUUGUUACAACAUUGAAGAAGAAAAGGAUGACCACCCUUAGUACCACGACAUAUUGCACUAUAUAAAGAACCGUGAGGCAAACGAGAAUGAUAAAAGGACGUUAAGAAGGUUGGCCAACGAGUAUGUCCUUGAUGAAGAGAUCCAAUACAAAAGAAUAAAGGAUCAGGUGCUACUAAGAUGUGUGGACACUGUUGAGGCUAAGAAAAUCUUGGAAGAAGCCCAUGAGGGUGUUUGCGGAACACAUGUUAAUGGUUUUACAAUGGCUAGGCAAAUCAUGAGAUUCAUAUAUUAUUGGUCCAUCAUAGAGGGGGAUUGUAUCAGUUAUGCCAAGAGAUGUCAUAUAUGCCAAAUUUAUGGAGACAAAAUUCAUGUGCCUCAUUCACCUCUUUAUGUUAUUACUUUUCCUUGGUCUUUCUCUAUAUGAGGCAUGGAUGUCAUUAGGCCAAUUUUGUCAAAAGCUUUAAUGGACAUCGAUUCAUCUUUGUGGUCAUCGAUUACUUCACCAAGUGGGUAGAGUUCGCUUCUUAUGUCAAUGUCACGAAAUCAACAGUUAGCAAGUUCUUGAAGAAAGAGAUCAUAUGUCGAUAUGGAAUGCCAAAAAGGAUCAUAUCUGAAAAUGCAUUAAAUUUGAACAACAACACGAUAUCAGAAGUCUGCAGUCAAUUCAAGAUCAAACAUCACAACUCGUAACCAUAUCGCCCAAAAAUGAGCGAUGCAGUUGAGGUAGCCAGUAAGAACAUUAAGAAGAUCAUGAGGAAAAUGGUAGAGAUUUAUAAAGAUUGGCAUGAGAAGUUUCUAUUUGCCCUCUAUGCUUAUCGAAUGUCUAUCAUAACCUCUAUCGGGGCAACACCUUUCUCAUUAGUUCAUGGAAUAGAGGCAGUCUUGCCCAUUGAAGUCGAGAUUCCUUCUCUCUGAGUUUUAUUAGAGUUGAAGUUAGAUGAAGCAGAAUGGAUCCAAUCUCGAUAUGAUCAGUUGAACUUGAUCGAAGAGAAGAGGUUAAAAGCUAUCCGUCAUGGUCAAAUGUACCAAAAACAGAUGAUGCGAGCUUAUGAAAAAAAAGUCCGCCCCAGAGAAUUCCAUGAGGGGGACCUGGUACUGAAAAAGAUUAUGCCUAUACAAAAAGACUUCAGAGGAAAAUAGAUACCGAAUUGGGAAUGACCUUAUAUGGAAAAGAAAUUUUUUUUCUAGAGGAACAUUGAUUUUCACCGAGAUGGAUGGCAAAAACUUGCCCAAUCCCGUGAACUCGGAUUUAGUCAAGAAAUACUUUACCUAAAACAAAGAGGGGGAGGCCAAGGCGAAAACUCGCAAAAGGGCGCCUAGAGGCCAAAGGGAUUUUGAGUUCAAAACCCUAAAAAGGGCAGCUCAAAUUUGGAUUGAAGAUUGAGCAUGUGGUAGUCGUGUCUUUUCAGAAGAAGAAACGUUGCAUCUUGAGGCAUCAACAAAGUACUCUAAACCUCUUAGACACAUAUCAAGCUCAAAAUGGUCCUCAAGAAGUUUGUGUAGAGAAGCUCAUGUUUCGAUAUUUGGAGCACCUAAUUUCAUUUUACUCAUUUUGUGUUUUAACAAUAUUGGCUAUUUUGAUUAAUCUUUUCAUUUUGAUCUUUGCUCCCAAUAAAUUUUAAUCUUGUCUAUUAUUAUGACCUUUUUCAAGCAUUUUUACAUUGAAAUAAUGAUUAAUGGACUAAAAAUAUUCAAGUAAAAAGAUUUUUACAUAUUGCUCUAAAAGGUUUCUAAAUAGUACAAUGACCUAAAACAGGACCACUAGUUAGAACUAAACAAAUCUAAGGGUUGGAAAUAUCUGGGAACGAAUAGUGUAAAUUGUGAUUACUUCUUCAGGUUUCCUAUCAAAGAUACCAUAUUUGAACAAGAAGGCAUGGUAACACAUCAAUGAUAGAACCUUGACGUACAACGAGCAAUGUCAGCCUAAGCACUAAAAAGGGGAUCAUUCUGCAUUCAUACAAAUGUCAUUCAUAUACAUCUAGUUAUAAGUAUUUGAUUCAUUUUUCUCAUAACAUCCUAAUCGCUUGGCAUAAAAUAUAGGCAUAUGAAAUGGAUUCUACAGGUCUUGUUCCCUAGAGAGCAGUGUAAAAGAUCAGUGAAAUAAAUCCUAUACCCUCGAAGUUGCAACGGGUCGGAUUGAACUUACCAUAACGAAUCUUAUCUCUCUGAAGUUACAGUGGAACGAGAUGAAGUUACAAGUCCUAUAUCCCAGAAGUUGUAGUGGAACAAGAUGAAGCUAUAAAUCCUAUACCCCUGAAGUUACAGUGGGUUGGAAUGAAGCCACAACAACAAUCUUAUCUCCUUGAAGUUGCAAUGGAGCAAGAUGAAACAGUGAUACCAAAUCCUGCCUUCCUAAAGUUGUAGCGAAAUGGAUACAGUAAAGUAGAGUAACCAAGGAACUAAAAGAGUGAAUUACUUGAAAAAGGGAAGCACUAGAGAACUCGAGAUUCAGCGGGACUGGACAGAAUUGGUCAUAUUUUAAGGUAUUUGCUCCCUUCCCAAUACACGACAACGAGCAAAGAGGGGCAGCUAUAAGGGGCCAAAUUUGUCCAGCCCAAACAAAAACAAACAAAAACAAGAAAUAAAUAAAGCCCAUUUACAAACAAACAUACUGGCCCAAAUUAAAAGCCCAAACCUAGCCUAAAUCUACUAAAGCCCAAACCAAUACCAAACCCUAAAAGUCCCAAAACUUAAAAAAAUAACAGAAACCUUAGUCUCUAUAAGGCCGUCCACACUGUAGCCUUCGCCUCGUCAGCGAGCUCAUCGCCCAAGGUCUGAUGCCUCGUCUGCCCCUUUCACCGAAAUGGCAAGGCGCGCGUCCCCAGCGCCAUUGAUCGUCCCAUGGAUACCUGCAAAGAAAAAGAAACGAGACAAAUGACAUAAAUAACAGAAACAACCAAAAAAAAAGAAAAUAUAUAUAUGCAAUCGGCUAUAAAAGCCAUAACAUUGAGGUGUAUUUUUUUAUGAGAUUUUGAAAUAAUAGAGAACAAAGAAAACAAAAGGUAGUUUAUUUUUCUUAUUUUUUAUUUUUUUAAAAAAGCAUAAUAAAAAAAAUAUAAGACCCUUUUAUCUGUUGUUUCACUUCUGCCGCCGUCGAAGACCAUCUCUGGCCCCGAAUACCUUAGAGCCCACUAGGGUUCUGCCGAGGGUUCAAUGAGCGCGCAAGGCUGAGAGUUUUUUUUCCCUUCUUUCUGAUUUUAGAAGGCAUUAGCCUUCAAAUCUGGCUCCUAGACGGUUAAAUAGGGCUAAAAACUGCUUUUUGUAACUUUCGCCACCGAAGGCAACGGUUGUCGACGCCGACGACCUGUGACCGUGGCGGGGCGACGACAACCCUAUGGCUGGACUGAGAGACACAUUUAGAGUAAAAAAAGGAAAGAAGAGAAUUUUUUUUAAAAAACGUAAGAGAGAAGUGAAAUAUUUCAAAAAAUUUUGGCUUAUAUACGGCCUCGGUGUGACGUCAUUUUGGCCUGGCUUUAGAAGCCCCAAAACGGCGUUGUUUUGAAGUACGACCCGAAUCUCCCCUAGGAUCCGUGUGUUUUGGCAUGGAGGAGAUAAUUUCUAUUUUGGUCCCUUCACUUUUUUUUCUUUUUAAUUUUGUCCUAUUUCAUCUUUAUUUUUUUAUUUUUAUCCUUUUAUUUUAUUCUUGUGCAAUUUAGUCCCUUGACCCACUAUUGACCUUCUGAGGGAAGGACGCGUUUAAUAUGGGUGGGAUAAUACCCCUUUCGGUCCCUUUUUCAUUUUCACAUUUCAAUUUAGUCCUUUAUAUCUCUUUUUUAUUUAGGCAUCAGAUUUUGUUGGACUUUCAAUUUAGUCCUUUAUUUCCUUUAUUUAUUUAUUUUUUGAUUUAUGCUUUAAGUUUCGCUUAAAUUUCAAUUUAAUCCCUUAUUUGGUUAGCUUUGCCUCUUUAUUUACUACAUCAUUUAUUUAGCACUUAAAAUUUAUACAUUUUAUUUUAUCAAUUUACUAUAUCAUUUAUUUAUACAUUUUAUUUUUAUUUUAUCCUUGUUAUUAUUGUUAUUAUUUUAUUUAUUCAUAUGUACUAUGAUAGUAAUCAUGACAUGGUUAUCGCUAUUACUACUAUAAAUUGAUUUUUUUAUCACUAGCAUAGCCUUUCUUUUGUUUUUAUCUUCUUAUUUUUAUUCAUCUAUUUAUUUAUUUAUUCAUUCGUUUAUUUAUCAUUUUAAUGUCAUCAUUCAUUUUUACCCACCACUAUUUUACUUCAUUUUGCUAAUCACCAUGACAUGUAUCGUGUUAAAAUAUAUUUAUCCAUUUUCUUACUAUGCCUAAACAUAUUAAAAAUAUAUAUCAUUUUAAAAAAGUUACAUUCGUUCUACCUAACGUAUAGGAAAUAUUUAAAACCGAGGCAAUAUUUAUUAUUUUUGGGAUUCGAAGAGUUGUGCUUCUAACUUACGGAGUAUGGCAUCUUCUUAGAACCAUAAUAACCGAAUAUCCUAUUUAAAAUAAAAACGAGAUUUAAGUAAGGAUCAAAUGGUGAUUAUUCUUGUUUUCGAGGACUAAAAGCAUCGUGUCCUAACUUACGGGGCAUGAUCUUUUCUUCUUGACUAAAUUGAAAUAGGACCUUUCAUAAAAUUUAAUUUAGUUCAGUGAUUUUAAUUAAAAAGAACAUCAUACAAAGAGGGGUAGUGUUUUAAUUCGAAAUAUCAAUUUUCGACAUCAAAACAUCAAGUAAUCAACUAGGUAUCAAUUUUGGGCGUUAUGAGGGUGCUAAUCCUUCCUCAUACGUAACCAACUCCCGAACCUAUUUUUUGGAUUUUGUAGACUGCAGGUUACCGUUUUUGGGCGUCAUGAAGGCACUUAGGUUGUUGGGCGUUAUGAAGGCACUUAGGUUUUAACCCACUUAUCCUAUAAAAAGCUUACCUACAUAAUUAACCCUUACUGAACCCCAUUGAGCCUAACACACUGUUUCUUGAUUUACAUAUUAAUGUUAACCCAUAACUCUUUUUUUUUUGCUCGUUAAGAAUUUUUCCCGUUUUAUUAAUUCCCUUUUUAACGAGACUUGAUUUGGUUAAUUCCCUAAUUAAGCCCUUUUGUUUAUUUUGCUGAAUUAUUUCUUAUUGUAAAAAAAAUAGAAGAAAAAAAAUUGAUUAUUAUUUAGUUCUAUGUUAAUUGAGCUUGAACAGUUAAAUUCAUAGUUAUUUAGUUCUAUGUUAAUUGAGCUUGAACAGUUAAAUUCAUAGUUUGACAAUAAGCUCGUGUUAUUCUUGAACAGUUUUCGAUUAAUGUAAUUGUUUCUAAUUUAGCAUUUAUUUAUUUUUCUAGUUUGGUAAUUUAUCAAUUCAAUCUCGAUUUUAACUAUCUUUUUCGGCCUUUCUCCACACCCUUAACCUAAGCCCCAUUACAACCUCUUAAAGACCUUUUGAUUUGUGUAUCAUAUCAUUUUAUAGUGGUGGAGAUUUGAUUUUCAUGCAAGCCUAUGGUAAUGACUUUUCAUGUUUGACUAUUGAGUAGUACUUAUUCUUGAACCUUAAACACUUUGAGUGAUUUGACUGAAUCUUUAGUGAGGAUGUCGAUUCUUAUCGAUUUUGAAUUAAAGGUAAUUACUUAGAUAAGGGGAAAUACCUAUGUUUUCAUGCUUUAAAAAUGUUUGACUUGGAUUGUUUGAAUCUUUAGUGCUCUUUUAGUUGAAUUACCAAUGUAUGAUUAUUUGUGAAUUAUGACAAAACAUCAUUGAUGAGAAUUAUGAGUUGAGAAAGAUUAAUUUUAAUUGUGAGUUGAGGAUUUUGCUUGAGGACAAGCAAACGCUUAUGUGUGGGGAUAUUUGAUAAGUCAUAAAAGUAACAUAUUUUAAUUACAUUCUUAAUGCGUUUUUGGAUGAUUAAUUAUGUAAAUUAGUGAAUUUGAUGCUCCUAAUCCUUUAAAUUCAUGUUUCUAUACUUAGGAGAGCAUUUGGGAGCGAAAGGAGUGAAAAACGAGCCAAAAUCGAAUAAAUAAAGUUGUUUUUAGGAUCCACACAGCCUGGGCAUUUCCACACAGUCUUAGAGUGCACAUACGGGUGAGAGGCACGGUCUUGUGGCUCAAGAUGAGCCCUAUAAACGUCCAUGUCCUCUUUUUAAAACAAGGGUUUUAUUUUUUAAAAUUUUAUUUUGUCUUCCUCUAGUCACGCCGUGUGCUUUCCCUAUCUUCCAUUUCUUCAGCGUCCCUUCUCCGCCGUCCACCUCCGCUGCCAUUCGUCGUCCCCCACCACCAUUUGACUCCUUCCCCUUUUUGUUGUAUUUUAUUUUAUUUAAUACUAUAUUUUUUUUAUUAUUUUAUUUAUUAUGAUGAUAAUGUUCACUAUGUUUAUGUUUAAUGGUUGAUAAAUGAUAAAACUAACAUAUUUUAAUCUCAUUCUUAAUGCAUUUUUGGAUGAUUAUUUAUGCAAAUUGGUGAAUUUGAUGCUCCUAAUCCAUUUAAUUCAUGUUCUUAUACUUAGGUGAGCAUUUCGAAGCAAAAGGAGAAAAAAUUGGAGAAAAAGAGCAGAUUCAGGGGUCACACGGGCUGGGCACAUACCCAUGUGCCAACCCGUGUCUAUUUUGCACCUUGCUUCCCAAACACGUGGAAAAACAAAAAUUUUAGGCUUUAUGAGAAUUCUGAAGUCUAUAAAUACCAAAUAGAAGAAGAGAUAUGGAGCCAUCAGAGAAGAUCGAAGAAAACACUCAAGGAGCAGCAUUAGAGCCAGUUCCGAAGCAGAUUUCCAUCAAGAUCAAAGAUCUCAUUUUUAUUUUUUCUGAAGUUUUUAUGAGUUUCUUUGUUUCUUGUGCUUUUUCUGACUUUAAGAUGUUUUUAUUUAGAAUUAUGAGCUAAUUCCCUAGAUACCUAGGGAAGAAGAAAUCUAUGAUGAAUUCUAUUAUUUAAUUUCUGUUUUACAUGAUAAAUACUUUAUUCUUGUCCUCAAUUAUGUGUGCUUAUUUUUUGUUCUAAUAUUUUUGGGUUAUUAAUUCAUGUUUAAUGUGCUUAAUUCAGUGGAGCAAAGUUAUUGUUUAAGAGUAGAUCUAAUAUAAUUGAGUGGAGUUGCAUGCAAUCCUAGAAAUAGGACGACAUAAAUCUACCAAAUUAGAGCCAAAUCUAAUAGGGAAAUCCAUAGAUCGAGUUAAUGGGACAAUAAGGUUUUAAUUAGAAAGAUAUUCCAAUUAAUCAACCAAGAGUCAGUUGCAUCUACUGUCGAAAGAGAUAUUAGCAUAAUUUAGGGAUUUCUACGGAUCAAGCCACUAAGUGAAUAAAUCGUUUAAAUCAGAUUAAUAAUAAUAGGAGUCUAAGUGGAUUCUUUCUUGGGUAUUGUCUUGCUCAUUGGUUAUCUUUCGGUUAUUUUCCUAAUUCAUUCUCUAUUGCGUUUUUAGUUAAAUUAGUUUAGUAAUUUUAGAUUAAAACUCAUCACUCCAAAUUGUCGGGUAAAUAAUAAGAAAACGGUAAUUCCUAAUACUUUUAGUUCUCAUGGAUACAAUAUCUCUACUCACCUUAGCUAUACUAUUGUUCGAUAGGUACGCUUGCCUUUGUCACAAAUUUUAGUUAGUACGAAAAACACACAUCAAGUUUUUGGCGUCGUUGUCGGGGACUAAAAUAUUAGGAACACUUUAUUUUUAUUAAUUUGGUCAUUUUUAUUUUAUUUUAUUUUAUUAUUUUUAGUUUAAUUUUUACAUUCUCAUUUUUCUUUUAUUUGCUUCUAGAAGGUUCUUUUGGUUUAUGACUAGAAGAAACUCGUCAGGACCAUUACUUUUCAAUACUAAAAUUGAAAGUACAGCUCACAGAAAUUGUAGAGAAGCAAGGCAGAGCCAAUAAAUUAUAGUAGACGGAUAAGAGGACCUCAUUAUUACUGAGGAGAUAGACGAUAAUAAGAAUAUUCAGCUACCCCCUGCAACAGCAGUAGCUCCUAUUCCUCGAAUUAUAUACGAUUAUGCCAACCCCGCUCUGAUUGGGGCUGAAUCGAGUAUUCUGCGACCCACCAUUACUGCAAAUAAUUUUGAACUGAAGCUAAACACUAUUUAGAUGGUACAGUAGUUUGUUCAAUUUGAUGUUUGCAAGACAAAUAUCCAAAUUUUCAUUUGGCCAAUUUCCUGGAAAUCUGCUAUACUUUCAAGAUUAAUGGUGCCACUAAUGACGCCAUUCACUUACAGUUAUUCCCUUUCUCGUUAAGAAACAAAGCAAAACAGUGGUUAAACUCUUUACCACAAGAUUCCAUCACUACAUGGGCUCAAGUGACUGAGAAAUUUCUACUUAAGUACUUCCCACCGACUAAGACAGCCAAGUUGAGGAAUGACAUCUCUUCCUUUGUACAAAUCGAUUUAGAGACUUUAUAUGAUGCAUGGGAGAGAUACAAUGACUUAUUGAGAAGGUGUCCUCAUCAUGGGUUACCUUUAUGGUUACAAGUUCAAACCUUCUACAACGGUUUGAAUCCCCCAACUAGACAGUUAAUUGAUGCAGUAGCCGGUGGAACACUUAACAAUAAAACACCCAAAGCAGCUUAUGAAUUUAUUGAAGAGAUGGUAUUGAAUAAUUAUCAGUGGUAAGUCAUGAGGACAAAGCCGAUGAAAGCUGUCGGUGUUUUUAACUUAGAUGCAGUCACCAUGUUAUCAAACCAAGUAGAGGUAUUAAAUAAGAAAACUGAUGGUUUAUAUCUUUCUACGCAAGUACACCCGGUGAUGCAAUGCGAUACAAAUAGAGGUGAAAUAAAUAAUCAAAAAUGUUUACCCUUUACUCCUAGCACAGAGAAUGAACAAAUCAAUUAUAUGGGUAAUAAUUCUAGGCCUCAAAAUAACCCUUAUAGUAAUAAUUAUAAUGCAGGUUGGAAGAACCAUCCUAAUUUCUCUUGGGGUGGUCAAGGAAAUCAGAGAGCACAACCUCAUCCAGGCUUCCAACAACCACCUUAUUAACAAGAGAAAAAGUUGAACCUUAAGGAGAUGUUGACAAAGUUUAUCUCGGUGCCAGAAACUCGUUUUCAAAACACUGAGGCAACACUAAAAAAUCAACAAGCAUCGAUUCAAGGGCUCGAGAAUCUAAUAGGACAACUUGCUAAGAUAAUUUGGGAAAGACCACAAGGUAACUUGCCUAGCAAUACUGAAACUAACCCAAUGGAGCAAUUUCAUGCAAUUACUGUUCAAGACAAAGAAAGGUUAGUUGAAUCUGAACAAGAAUCGAGGUAAGAAAUUGUGGUGAAUAUUAAUAAAGUUGAGGAAGAUAAGAAAGAACAAAAGCCGACUGUCAAAUAAUAUACACAUCGAGUGCCAUAUCCUAACGCGACGAAAAGAGACCACACAAACGAGCAAUUUGGUAAACUCUUCAAGUUCUUAAAAGAAUUACAUAUUAACUUACCGUUUGUUGAAUCUCAUUCGCAGAUGUCAAAUUACGUUAAAUUUUUAAAGGAGUUAUUGGCAAACAAGAGGAAGUUAGACGAGUCAUCAACUGUGAAGCUCAAUGUAGUUUGCUCGACCAUCUUACAAAAUAAACUACCUAGGAAACUCAAAGAUCCAGGGAGUUUUACUAUUCCUUGUCUCAUUGGUAGUUUAAAUAUCGAUAAUGAUUUUGCUGAUUUAGAGGCUAGUAUUAAUGUUAUGCCCUAUAAAAUGUUUAAACAACUAGGUCUUGGGAAACCCAAACACACUAGGAUGAGUAUUCAAUUAGCAGAUAGAACCAUAAGAUAUCCUAGGGGUGUUACUGAUGAUGUACUUGUUAAAAUAGAUAAAUUUAUGUUCCCUGUUGACUUUGUUGUGUUGGAUAUGGAUGAGGGUAGUGAGGUACCUUUAAUUUUAGAUCGCCCCUUUUUAGCCACUGCCAAGACUAUUAUUGAUGUUGCUACGGGUGAAUUAGUACUUCGUGUAGGUGACGAAAUGAUUACUCUCCAAGCUCGUGAUUCUGUGAGAACAUCCAGUGAUCGAGAUGAUAUUGAAAGUUCUGUUAAUGUGAGUGAUAAGAUAUAAAAGUAAAAUAUUUUAAUCUCAUUCUUAAUGUGUUUUUGGAUGAUUAAUUAUACAAUUUAGUGAAUUUGAUGUUCCUAAUCCUUUAAAUUCAUGUUUUUUAUACUUAGGAGAGCAUUUGGGAACGAAAGGAGCGAAAAAUGAGCCAAAAUCGAAUAAAUAAAUUUGUUUUCAGGAUUCACAUAGACUGGGCAUUUCCAAACGGUCUGACCACACGCCCGUGUGAGCCACACUGGUUAGCCACACGCCCAUGUGCCAAUCUGUGUCGAUAUUGCACCCUACUUCCCAGAUACGCAGAAAAACUCAAUUUUUAGGCUUUCUGAGCAUUCUAAAGUUUAUAAAUACCAAUUAGAAUAAAACCUAAAGGGGCAACCAGAGAAGAUAAAUGAAAACACUCGAAAAACACCAUCGGAAUCAACUCGGAAGCAGAUCCCCAUCAAGAUCGAAGAUCUCCUUUUAAUUUAUUUCGAAGUUUUAUUGAGUUUCUUUAUGUCUUAUGGUUAUCCUAAAUUUGAGAUGUUUCUAUUCAGGAUUAUGAACAAAAUUCCCUAGAUACCUAGGGAAGAUGAAACCUAUGAUGAAUCUUAUUAUUUGAUUUCUGAAUUACAUGAUAAAUACUUGAUUCUUGUUCUUAAUUAUGUCUGCUUAUUUCUAUUUUAAUAUUCCGAAAUAUUAAUUCAUGUUUAAUGUGCUUAUUUCAGUGGAGCAAAAGUCCUUGUUUAAGAGUUGAUCUAGCAUAAUUGAGUGGAUUUGAAUGCAAUCCUAGAAAUAAGAUGACAUAAAUCUACCGGAUUAGAGUCAAAUCUAAUAGGGGAAUCCAUAAAUUGAGUUAAUGCGACAAUAGGGGUUUUAAUUAGAAAGAGAUUUCAAUUAAUUAACCUAGAGUUAGUUGUUCUUACUCUCGAAAGAGAUAUUAAUAUAAUUUAGGGAUUUCUGUGGAUCAAGACAAAAGUGAAUACAUUGUUUAAUUCAUAUUCAUAAUAAUAGGUGGAGUCUAGGUGGAUUCUUUCCUGGGUAUUGUCUAUCUCGUUGGUUAUCUUCAAUUAUUUUCCUAUUUCAUUCACUGUUGGGUUCUUAGUUAGAUUAAUUUAGUAAUUUUAGAUUAUUAAAACAAUCACUCCAAUUUGUCAGAUAAAUAAUAGAAAAACGAUAAUUACUAAUAUUUUUACUCAUCAUGGAUACGAUAUUCCCUACUUACCAUAACUAUACUAUUGUUCGAUAGGUACGCUUGCCUUAGUCAUAUUUAUAGCUAGUUUAGUGACCAUCAAGUUUUUUGCACCGUCUCCAGGGACCAAAAUAUUAAGAACACUCGAUUUUUAUUAAUUUAGCCAUUUUUAUUUCUAUUAUAAUAUUUAUUUCUAGUAUAAUUUUUAUUUUGUUUUUAGUUUAAUUUUUACAUUCUAAUCUUUCUUUUAUUUGCUUCUGGCAGGUUCCUUUAGUUUAUGACUAGAAGAAACCCAUCGGGACCAUUAUUAUUUGACAGUGAAAUUGAAAGUAUAGCUCGCAGAAACCGUAGAUAACUAAGGCAAAGUCAAUAGAAUAUAGUAGAUGAGCAAGAGGACGUUAUUAUUAUUAAGGAGAUGUGUGAUAAUCAGAAUAAUCACCUACCUCCUGCAGAUCCUACAAAUUCAGAUCUUAUUCCUCGUACUAUGUAUGAUUAUGCCAAGCCCACUCUAACUGUGGCUGAAUCGAGUAUUGUGAGACCCACCAUUGUUGUGAAUAAUUUCGAAUUGAAGCCGAACACUAUUCAGAUGGUACAACAAUUUGUUUGGUUUGAUGGUUUGUAAAACGAAGAUCCAAAUACUCAUUUGACUAAUUUUUUGGAAGUCUGUGAUACUUUCAAGAUAAAUGGCAUUUCUGACGAUGCCAUUCGCCUACAAUUAUUCCCUGUCUCGUUGAGGAACAAAGCUAAACAGUGAUUGAAUUUUUUACUACGAGGUUCCAUCACUACAUGGGAUAAAAAGACCGAGAAAUUCCUAUGGAAGUACUUCCCAUCUACUGAGAUAGCCAAAUUGAAGAUUAAUGAUAUCGCUUCCUUCAUUCAGAUCGACUUAGAGACCUUAUAUGAUGCAUGGAAGAGGUAUAAGGACUUAUUGAGAUGGUGCCCUCACCAUGGGUUACCUUUAUGGUUACAAGUUCAAACCUUCUACAACGGUUUGAAUCCCUCAACUAGACAGUUGAUCGAUGCAGCAGCCAAUAGAACACUUAACAGUAAAACACCUGAAGCGGGUUAUGAGUUUAUAGAAGAGAUGGCACUGGAUAAUUAUCAGUGGCAAGUCAUGAGAAUGAAGCCGGUGUUUUCAACUUAGAUGCAAUCACCAUGUUAUCAAAUCAGGUAGAACAAUUAAGUAAGAAAAUUGAUGGUUUAUAUGUUUCUACGUAGGUACAUCCGGUGAUGCAAUGCAAUACAAAUGGAGGAAGAAUGAACAAUCCAGAAUGUUCACCCUACGGUCCUAGCACAGAGAACGAACAAAUCAAUUAUAUGGGUAAUAAUUUUAGGCCUCAAAAUAACCCUUAUAGUAACAUCUAUAAUACAUGUUAGAGGAACCAUCCCAAUUUCUCUUGGGUGGUCAAGGAAAUCAGAUAGCACAACCUCCUCCAGGCUUCCAACAACAACCUUACCAGUAAGAGGAGAAGCCAAACCUUAAGGAGAUGUUGACAAAUUUUAUCUCGGUGUCAAAAACUCACUUUCAAAACACUGAAGUAGCACUGAAAAACCAGCAAGCAUCAAUUCAAGGACUUAAGAUUCAAAUGGGCCAACUUGCUAAGUUAAUUUCAGAACGACCAUAAGGUAGUUUGCCUAGCAAUACUGAAACUAACCCAAGGGAAAAACUUUAUGCAAUUACUGUGCGAGAUGAAGAAGGGUUAGUUGAAUCUAAACUAGAAUCAAGGCAAGAAAUUUUGGUAAGUAACGGUAAGGUCGAGGUAAGCCAAAAUAAGCAAAAACUGGUUGGUAUAUGAAUCUCAACUGCCAUAUCUUAACGCGACGAAGAGAGACCACACGGAUGUAAAAAAAGCGAAGGAGAUCGCACACGGCCUGGUAUACAAUCAUGUGAAGACUGGGCUUGAUUUUUAAAAUACACACGGGCUGAAGAUGCCCCACACAAGUGUAUGACACGACCGUGUGGCCCAACACGGGCCUUUACACGACCGUGUCACCCAUUUAAACCCUAGCCCUCUUCUUUUUCUCUUCAUCUUCCUCUUAACACUCCAACUAACCCUAGUUGCCGCACUACCCACGUCGACCUUCCCUUUUCUGGCAACUGUCACCCCACCCUAUUGCUAUUUGUCCAUUCUUCUUUCCCUUCCCUUAGACGACACAUCCCCACUCCCUCACCACCACGCACCUUCCUCCACCCCCUAGCCUCUCCCCCCUCCGUGACCAAACUUUCCCCCAUCGUCCCCUAUACCAUGCACCACCACAAACAACCUUACCCUCACCCCUCACAAUACCACGACUUCUUCCCUAAUCCCUUACGCGCCGCAACAGACCCUUUUCCCCUCUUCUCCUUUCUUUUCUCUUUCACUGUCGACCAACGCCACCCCCAUUCUUCCCUUUUCCUUUUUAUUCCCUCUACAACCCCUCACCGUCUACCCUUCUUCCAAAUUUCCUCCCCCCACACCGAUCAUCACCAACCCUUCUCUGCCGUGUGCGCCACUCACCAUAGCCGUCCAACUUACCCACUGUUUGCUCAUUCCUCUACCCUUUCCAUUUCAUUAAUUAAUUGUUUUUAUUUAAUUAAUUUUUAAUUACUGAUUGUUUUAUUACUAUUAUUUGUUUUAAUUAUUUUUUUGUUUUCUUAUGCCUUUACUUACUAUUUUGUUUAUUUUUUUUGAAUUAUUUUUACUCUUUACAUUUAGUAUUUCAUUAUAUUUAUUAUUAUUGUUAGUUUUUUAUUCAUGUUAUUAUCCUUUUUAGGUUUAAUUUUAUUAUUGUGCUUAGUUAAAUUUGUUCUUUUUUAUUAUUGUUUUAUUUUGCUUAGUAUUUAUUCCACUUGUUAUCUUAGGAGUAGUAUCUUGCUAGAUUGGUAUUUUGUUUUGGUUUUCGUACUGUGCUUAUCCAUUAUCGAUGUAAUUUAAAUUGUAUGAUUUUUCUAUUCUUUUUUCUUGCAUAAUUGGUGGUGUUUUAUUUAUUAUUUUUCUAAUAUUGGAUUCUUUUAUUUUCAGGCACACCAUAACGAACAAACACAGUAAAUCUAAGGUCGCCGUCCUAGCUUUGAAAAAUGAAAAACUCUGGGUGCGACCACCUCCUCGGGUGCUUCCGCUGAUGCCCCCAUCCAUCCUUAUGAUUUUCACAAGGUCCCUAGGAGGACUUAUAUCAGCAUCUUCGACAAAGGCCAUUUGGAUUAAGCUGGUGUAUUGAUUGGGCCGCUUUGGAGCAGGUUCAGUUAGUUGAUCGAGUCCGCACCAUCAUUGCUACAGCUUCUUAGGACCGAUUCGUCUCCAUCAUCGAGGCCACCUAUUUGGAGCUGACCUUAGAGUUUUGUUCGACAUUUCUCCUACAGUAGGUGAUGUCAACUCAUGACGAGCCGCCCACUAUUACAUUCCGACUCGACAGUACGGCGCAUCAUAUGAGUGUCCCAGAGUUCGGAGCUACCUUAGGACUAUACACGAAAGAGUUCAUAGGUGGCGAGGGUUUCUCCGAUUAUACCGACACAUCCACUACUCGCUAUCUCUUUACUGGGUAGACCCUACAGCUAGUACGACGCCUUAUAACUCGAGUUGUUUGAAAGCGACUUCUCUUCCUCAAGCCUUGCGCUACAUUCAUGUCAUCUUGGCUCACACAUUGGCCGGUAGGAGAGAGAGCAAUGGAGUUGUCGGUACAACCGACACAUAUUUUUGUGGAGCAUAGCCAUAAGGCACACCUUUGGUCUUGCUUAUUUCAUCGUCCUAACUGUCCACCAUCAGACAGAGCAUAGUAGGAAGGGUUCUAUCUGCUUAGGUCCUUACGUGACUCGCCUUGCACAACACUUCAGUCUCCUCGACACACCGGAGCAGUCUUCCUCUUUUACACUAGUUGGAUAGAUGUCCCCGUAAUGAUUAUCUAGUAUAAGCCAAAUGAGGAUGAUCGAGAGACUGCAUGGAGUGGAUCCUCCUUAUACCGAUUGUCUCAUUCUGACCCUCAAGAUGAGCAUGCGGACUUCACUAAUGAUGUCCCCUUCUACCAUGAGGAUCCACCACAUUCUCCAUCUCAGAGUCACCUCCACAUUUCCUCUUCAGGGCCAACGACUCACGAUACCGAUGGCUCUGACGAUAAGGAUUAUUUAUUUUAUUUAUUUUCUUUUUAGUUUUAGUUUUAUUUUAUGUCUAUGAUUAUUUUUAUUUUUAGUUUUAGUUUUAGUUUUAGUUUUAGUUUUAGUUUUAGUUUUAGUUUUAGUUUUAGUUUUAGUUUUAGUUGUUUUAGUCUUAUUUUCUUAGACUUAUUUUGUUUAUUAUCUUUUAAAUUAUAUUUUUCUUUUGAUGGUUGUUUCAAAUUGAGUUGUAACCUUUUAAUCUUCUUCACUAUUUGUGUUUAUUUUCUUAUUUGUUUGCUCGGAAUCAUGCACUACAUUUAGAUUUGCCUACAAUUCCUGUAACAACCCGUUUUUAAUGAAAUUAGAAUAGUGGUUUCGGGACCACAAAUUUGAGUCCGAAAGAAAUUUUAUUUUAAUAUUAUUGUAUAGUCUAUAGUAUGAAAGAAAUAUUGUAUGAAAAUUUUGUUAAAAAAUUUCACUGUUUACAUGCCUAACUCGAUAAAAGGACCAAAUUGCAUUAAGUGCAAAAAUUGAAUUCUAGUAGCUAAAAGGAUUAAAUAGCUAUGCAAUUCAAAAUUUGAGGUCCUUAUAUGGCAAAUAGACCAUUAAGAAGAGUUAUUAUAUAAGUAUAAUGAUUCAUCCGUGGAAAAUUAAAUAAAGAAAAUGAUGAAAUUGGAAAGAUGAAAUAAUUAAAGAUGAUAAAUAAUAGAAAUCUAAUAUAUCAUCAUUUAUCAUCAUCUUUUCCAAAUAAAAACAUGGAAACCCUGGCCAUGAGAGCUUGAGCUCUAGCAAGCUUAUUUUUCCAAAUUAGGCAUGUGUUCUUGUCUCGUUUUUAGUAAUUUUUAUAUUUCCAAGACCGUAAUAGCUUAAUCUAGCUAUCUCAGGGAUUAAUUUGUAAACUUAUCAAAGUACUAGGGAUUUUCCAUGGAUGAAUAUAGUUGAAUUAUGAAUUUUUAUGGUAGAAAUUGAAAGGUUGUUGAUAAAUAAACAACGUUUGUAAAGGGAAUUUUAAUGAAAUCAUGAUUUAGGGACUAAAUUGAAAAGAUGUAAAAUUCAUGGAAAAAUUCUGAUUUUUAUGAAAUAUAUGAGCUUCUAAUGUUAUAUGUAAAAAUCGACUAGGCUUGGAAUAAGGAUUAAAUUGCAUGAAUUUCAUUUUUCGAGUCUAAGGACGAAAUCAUAAUUAAUUAAAAGUAUAGGGGCAAAAUGGUAAUUUUUCCAAAGAUGUGAAUUGAAUUUAAAUGAAUAAAAAUUGAUGUUAAAUUCAUUUGUAUAGAUCCAACUAGAUCAAAUACGAAGUCAGAUUGUGGAAAAGAAAAAAUGUCAGAUUAGUAGAUUUUUCGUACACAAACACUUGUCGAGGUAAGUUCGUGUAACUAAAUAGUAUAUUUAUAUGAUUGAAUUGAAUAUUGUGUAUGUGAAUUGUAUAACUGUCAUACAUAUGAAAUGGAUCGCAUAUCCGACAAUGUCCGAUAAAUGUUAAGUCCUGUUUAAAUAAAUAAAUUUCGCUGGCUAUAUGGUUCCCACAUUGGUUGUGGUCCUGCAUAUGUUGCAGACACACCACAGCUCGAAAGAGCGUCCCAUUAUUAGCCCUCUCGAGCUUCCCGUUAUAUGAUUCCUGCGAGCUUCUUGUUAAUAGCUCUUCGGAGCAUCCCGAUCAGUUAUGGUCCUACAUGUGUUGUGGACACACCGCAGCUCUUAUGAGCAUCCCAAUAAAUGGCCCUUCGGAGCUUUCCAAUUAAAGGAUCUUUGUGAACUUCCUAAUUAAUGGCUCUCUGAGCUUCCCGAUAUGGCUCGCUUGAACUUCCCGAUAUAUGGUUAUCUGGAGCUUCCUGAUUAAUGGCUCUUCAAAGCUACCCGUUAUUGGCUUGCAUGAGCUUCUUGAAUAUGGCUCUUAUGAGCUUCCCGUUAUACAGCUCACAUAAGGUUCCUGUUAUAUGGCUUGAGAGUGAGCAUCUCAUUUAUGUGCUCGUAUGAGCAUUCCCGAAUAUGAAUUGACGGAUUACAAUUUUGUACACUCCGAGUGUACUACCUAUGUAUCCAUCGAUAUUUCAAAUAAAUUUAACGGGCAAAGUUCUGACAUGGGAUAAUCUGAACUUGAGAUGAAUUAUUACAGAAAUGUACAUGUUAUAUGGAUAUAUGAUGUGGAAAGCAUAUGUACAUGAAAAUUGUUAUAUGAUGAGCUCAUCCUUGUUUCUUGAUAUUCAAAUGAAGUACAUAAACUAACAUGUUUCUUGAGGUUAUAUGUGUUUAGGCAAAUUGCUAAAUUUCUUUGGAUGAAUUUUGUGUGCAUAUCUUAAAUCUAAAUGAAUGGUAAGUUAAUAUCCCGUUAUACGAACUUACUAAGCAUUAAAUGUUUAAUCUGUGUUAGUUUCCUCUGUUUUAUAGUAUUCAGAAGCUCGUUGGGUUGGAAGCUUGGCGGAGAUAUCUUACACUAUCCAUCAACCCAUUUCGGUAUAUAUAUAGUAAAUCAACUUUGGUUAUAAUGGCAUGUAUAGACUAAAUUAGGCCAAAUGAUGGUAUAUAUGUGUUUGGUUGUGAUUAGCCAUUGGUAUGGCUUAUGUUGGACAUAUUAUGAUGUAUAUAUGUGUGUGUGGUUUAAUCAUGAUUGAUAUAUGUUUGGUAUAAGUAAGCAAAUAUGUUUCUUUAUCAUCAUGGCAAAUGUGAAUACUAAGAUAUAUGUGAUAAAACGACUUGUUUAAGACUUGGUUUUGGAUUGAUUUGAAUGUUUUAUAUUGGCUUGCAAAUGUGUUAAAGUAUUAAUGUAGGUGAAUGACAAAUAGGGUGAGAAAUAUGGCAUUGGAAAUGGCUUAUUUUCGUCCACACGGACAGAGACACAGGCGUGUGAUCUGGCCUUGUGUCCCCUGCAUCUUUAAAAUUCAAAACAGAAUGUUCAGGUAUUUUCACACGACCUAGCACAUAGGAGUGUGACUUGGCCAUGUGACCUCUGCACAUUAAGCAUGCAAGUUAGUAUGCUCACACGGCCUAGCACACGGGCGUGUGGCUUGGCCGUGUGACCUAAGUCAGUAACCACCCCAAUUUGGACACGGGCUGGGACACGGUCGUGUGUCCCUACUUCGAAUACCCAUACAGCCUGAGACACGGGCGUGUCUCUUGACUGUGUGAGACACACGACCUAGCCACACGGGUGUGUGUCCCCUGUAUUUUAGAAAAUUUUUGAUAUUUUGUGCAAAAUUCUCUAAGUACCCGGUUUAGUCUCGACUUGUUUUUAAUGUACAUUUUAGACCUCAAUGGCUCAUAGAAGAGACCAUAUGAUUGAUUUUGAUUGGUUUAUGAAAUGAAUGUCAAAUGAUAUGAAAUGUCUGAAAUUGAUCUGUAUAUUUCGGUAAUGCUUCGAAACCCUAUUCCGGUAACGGAUAUGGAUUAGAAGUGUUAUAAUUUCACUUUUCACCAUUUUGGUAAUUUAAUCCAAUAUUCAGGGCCGUUUCAGUUUUUUCCCUCUUAUGAUAUUCUGCUUAUACUGUGCUUAUUUCUAUUUGAACAUUGAGGAUAAUGUACAUCUUGAGUGUGGGGAGAUUAUUCAUGUAAUUAUUAGAAAAUCCCAUUACAAUGAAUUUUUAUUGAUUUAGGAUUUUUGUGAAUGUGUUUUGGAUUAAUUUGUAGAUAUUUGUGCAUUGAUUGAUUUAAACUUUAAGACAUGAAAGAAUCAAGCAUGAUAAGUUAUUUUUCAAAAUUAAAAAUUUUUAGGUUAUUUCCCUAAAUUGAGGUAUUAUCUUGAAGUUUUAAAUUUGCAAGUUUGACGUCAAAAACCAUGUUUUUUUGUGAGAUUUUAAGCCUUUAGAGCAUACAUUUUUCAUGCUCAUUCUAUUAUUGGUUAUGAGUGUGUCAACUUGAUUUGUUAUUCUAGAACUUGAUUCGAUUAUGCAUGUCUAGACCCACUUUUGAUUUGAUAUACUAAGAUGAUAAAGGCACUGAGGUUUUAACCCACUUAUCCCAUAAAAGCCUCUCUUUUUAAUUAACCCUUAGUGAACCCCAUUGAGUCUAGCAUCUAGUUUCUUGAUUAACCUGUUAAUGUUAACCCAUAACCCAUUUUUUCGUUGCGACUCUUUCUCGUUUUAUUGACUCCCUUUUUGUCGAGAUUUGAUUUGGUUAGUUGCCUAACUAUGCUCUUCUAUUUGAUUUACUGAAUUAUUUAUGAUUGUUCUAGAUAAAAGAAUAAAAAGAAAAAAAUCGAAAAAAAUAUUUAUUUAUCAAUUUUUAUUUAGUUCUUUGUUGAUUGAGCUUGAACAAUUAAAUUCAUAUUUUGAGAAGAAGCUCGUUUUUAUUCUUGAAUAGUUCUUGAUUGAUGUACUUGUUUUUAAUUCAGCAUUUGUUUAUUUUUUUCUAAUUUGGUAAUUUAUCAACUCGAUCUCGAUCAUAACCAACUUUCCUGGCCUUUUCCCACACCAUUAACCUAAGUCCCAUUACAACCUCUUAAAGACUUUUUGAUUGGUGUGUCAUAUCAUUUUAUAGUGGUGGAGAUUUGAUUUUAAAGCAAGCUUAUGGAAAUGACAUUUCAUAUUCGACUGUUGAGUGCUUAUUUAUUGAACCUUAAACACUUUGAGUGAUUUGAAUGAAUCUUUAGUGAGGAUGUCAAUUCUUGUCGAUUUUGAAUUAAAGGUAAUUACUUAGAUAAGGGGAGAUACAUAUGUUUUCGUGCUUUAAAAUUUUCGACUUGGAUUGUUUGAAUCUUUAGUGCCAUUUUAGUUUAACUGCCAAUGCAUGAUUACUUGCGAAUUAUUUUGAGACAUUAUUGAUGAGAAUCAUAAGUUGAGAAAUAUUAACUUUAAUGAGAGUUGAGGAUUUAGCUUAAGGGCAAGCAAACGCUUAAGUGUGGGGAUAUUUGAUAAAUGAUAAAACUAACAUAUUAUAAUCUCAUUCUUAAUGCAUUUUUAGACGAUUAUUUAUGCAAAUUGGUGAAUUUGAUGCUCCUAAUCCCUUUAAUCCAUGUUCUUAUACUUAGGUGAGCAUUUAGGAGCAAAAUGAAUGAAAAUUGGAGAAAAAGAGCAGCUUCAGGGGCCACACGGGUUGGGCACAUGCCCAUGUGAGCCACACGGGCUGGCCAUAUGCCCAUGUGAGCCACACGAGCUGGCCACAUGCCCAUGUGCCAGCCCGUUUCGAUUUCACACAUUGUUUCCCAAACACGCGAAAAAACAUAAUUUUUAGGCUUUCUGAGAAUUCUAAAGCCUAUAACUACCAAAUAGAAGAAGAGAUAUGGAGCCAUCAGAGAAGAUCGAAGAAAACACUCAAGGAACAGCAUUAGAGCCACUUUCGAAGCAGAUUUCUAUCAAGAUCGAAGAUCUCCUUUUAAUUUCUUCUAAAGUUUUUAUGAGUUUCUUUGUUUCUUGUGGUUUUUCUGACUUUGAGAUUUUUUUAUUCAGAAUUAUGAACUAAUUCCCUAGAUAUCUAGGGAAGAUGAAACCUAUGACAAAUUUUAUUAUUUAAUUUAUGUUUUACAUGAUAAAUACUUUAUUCUUAUUCUCAAUUAUGUGUACUUAUUUCUUGUUUUAAUAUUUCUGGGAUAUUAAUUCAUGUUUAAUGUGCUUAAUUCAGUGGAGCAAAAGUCUAUUUAAAAGUAGAUCUAGCAUAAUUGAGUGGAGUUGCAUGCAAUCCUAGAAAUAGGAUGACAUAAAUCUACCGGAUUAGAGUCAAAUCUAAUAGAGGAAUCCAUAGAUCGAUUUAAUGCGACAAUAGGGGUUUUAAUUAGAAAGAAAUUUCAAUUAAUCAACCAAGAGUCAGUUGCUUUUACUCUCGAAAGGGAUAUUAGAAUAAGUUAGGGAUUUCUACGGAUCAAGACACCAAGUGAAUAAAUCGUUUAAAUCAGAUUAACAAUAAUAGGAGUCUAGGUGGAUUCUUUCCUAGGUAUUGUCUCGCUCAUUGGUUAUCUUUCGAUUAUUUUCCAAAUUCGUUUAUUUGUUGCGUUCUUAGUUAAAUUAAUUUAGUAAUUUUAGAUUAAAACUCAUCACUCCAAAUUAUCGGCUAGAUAAUAAGAAAACAGUAAUUACUAAUACUUUUAGUCCUCGUGGAUACGAUAUCUCUAUUCACCGUAGCUAUACUAUUGUUCGAUAGAUGCGCUUGCCUUUGUUGUAAAUUUUAGUUAGUACGGCAAACACACAUCAAUGGUAUUAUGCUAGUUUAGUAUUUUUAUUAGUCUUAUUAUUAUUGAUGUGUUGAUUAUGUCUUAUUUAUUGUUUUUAUUAUUCCUGUUGUUAGCUUUAGGUUGUUAGUUUAGUAUUGGUUGUAUGUCGUAUUAGGAAUAGAUUUUAAUCAUAGUAGUUAAGUGAUCCGAUUGUCGUGUUGAGAUGAAUUGCAUGCUGAUUUGUGUUAUUUAAUAUGUCAAUUUAUCUAUUUGCUCGAGUAAUUGUUAGCGAUACUGCUUUUUUUGGUUAACUGAUAUUUGAUUUUAUCUUUUAUUUCACGUACAUCAUGACUAAUACCCGCUAUAAAUCUAAGGUCGUAGUUCCCGCUUCGAAAAAGCGGAAGACUCCGAGCGCAACCUCAUCUUCGGGCCCUACCUCUAGUGCACGCCAUCCAUGUCUCCAGUUUCCAUCGGGUCCUCACGAGGACCAAUAUCAGCAUCUCCAACUGCGACCCUUAGGAUUGGGCCGUUGUAUUGACUGGGCGGCUCUACAAGAGAUUCACUUAGCCGACAAAGUGCAAGCACUGAUCGAGACAGCUCCAUGGGAUCGACUUUUCUCCAUCGUCGAUCCUACCUACUCAGAGGUUACAUUGGAGUUCUGCUCGACAUCUUUUUUGCAGCACGCGGUGUCGAGAUAUGAUGAGCCAUGCACCGUCUCUUUCCGGUUGGUAUUAAUUAAUUAAUCUAAAUUUAACUCAAAUCAAGUCAUCUUUAGCUACACCAAAUUCUAUUUAAUUAUUUCUAUUUAGCCCAAUCAUUAUCGAUAGGAUUAUACCAAUUUAUCUAAACCGACAAAUUAAAAGUUAGACUAAUUUAAAAUUAAGCUACAUAAAUUCUAGUUACUCUUAACUUAAAAACAGUCCAAGUUAAUCUAGUCAAUUAAUUCUAAACACAUUUCAACUAUUUAAUUAAUUUUAACAAUCUUUGGAUACAUCAAAUUUUAAUCAAAGUAACUGAUCAAACAAAGCUUCAUAACUCCACCACUAACCAGUUAAUCCAAAGCAAGAAUUAACCUUAAAUCUAGUAGCGAGUCACAAUAACAUUAAAAACUGCGGCAACUAAACCAAAUUUUAAUGGCCGCUUACUUGUAACGACUAACAACAACAAUAUCUAGGAGUAAUGAUCUGCAAUUGGAAGCAUCUUAGAGCAGCAAUUUUGGAGAUCAUUAACCGCAAUAACUGAGGUGGUGAAAGCAGCAAAAUUUAUGAAAUAGCAAGCACAAUUGGCAGCAAUUUGAAGCACGACACAGCAGCAAAAUUGAGGCGAUAAGCAGCAUAUCGAAUCAGUAAAAUGGGAGCACCAAACGGAAUCAAAGAUCAAGCCAAAGAGCAUUGAAGGAAAGCUACUUGGUGCUGCAAACUAAAGGAUCAAGUAGCAGCUUACUGGAUGGCACAAAGAGCUGCUAUUUGGGUGAAAUUACAGCAGAGAUUUUGAUGAUUUGCAGUAGCAAAUUGACGACAAAGACAACAGCAAAAAACAAUGGUUUGAAGGAGCUGGCAAUAUUUAAGGCUUUGGACUGCGAUUUCUGUUGAAGUUUUAUUAUGUAUUUAAGAAAAUUACACAAUCCCAUAUUCUUGAAAUAAACCUACCAAGGUAAUGUUGAAAUAAACCUAUUAAUAGAAGUAUUUGUUAAAUCGUGACAAUAUCUUUAGAGUGAUCCUUACACCUCAAGCAACAGUUUCAAAUUUCUAACCCUCGGAAUUCUAACAAUUUGAUGGCUAUUUUGGAGUAGCUGAAGCAAAUAGCAACAGUAAAUUGAAGGAUGGUCGGCACCAAUUCGCAGCAAACUGAGGCAAUUUUGGUCGGCAAACAAGCAAGAAGAUGGCCAACAAUUUGGAAGCAAUAAAACACCAACGGUGGUGAAAGCAAAAAGUGACAAGGCAGCGGUGGAAUUUAGAAAGAAUAAUCGCAGAGGUUCAAAACAACGAAUUUCUAACCCUAAAUUUUAUGAUGGAGAUCUUAACAAACGGUAGUAGGGUUUUGAAGCUAAUUAAAUUAGCAUGGACGGCUCAGAUAAAAUAGAAAGGGAGAGAAACUAAAUGGAAAAUUAUGAAUUGAGGACUUCUAGUUUUAAAAGACUUUUAAUUAUCUUAAUAUACCUAACAAAAAUUCUUAAGAAGAUCCCAACUAAAUUCUUAAUCUAAUGUAAACAACAAUAACACGACACAACACACGCCUAAUAUAUUGAAAAUGAAAAAAAACUUAAUUCUAACUUUAAUCUCCUACUAAAUUUUGAAAAUUUUAGAGGCAAUAUGAGCUAAUAUGAGCUAAUUAUUGAUGAGUGACAUUUGAUAAUGCCAACAGCAAAUUAUCACUAAAGUUGUUUAUUAUUUACCUUAUUUGAUUUGAUUAUUUAAUGAAGAAAACUUUGGGCCUGUAUUGUUUUAUGAAAAUACCAUAAUCUAUUUAUGGAAACCAAUCCAUGACUUUUGAAGAUUGAAUUAGAUACAAGUGAAUCAAUUCAACCCUUAAAAUACGGAGAUUUGAUCGAUAUUGUAUUGUUGAUUUUGGAGACCAUAUCUUCGAUUGAUUCUGCUUUGAUUGUUAAUGAUGUAAUAGUUAUUUUAAGGAGUUACUUUAUAUUCACUUGGAUUCUAUGUCAGCAAAUCGAAAUCGAUAUACGCUUUUGAGACAUGUCUAGGUAUGUAUGAGAGUUUAUUGACUGCGUUCUAAUCUAUUCAUUGAGGAAAUGUUUUGUGAGAGUGCAAAUUGUUAUUGUAAACAUUAUUGAGUGUUUACUGCCAAGUUCUUAGGGGGAGGAUUUGGAGGUGAGUAUUCUAAUAUUUAGGUAUAAAGGUGAGAUCUCUAUACUUGGAGAGUGAUAAAGUUUGAAUCACGUGUAGUAUUUGUGAACAUAGAUGGUGAAAUUACUCACUAAGCUAAGUUACGUAGAUGUAGGAAAAUCGAACUGUGUAAACAAAUCCUUUAUGUUAUUUGUUAUUUUGUUUGCACAGUUUUCGUAGUGCCAAGCUGUAAUGGCCACUGCAAUCUAACACUUCCAUUGUAGAUAUCAUUUUAAGCAGACAAGUAACUUAUGGUAGCAACAAAAUUUAAUUUAAUCCUUAAAACAAAAUCGAAUGUCAAUUUAGUCAUGAAAUCAAGCUAAAAUUUCAAAUAGGUUCAUAAAAAUACUGAAAAUCUAAAUUUGAUAAUUUUGUACAAAAUUGUUUAAUAAUUUAUUAUAAAAGAGUUUUAUUGAUUUUAUAUCGAUUCGGUACAAAAUUUGAUACCAAAAAUUUCGAGGCGUUAUAUUCAUGUUUUUUGGUAUUUCCUUAAAAUUUUAUGUAUUCCCUCAUAAUUUUUGACACUCUCUCAUGUUUAUUGGUGUUCUCUAAUUAUUUUUGGUACACGCCUCAUAAUUUUUUUGUACUCCCUUAUGUAUUUUGGUGUGCUUUUAUAAUUUUUUGAGUCUCUUCAUAAUUUUUUAUAAACCUUCAUAAUUUUUAAUACGCUUUCUCAAUAAUUGGAAAUAUAAUUUUCUUUAGUGAAAAAUAUUAUUUUUCAUAUUAAAAAUUUUAAUGGGAUUUUAUUGAAGGGAAAAAUUGGUCAUUUUUAAUUAUUAAUUUUGCAUACUAAUAUUCAAUACUAAAAAUAUUAUAUAUAAGGAUAAAAUUUUAAAAAAUAAAUAAAUAAAUAAAACUAAUAUUUGAUAAUCCAUUAUAAUUUUUUAUACUUCUUCAAUUUUUUUAAAACCCAACUCUCAUACUUAUUGCUACUUUUUUUAUAAUUUUUUGUAUUCUCUUAUAAUGUAUUUUUGGUAUUUCGUCAUUAUUUUUUGCACUCUCUCGUGUUUUUUUAUAUGCUCUCAUAGUUUUUUAUGUAAACCUUCAUAAUUUUUUAUAUGCUUUGGAAAAGAGGAUUUGGGAUCAAAAAUAUAUAUAUUUAGUUAAAAAUAAUAUUAUUUUGCAUGUUAAUAGGAUUUUGUUGACGAAAAGCUUUAAAAUUAUUAAUUUUACAUAGUGUAAAAGAAAGAGAAGCCUUCUUUCUGGAUGCGGUUGAGUCUGUGAUGUCAGUCUAUUCAGCAGGGGAAGUUGAGGUUUUAAUCGAUCGUUUAUUUUGAAAAUGGCAAUGGAACCUCCAAGACUAUGCCUUCUCAACCUACUUAUCUAGGAGUGGGUUAAAAGGCCUACUCUAGUGGGACUGCCCACUGCUCCUUCCUUGCCACAUCGGAAAUUCACUUCGAAGCGCAACAAAAGGGAACCUUCUCUCUAAUAAAAUGAACCACCAUCAGCUCACUACAUCCUUCCCCCAUCCUCUCUUUCUUUUUAUUUCCUUUUCAAUCUACCUAGAUAAAUAUAUACAUAUUGAAAAACAAAUAGAUCAACAUCAUAUAUAAUAAGGGAUAAUUUCUUAAUCCAUAAGCCAAACUUGGAUCUUACUGAAGAAGAAAGCUGAGAUACAGGACGAAAACUUACCAGCAGAUGGUAAAUACAUAUAUAGCUUCUCACCAUUCUAAUAUUACUAUGGAUCACCAAUGCAUAUACAUUAAGAACACAAGUUGAUACUACUUAUAAUAAUUGCAUCCACAAAAUGAACAGCAAAACAGCUUCACCAGCAUUCAAAGCCUUGCCUCUCCUCCCUUCUACUCACUUGUUCUCUAACACUUCUUUCACUACAUCGAUGCUGCAAGUCGGGUCAGGGAUCUUUUGCUUAUGUUGAUACAGAUCAAAUGGCCUCAGAUUUGCUAGUAGGAACCCAAGAAACUUGGAAUGGUUGCUAAGUGUGCAGUGCCAUGAAUAAAUUCUGCUUGCAAGCAUGCUCCGGAAUAAGUUUCUUGACAACUUCAGGAGGGAUACCAGAGAGCUCUGCCGUUUAAGAGGAAAAAGAGAGCAAGAGGUUAAGACCACUCAGCAGGUUGGAAAGUCAUCAGGAUAUGAUUAACCAAUUGAACAACGUAGUUACUAGAUAGAUUUUAUCAUAGUUCUUUUUUUUUCUUUUAUGCUAUGAUGAUUUGUCAAUGAGAUUUCUCAGCAAAAUAAUGCAACAACGCAUCUAAAUGACAUAAGAUGCUAAGUGUAUUUAAGUACCAAGCGGAACUGACCUUGAGGCUUGAAAUUGAAGAGUGGUGGUAGCGGACGGCCGUUGGGAAGGCGAACAUUUGGGUCCCUCAAUUCAUCAAAGAAAGGGUGAAUGCAAGCCUCCAACUAAAGAAGUACCAUUACAAGGAGAUACACAUGGAAACGGGAGAAGAAGAGGCUGAUUAUUGAAUUAUAUUUUUACCAUUACUUAUCAAGGAAGCAAACUUAAGAAUGUCACACUUACAGCAGUGCAUCGCAAAUUAGGAGAGUACUGAAAAAACCUACAGACAAGGUCUACUGCUUCUGGAGGUAAACGCUUUUGGAAGACCUGUUGCAAAAAUGUAAUAUGAAUUUUGAAAAAGAAAAUAUUAUGACAAAGGCACAAAAAAUGGAGAAGAAAAAAGAACAUGCAUAUACCUUGUGCCAUGGAUGUGGUUUUAUCUGGGGAAACUUGAAUUCGGUGUAGUUUGGGUUCAUGCACUUGAUCUCCUCCCUUGUUGGAGUCCCCAAAACCUAAACAACAAUUGAAAAUAUAUAGAAGCUUUCUUAGGGCCAUCCAAAAGGCACCAACCAAAUAGUUAUGGUGCAGACUGUAUCUGGCAGUACUUUUAACAUAUUCAAAUCCCCAAAUACUGAAUUUAUUUGGUUCAACAUUUUUUUUCUCUAUUCAUCAAAAGGAAGAGUGACACCAUAGAAACUCAUUUCUAACUUCUGUGAAACAUGUCAACUUAUAUUCGGAGUUUAUAAACCAACCCAAGAGUACAUUUAGUUUCAUUCUUAACUGAGUUUAAGAAAAAGUUAGUCUACACUGAUUAUAAAAGUUUAUGGUUUAUUUUAUUAGUAUCCUUUUGGUCAAUCUAUAAUCUGAGAGUUGUGUUGGGAUGUCAUAAACUUCAACUGAUUUGUCCAAUUCUAGCCAAUGGUCAAAAUUAACAGAUUAAUCAUGCCUCAAGAGCAUAUACUCCAAAAAAUUUAUGAGAAUUGGUAGAAGCAAUCACCUUAAUGAUUUCAACUAAUUGGUCGACCCCGCUCUCACCAGGAAACAGUGGCUGCAUGGAAGUUAGAAGUCAGAAACAACUGACUUAUUAAACCAACAGUAACUUAUAACAGUAUUCUGAUUAUACAAACCUGUCCAAGAAGCAACUCAGCCAUCACACAACCAGUGGACCAUAUAUCUAUAGCAGUUGUGUACUCAGUAGCACCAAAUAUGAGUUCAGGAGCACGAUAAUAUCUCGAGCAGAUGUAAGAAACAUUCGGCUCUCCCUUUACCUGAAAAGGUUGGAAAGGAACCAUGCUGAGGUGAUGAAAACAGAACCGGCCACAAAAAUUACUAUUGUAUCAAGCUUACCAGCAUUUUAGCACUCCCAAAAUCACAAAUUUUCAGCUGAUGUGUAUGUGGAUUCACCUGGGCAUGAACCAUAGCAGUUCUCAUCAAAUGGAGGACAAUUUGAAACCAAAUAUGAAGCCAGUUUAACAUUUUCUUUUUUCCUCAUAUAAAAAGAAAAAACUAAUAAAUCCUGAAGCUACCUAAUUUAUAUCAGGGUAGCUCCACAUAACUACUAUAUGUCUAGCAAAGAUAAAAAGAAUGAAGCCAAUAAUUCAAAUGUCUUUUUAAGGUCAAGAGACUUUACCACCAAGAGUAACAAACAAUACAUUUAUGAGCAAAGAGUACACUAUUACAUGAAAAAUAUCUCUUUCUGCGGCAAAUACAUGAUUCCUGAGAAGAAGAGUCUUACAAGUAAGUUUUGAGGUUUAAUAUCACGGUGACAUAUACCAAUGCAGUUGUGUAUAUAGGCAAGUGCUCUGCAAAUCUGCAAGCCAAAAGAAGACAAUUAACUACAGCUUUCUUCUAUUCAAUUAAAAUCUUUUUGCAUAUAAACUAGACAGAAGAAAGGUAUAAAGAAAAGCAAAUUUAUCUCAAAAGAAAUUAAAAUAUUUGACCAACCUUAUGGGAAAGCAAUAGUUUGAAUUUAAAAUUGAAGGAUGACUUCUCAUUAUAUUACCAUAUGAGAUAAUAACAAUACCGGAGAAGUUAGACCACAAAUCAUUUUUCAAACAAUUUUGAACUACCCAAUUACCUAAGAAACAUAUUCCAACUCCAUCAGUCCAUAAAUCAACAAAACAUAUAAGGAUAUGCUUCCAUAAAACAGGGACGCACCUGAUAGGUAUAGAGUUUAACAUAUAUUAAAGGCAUUCGCGUGUUGAUCCGGCUGUAGCUUCUUGCUGUGCGAUUAACAGUCUCAGGAACAUACUCAAGAACAAGAUUGAGGUAGAGUUCCUCCUUGUCUGUUUUUGAGAAAAAAUAAUGCUUAAGGGAAACUAUAUUUGGAUGGUCCAGCAUUUGCAUAAUCUGUAACUCCCUGUUCUUGUAACGCUUGUCUUGUAGAACCUUCUUGAUGGCAACAAUUUCUCCAGUUUCACGACAUUUUGCCUGCAGCAAUCAGCCGACUCACUUCAAGGUUAUAAUCUAUUUGCAUAAAGUCAAGAACAUAUACAGACAGGAGUAUAAUAGUACAUACUUGGAAAACAACACCAAAAGAACCAGUUCCAACCACGUGCUCAGCAAUAUAACUGACAUUCUGUCAAUCAAAACAAAAAGUAAAAUAAUGCGUGUCAGUAACAAAACCAAAUAAAUUGAAUUUCAAAAGAAAAUUUGCAAGCUAAUUCAUUUUUCUUCCAACCUGCUUUGAAUGACCAUUUCGGCCACCAAUGGUUGUUCUAAUCACAUGCCCUGUUUCAGCACCCACUCCAUCAACUACAUCAGGUUCACUAUCCUGCAUGGACAACAAAAGGGGUCACUUACAAAGUAUAAAAGCAUUUUGCAAAGAUUGUGAACUUCUACUUAAGGUUUCAACAGGCAAACUACCAUAUUUUCAAUUAGAUAUUUUGGCACGUCCAAUCCCCCACCCCAACCCCUCUCUAUAUAUAAAUUGAGCUGCUUACUCUGUCUUCGUCAUGGUCCACUUUGUCUCUCAAUCUCAUUUCAAGCAUUUCUCUCCCCAGCCAAUCAACAGAACUAGAAGAACUUUUGAAACUGUUGACAGACCUUGAACUACCUGCUCCACCAUUUCCUAGGCUUGCAGAAGCCAUAAUUCAGCCAGGAAACCUUAAUAGAUUCUCUAGUAUUUGCUAUCCACCAUAUACUCUGCAGUGCAGCUGCCCAUCCCGUCCAAGCACCAAUCUUCCUAACAGAUUCCCGAAAUUAAGAGUCAGAAACCUUAACAAAGAUAAAUAUAGAAUGAUUAGUUAACAUAAAUGGCCACCAACUGAGAUAAAAAGAUCUGAUAAGAAGAAAAAGAAAUGCAUCAAGAAAAUAGCUUCCUAGACAACAUCACAAGAAUAAACUCCUCAAAUAGAAACAAUUAUAUGCUUCUAGCAGAGGUGAACUUAAUCGUUUACAUAUUAGAACAAAUAACAACAAGAUAGAUAAAAUGGAAUAUUGAAAACAUGUUGGAAUUAAAAUUAUCAGUUCUUUGCGUAGGAUAUAAUUUUAGGAAUUUGUGUCAAAAGAAAUGCAACGAAACAAGGAAACUGGGAAACAAAGAAGAAAUAUAUUCUCAGUCAAGAAACGAACUGUUAAGACAAACAGACCAGAGCUUGACUUCAAAAUAGUGAGAUCAGCUAUAUAAAUUCAUUUCCAUGUAAAAGUUAAAGUCUAAUGUCGUACUCUCUGAAAGAUGCCCUAGAUUUACUGUUUUGCUUAAUCUUCAGUCAAUUAUUUUACCUUAAAAAAUGAACCUUCUUUCUAUUAAAAAAAAGCUUACUUCUUAGCAAUUAGUUUCCAUAAAAUAAUCAUUGUGAUCUCAAAAUAAUGUAAAAGAAAAAUCGAGGACAAAAUAGUAACAAAAUUAGCAAAAAGUGAAGAAAAUUUCACAGUGACUCACAAUCACAACGUGAAAUCAUCCGUCUAACUGGUAACGAGCUUCGAUCAGAUCCAACCCUAAUCUAACCAGUCGAAACACAAGAAACCACACCUAUGUCCACUCUAAGGACAAAUUUAUAGAAGAAAAUCCUUAAAAAAGCACUUCUGCUUAUAAUUAAACCUAAACUAUUUAUAGAAGAAAUUUUAUAGAAGAAAAUCCUUAAAAAAGCACUUCUGCUUAUAAUUAAACCUAAACUAUUUCACUUUAAAAAAAAAACAGAUCGUGAAAACAUUGUUAGCGUUUCGGAUACUUACUGGGAAGAGUUGGAAAUGAAACUUGGAACAGAUCAAGCGCAUCUUUCUCUUCCAAUCUCCGGCGUCCACUUACGAAUUCAAAGCAGCUCUUGCAAAAAAAAAAAAAAAGGAAACUAAGAACAGUUUCUGAUCUGAUCAAGUAUUCUAUUUUCUUGAUUUUCCUUUUUUUUAUUUUUUGUAAUUUACAUUUUUCUAUGUUCUUUUGAGUGGAGAGAGAGAUGGGGAUAUAUAUAUGGAGAGAGAAAGUGAAUGUUUGGAGUUUUAUGGAUGUUUUUGGGAAUGAAAUUGAGAACUGAAAAUUACCUGACAACCUUCAUUUAACCUAAUAAUUAUAAUCAUCAUUGCUAUUCUUUUAAACAAAUCCCUUCACUGUUGCUUCUAUUCCGCUUCCAUUCAUUCUAAAUUAUUUUUUGUUAAUCAGUUUAAAUCAACUUCUUCAAUCCCUCAGAAUAUAUUUGUUUUCCCUUUUCAAACUACAUAACCACGUAAAUUUAUACCUAAUUUAAAAUAACAUUUUAUCCCUAACGAAUCCAACAUUAUUAUCCAAUUUAAUUACAAAUUUCAUUCGUCCAACCCUACAAAAAUUGGAAAUUUAUUUUUUUAUAUUUUAAUUUAUUAGUUUUUUUUAAGUAGUGAUUUAAUAGCAAAUUUUAAAAGUAUUAUCCAAUUACAUUAAAUCUUCAAUUUUUAUAAAGUAGAGAGGUAGAAAUUUAGAAUCUGACGUGUGCCUAAUUACUUUACCAGUUCAAUUAUUUUGAUUUGGAAUAAAAAUAAGAAUAAUCAUAUAUUACGCCACCUAUUUCUUUAACUAAUUUUGUUUAUUUCUUACUCUUCAUAUUAUAUAUAAUUAAUCAUAAUACAACUUUUAUUUGUUUAAAACGACGAGGAGAAUUGUUAGUGAAGCUUUUUGCAUUGUUGAUCAAAGCUUAGUAUCUACAAUUUUCUUUUAUUUUAGAGGACGAGAUAAGAUUAAAAGAAUUGGAGGCAUCAAAGUGUUAAAUUGACUUUUUGAAGGCCAAAUUUUCAUUUAAUUAAGGGUAAACUACACCCAUGGCCACUUUUGUUUACCUUAGGUUACAUUUUAGUCACUUAUGUUUGAAAUGUUACGUUUUAGUCACUUACGUUAUUGUGUUGUAACAUUUUAGUCACUGAGCCGUUAAUUGUCGUUAAUGGUGUAAUGGUAAGCUGACGUGGCACGUUAAAUUAUCAUUUAAAACAAAAAAUUUAGGUUAAAUUAUACAAUUGGUCCCCAUAAUUUUUCGUUUUGAGCAAUUUAAUUCUUUUAUGUUCUUUUAACUUUCAUUCUUUAUUUUCUUUAUUUUCCAUUCUCUUCUGUUUCUCUCUCUGUUUUCCUACCUUCUUUAUUUAUUUUAACAUACCAGGAAGUCGAAUUGGUAGUGAAGAAAGAAGCAUGGUAUGGGUUUAUGGGUUUUGGUUAUAGGGUUUUGGUUAUAGGCAAAUGAUGAUAGUCGACUUCCUACUUCUUUUUUCACUGCCAAUUCGACUUCUUAAUAUGUUAAAAGAAAUGGGAAAGAUAUGAAAACUGAGGGAGAAACAAAAGAGAAUGGAAAAAAAGAGGAAAGUUUAAAGAACAUAAAAUAAAAAAAAUUAAAUUACUUAAAACGAAAAAAAUAUGGGGACCAAUUGUAUAAUUUAACCUAAAAUUUUGUUUGAAAUGAUGAUUUAACGUGCCACGUCAGCUUACCGUUACACCAUUAACGACGAUAUGGCUCAGUGACUAAAAUGUUACAACAUGAUAACGUAAAUGACUAAAACAUGACAUUUCAAACAUAAGUGACUAAAACAUAACCUAAGGUAAACAAAAGUGACCAUGGGUGUAGUUUACCCUUUAAUUAAAGAGCUACAAGAAAUUUAAUUAAAAUAUCAAAUUCAAGAAGGUUUGAAAAGGCAAUUAUACCAUUACCUGCUUCCAUUGGUUAACCCAGUUAUCAUGCGAUUCUUAAUUCGUUUAUAUUUCAUAUAUGAUAAUGUUAUACUUGUGAUUGUAUUGAAUUUGAAUGAGAAUUAGGAAGAAUUCCAUGCAGUUGUUAUAGAUAACUGGAUGGUAAAUCUGAUUUAUUAUUAUAGACUGGAAAUUAUCAAAUCAUAUACCUUCUGAAUUUAAAAUUAGUUGAUAUGAUUAAAAUUUGCUAUAAUAAACUCAAAUCAGUGCUUAUAUAAUUGUUUUUUUUUUUAAAAAUUCGUAAGAUAUUGCAUAAAAUGAUAAAAACAGGAAAGGAGAGUAGCCAAGGCCCAAGUGUCAUAGUCAUGGGUAAGAAAGGGCAAUUAUAUAAAUGUCGAGUUAAGGUGUCCUCCUCCUCCACUGCACAAGCAUAUAUACAUACCCUCUGUAACGAUAUAAAAGUGGUUUGUUUAUCUAUAAGAAAAAGAAAGAAAAGAAAAACACUAGUUAUGGUCCACUACCUAAUUAAAGAAAAAGAGUAUACUUAUGGACAUGUUCUGCCCCAACUUGUCUCUAAAAUUCUAUCUAAUUUACAUCUCUCUCUUUUUUAUUUUCUAAAAUUAUUUCAUUUUUAGAUAUACGAACGUUGAAUGAUCCAGAUCCAACAAAACAUGAUCUAAAAAAGGAACAGUAUUCUGAGGAGUCAUUCUGGACUCCUCUGAUAGUGCAUGAGUACGAAGGGUAACCUCUAAACCUAACAAUCUAUGAAUGUACUACUAAAUUUACAUAAUAGAGAAAUGUGGCGCUCGUUUCGCUUCAAAGGAUACUCGUCUUUUUUGUUGAAAUACCUUAUACAAAUUCUUGUUUUUUUACUAUUAUUAUUAUUUUGCCAGAAAGUAUAAUUUAUUCGAAGGAGAAACACUUGUCCAAUUUUCAACCAGCACUUUAUUAAGAGAAAAAGAAAAGAAAGAAAUCUCGUUGGGCAAUCACAUCAAAUGGCAUCAUCAAUUUGAGUAACAAGGGAGGUGGGUUCCCAACGACAUUUAAAUUUACCAUAUUCCUCCAAAACACUCAAAAAGUAUCAACGAAGUCAAAGAAAUAAAGAUCCAAAACAAGCUGCGAAGGAGGGUGACUUUCCUUCUCUUGCACAAAACCCACCUGAAAACUUGUGGGGCUGGCUGGCUGCCUUUUAUACACAAAGUGCUAACCCUAAACUAAAGUCCAGCAAACAAGACCACACCGCUGCAUUUAUAUUUACAGUUCCAGUUGAGUCCUCAACUGGAUAAUAUCUGCAGGGACCAAGAAAACAGUGGUAUCGUGUGAUUAGAAAAUCAUAACCUUCUUCUAUUCUCAACCAUCUUUCACAAAGAUGGAGAUUUCUUCACCCUCCCGUGUGUUAAUUACAGUGAUACCAUCUGCAACCUCUGUAGGUCACCCAACCUUCUGCGAUAAGAUCAUGGGUACCAAGACAGCCUACAGCAAUUGCAACUGCAUGCUCAAAAUUCAAGUGACCAUGCACUCUGCUGCAUAAAUAAUGAUACAAAGUGAGAAUGACUACAAUACCUUGAAAUAAAAAUAAAUGUAUGUUGCAUCCGACAACACAAAUGAAAUAGUAUGAACCAUGCAAUGAGGCAACACCCUACCUACACUGGAAUUUUCUUUCAUGUCGCACUCCUCAAGACAACAAUCCAAUUCAAUAAACCAAUUUGUUUCACAGCCACGACAAACAAAUUUUACUCGGAUGGAUGAAUUCAAGCAGAUUUUAAUAUUCCAUACUCUAGAUGAGAUUUAUGAUCAAUGUCUCAUUCAUAAUAUAUUAUCAGUAACACAGAUUAACAUUUCAAGGCACGGCUUCCGAACUUUUUCUUUUACAUCACCACUUUUCAUAAUUUGUAAAACUUCCGUCGAGAUUCUUGUGUUUUGUUUGACAAAAGAAUUAAUCACAAGCUAAUAACAGGAACACACUAAUGGUUGCAUUAGACCAACUUCAAACAAGUUAGCUAUGGUUUGACAGAUGUUUCGAGUCUUAAGCUAACUUGGCAACCACCUAACUAAUUCAAGGUGAACAUUUGAGGCAUUACCUGGCAAAAGGUUUAGACCUUCAACUAGACUCAAAAAAACAGACUGAUUAUGAUCUAACUGGCCAUUCCCUGAAUUUCAAUACAGCACUCCAACAGGCUGAGAAAUCAGUCCAACUACAUACUUCCUUUACAAGAACAAAUAGUUCACAUCAUGCUCUAAAAUGCGUAACUUUCAAGCUGGUAAAAAAGUGGCCAACAAAUUCAAAUCAUUACAAUAAAUGCGUUCACAAUAAUUAAGUGCUUACCAUUUUAAAAAUUCACUAAGAACCUGAACUAGAUUUCUGUACCCAGACUUGUUUCUGCAAAUUUGGAGAAUAAACAUUAACAGAAUAACACUAUUAAACAUAUCAGAUAUUACAGCACAAAUAUAAUCACCUCAUGAGAACCAUAGGCAGAAGCAUUGCCUCUCUUCCCUGGUUUCCCAUCACUCACAACAGAUGAUCCAUCAGCAACUGCUCCGCAUCGGCUACCAUGUUUAGAGGACCCUGCAUAAAUUUACAAGAAAUAUUGAUGAAAUGCAAACAAACACAAAACAGACAGUUAAUCAGCUUCCGAACACAAAGCUAACCACCAUCAAAAGAACUGUUACGUCCACUUCUGACAGUUUUAGGUUGCAUGCUCCGAACAUUAGAUAAAUCAACUUUAGUAUCACCAUAAGCCCCUGCCAAUUGUAUAUGGAAAAAGAAACAUCAAGUUCUCCCUAAGGAAAAUUAUGUUUUAUGCAGUUCUGGUUUGCUGCUGCUACUCACAGAGCACAUAAUGCAAAAUCCCAAGUGCAAACAUAUGCAAGUUCAAUGUGUCAUGAUAGCAAUCAACUACAUUUAGUAGAAAAUCCCCAGGAUAAUGAUUAUCCCAAGUAACAAUAAAAGCUGAGAUUUAACAUACCUUCUGAAGAAUCUAAAGGCAUCUGUGCAGAUUGAGAAGCAGAUGAUGACAAGGACUCAUCACUUGCAUAUGAUCCAUCAGAACGGCGAAGGGUCCAUACACCACGGUCUGGCCUGUCUUUGUUUCUCCUACGCCUCUCUGGCUUCUCACUACCAUGCAAGUCACUCCCGACCUUAUCGUCUGAACUGUUAGUAUCCUUCAACAUUAAUUGUGCAUGUGAAUGCCGAGAAGGUCGUCUGUCCUUUUCCAAAUUUGGGGCCUGAAGCUGCUGCUCUGACUGGACCCGAGAAGACUGACGAGCAUCCUUGUUUAAAAGUACACCUCUGAUAAUUCUGCCUUCACACCCAACAUUUUGUUUGAUAGGAGUUGAGCCAAGUAUUUUUGUAAUUGGCGAUGCAAUAUCCUGUUGACGUAACAUGCUUCCAGCCACCUGUGCAAAGAAUUAUAAUCAUAAGGAAUGCAAAAUCGCAAAACAUGGUGAUUGAGAACUAUAAUUCCUUCCAGUAUCCAUGUGAAAACAACAAUCUUAUUAGCAACAAUAUCACAUAUAGAAUGAGAGUAGCAUUGUUCCUUUCUCCCCCAAUUUAACCUACCCCCCCCCCAACCAAAAAAUAAUAAUAAAAUAAAAUCCUUACCCAUUCCCCAAGUAUGCAUAAAUGCACUCUAGAACAUGACAAAAAAGGAACAAGAGGCUCACAUGAGAAAAUUCUCUCUCUUUCCCUUUAAGGAGCAGAACUUUCUUUUUACCAGCAUCAGUAAUUCCAGAAACUCCUGGAAAAACAAGAAUGAGAAAUUUAAACUGGAAACAUGAAACAUGAGAAUGCAACCACAAAAUGAAAAUUUCUGACUGAUUACAAUGCCAAAUAAAACAUACAUAAAGCAAAGAAUAAUAGCUCACUAAACAAAGGAAAAUUAGAAUAAUAUAUAUUAGGCAUUUAUCCAUUAUCACCCAUACCACUUUCCUCUUCAGAUAUUUGAGUUCCCACAGGUGUAGCUAAGGUAGCAUGCUUAUCAGAAAGUUGCUUAUCAUCCCUUUUGGAAACCAGAAUGUAAGCGGACUUGUCUUUGCCACUUGCAUUUUUCAAGCUAUCCCUUAGAACAUACUGCCACCAAAAGGACAAGGAAUUAAUGAUAAAGAAACUUCCAAUAUCCGACCAGGAAAUCCAUCAAAACAACUAGAUUUAUUAUUAAAAGGGGGAAAAAAUCAAAAGCAAAAGUAUCGGUAAAUACCCAAAUCUACACAUCUUUACAACAUGAAAUUACAACUCCAUUACUAUUCAAGAGAGAAAGAUAUCAACUCAAAAAAUAUUAUAUAGUUUUUCCCUAAAUUAACCAAAUAUACACAUACCACCGUAGUACUACCCCUUCGCUUUUCAGAACCUCUUCUGGAUGAUGCUGAACUUGGACUCCCACCAGAUAACCCACCAGCUCUUUUGCUCACUUUCCCAUUAGACAGUGACCUCUGUGAUAAAAACACUAUUAGAACCAGUAAGUUGCAUAUGAUGAAUUGCUGGCACAAAUAGCUCACAGAAAAGCACUGAAAGAAAAUCAGAAACAAAUUAAAAGCAUAAAUAAAAGGUCCGAACUUCGACAAGUCUGAGAUUCAGGCUCUGUAAUUAAAAAAGUUAAAAAUGAAAUCCUCAUACUUUUUAGAUUUAAAAAUUCAAGUCUAUUUGGGGAAACCGUUAGCAUUUUCUAUCAAAAUUUGCUUGCUAUCAAAUAUGCUUCUGAAUUUUGUAGGGUUGUAUGAGUGUAUUGAUGGUAAAUUUUGAAGGAAGUCAACAAUUGGACCACAAUUUGACAUCUAAAAAUAGAUUUAUUCUUAAAAUUUUGAAGUAUAGGGACUAAAUCUCAAACUCCAUUCAAGUAAAGGGACUAGCGGCAUAUUUUGACCUGAAUAACAUAAAAUAAAACCAGGAAAGGAAAAGUUGGGGAAAAAAAAAGACAGCUUACUUCAGUCCAUUUAUCAAUAAGUCAAAAGGAUGGAGGAGAAAAGUAUUGAAAUCCUUGGAUAACAUUUUAUCGUUCUUCAGUAAUGAUGUCAAUGAUUGAUUUUAAGAUCGUAUUUCGCUAUCAAAUCACACUAUAGUGAACGAAAGAAAAGCCUAUUUGACUGUAAAGGCAAAGCUUGGUAAGAAAAACACCAAAUUAUAGCAAACACAACACAGCUCCUAACUUUUGUCAACUAUAAUAGGGUUGCAAAUAUUACCCGAGAUGCACCCUUAGCAGCUCUUUUCUGUCUAACAAAAUCCAUUAAAGGUGUAACUAUCGGACUAUCCUUUGAUACACCUGAAAAAAGCCAUUGUGGCAUAACAGAAAAAUAGCAAUACAUAAAGAUAAUUUUUAGUCAGUCAAUAUAACUACAAAAACUUUCUUCUUGUUUUUCCAAAAGGAUCAAAAUAACAACUUCAGAGAUAUGAAUAAGAUUCAUCCAACUAACCAGCUCUUUCUGCCUCCCUUCUCUCUAAUUGCAUCUCGGCACUAGGAAGAUUCUCAACUGGCUUUGCAAGGAAUUCAAGGAACUCCAAAUACUCAGGAUCUAGAUGUUUAUCAAGAAAAACUUGAAUUCAUGAAGAGGAAAAUAGUGGCAUAGAUAAGCUUUCACAAAUUCCACUUCUUUUCAAUUAUGAUUAAAUAAAAUCAGCUUAUUACCUUUGGAUAUGGUCCCUUCACGACCAUCCUUAUCAGAGAACUGCUUUGGAACACGUUGAGAAGGUGCAUACUCAACAACAGCUUUGAACUGAGCCCCUGAAAAAGAGAACAGAUAUUUUACUUUGAAAUCUACAUGUAGAAUCACUUUAUUGCAAAUAGAGGCUAAGAUAAACGGGGUAUUAAAGAAAAUGAGAUAUUCUACAUAAGCUUGUCAAAAAUAUCUUUUCCAUUAAGCAAUCAAGGUGCUCUAACAUCCCCAAACAACUCGUAGUUUUCUGAGGUGUGGAUUAAAGACAGAUUCAGAUCAUAUGCCUAUUUGAGGCUUAAAAGAGGAUUAAGUUUCACCCUGCUGCAAUAAAAACUAAAAUAGUAUAGCUUAUAACAAAUGAAAGCUACACUACAUCAAUUUCUAAGAAGUUAAAGGUUCAAGAAGCAUACCCUUCUCACUAACAAAUACAUGACCAUUAAAGAACUCUGCAAACUCUAAAACAUCCUCUGGCCUCUUGAAGUCCACGUAUGCUCUUGAAUAAGACAAAUUCUUCUGACUACAAAUAAUUUUGAAAAGUAAAACCAUAAUAAGAUAAUCUUUUGCUGUAAGCAACCCCUAGAAUUUCCGUUAUGAAAAAAAUACAACGUGAUAAUGCAAGACCAGCUGGAUUAAUUAGCCUCUCAGCAGUAUCUAAACGAUUUAUUCAUAUUUGAUCGGAAGAAUCAAGAACAUGGCAAAAACUAGUACAAGACAAGAUAAACACUCCUACUAAAGAAAGGCACUGAGACUCUGAGUAAGCAAAGCAAGGCCAAACAUGUCCCUUUACAAGAGACCCGCAAUUAACCCCACAAUGGCAUAAUCUCCACAUAAGACACAUUGGAUAUAUAUAUAUAUAUAUAGAAUCAACCUUUAUGAGGGCUGAAAGCAGUAAUUUACUGAAAAUGUAAAGGAAAACACCCAUGCAAUUCACUAAAGGAAAAUACGGCCAAAGUUAAAGAAAUAGAGACCGAGAGGGACUCCAUUAACAAAAAGAAAAAAUAAGGAUAAGAAAAUACUAAAAAAGUCCAAUGAAGAAUAUGAUCCAACCCACCCCCAAAAAAAAAAAAAACGAAAGAAAGAAAGGACAACCUACUCUUCCCGGGACGAAAGGAGAGCCAGUUGUAACGGCCAGAAAAGGCACUAUCGACUUGUUCGAGAAGCAUGGACUCCGUGAUGGACGGAGGUAAGUGGCGGAGAAUCACCUUGGUUCGAUCUAAAGUCCCCUUCAUGCCUUCAAAAAACCUAACCCUAAAAAUCACAAACCACAACAAAAUCCCCCUCAAAAACCCUUUAACGAGUUUGAAAUUUAAGAAGGAAAAAACGCGAGUGUCGCUGUGAGAUCACAUCUUCAAUGAACGGAAUUGGGAAUCGACCGAUUAGCACAUCGGAGCCCUAAUUUUUGCGAUUUGAAGCCCAAAUCGCCAUGCAGGAGUGCUUAACACUAAAUGAAGAAACAUAAUAAAAAAAGGAUUCCUAGGAAGAACUUGUAAAUUCUUUAUUUAUAAUUUAUGAUAUUUCGGUUAUGUCUUCAUUCUAUUUUAGGCUAUUUUAGUUUCAUUCUUUUUAUUUUAUUUUAAAAAGUGCCCGGACUUUUGAGUAAAAUUGAUAUAUAUAUAUGGUUUUUAGAAAACAAUUAGGGAUGAUUUUUUUAUAUUUAGGGUAAAAAAGUUCAUAAUUUUUUUUUCCAAACGAUUAAUUUAUUUGGUGCAUAAAUUUAAGCAAUUGUUUUCCUUUUGCAUCCAGAUCUUAUUCUCUUAUUUUCUCAUUUGAUUCAUUUUAUCCUUUCUCAAUUUUUCAUUCAAUUUCUCUUAAUUUUAUAUUUCGUCAUUUUUUUUUUUGUUUUUAACUGAUUUUUAUAAUAACAAUUCCGUAUAUUUAUCUCUAUAACAAUUACAUUUCCGACAUCCAAUUGUAAAUAGUAAAAAAAUAUUAUUAAAAUUUUUAAUUUUAAUUAAGUUUAUUAAUAAGUUGUUAACAUUAUUAAUUUUAUAAUUUUUUUAUGUUUAUAUAAUCAAGCCAAAGAUCGAAUUUCAGAUACAUACACAAUUUAAUUGUUCGUGCUAUUGAAUAACACUUGCAAGAGGGGAGAUUUUUGCACAUGUCUCGUAUGCUCGAGGGGACUAAAUUAGAUCCCACAUUUAUCAGCGCUUUGGCGGAAAGAUGAAGACUUAAGACACACACAUUUCAUCUUCCGUGCAGCGAAUGUACAAUUACACAAGGACGUAGCUUUACAACUCAGUUUACUAUUGGAUGGGUCAGUCAUUACAAGGGCAGUGGUCGUUGGCAAUUGGAGCGCAAUUUGCGACCAACUAUUAGAUAAGGUGUCGGACAAGUUUUUUGGUAGUCGGAUAGAGAUGAAGUGGUUGGAAGAAAAUUUCAAUUAUGUUGACAACUCCGCGAGUGCCAUUUGAAAGGGAACAAUAUGCCCAAGCAUUCAUCUUGAGGUUAAUCGGAGGUCUUUUAAUGUCUGAUAAAUCUCGAAAUCUAGUACAUUUAAUGUGGCUACUACAACUUAUUGACUUGCAAGAAGCGGGGUGACUUAAUUAGGGAUCAGCUAUAUUGACCAUAUUGUAACAAGAGAUGUGUCAGGCGACGCAACCACAAAAAAUUAAAAUUGGUGGUUGCAUACUCAUUCUGUUGUCAUGGACAUGGUAUUGACUAUCAUUUUUACGUCAUUGAGUGAACACCUAUUAUUCUUUCCCACUCGUAAUAAGGUAAAAUUCAUUUGAUAAUAUAGUUAUCAUAAUAUUUUUCAUUAUUAUAUUUUUGAAAUAACAUAUUAUUUAAAUAGGUAGAAUAAUAAGGCGAGUCAUGUGAGCAUAAUGAACGAGCUCAAAGAUAUCCAACUACUGUUAGAUCAACAAUCAGAAGCCGAACUUAGUUUUUGAAAUUUUAAAUUAUAUAAUAUUUAUGUAAGGAUUUAAAAUUUAAUAUUCGAUAAAUAAUAAAAUUUAGGCUUAAGGGUGUAAAAAGCCCGUAAACUUCUUCAAAAAAACAAUUAAGCUCAUUUUUUUUCACUCAAUUAGGUACUUGAACUUUCAAAAUGCAUCAAAAAGACCCUCAAUAUUUUUCAAAAAAGCAAUUAUGUCUCUGCUCUUAUUAAAAUUAGAAAAAAAAUUAAUAAUAAAUAAUAAACUUUAGAAAAAAUUAUUAAAUUUUAAUAAAAAUAUAAAAUAAAAUAAAUUUAUUAAAUAUUAGAUUUUUAAAAAAAAUUGUAAAAAAAUUAAAAAAUUUUAAAAUUUUAUAAAAAUCAUAAAAAUUUAACGACCCCUAGUUUUUUUAAUUAAAGUCAUUACGUAUCGCAACACAACUAGAGGUGUUCAUGGGCCGGGUCGGGCCCAAUCAAAGUUUUAGGUCUAUUUGCUAGGCCCGACUCGAAAAAUGAAUCUAAAAUUUUGCCCAAGCCCAGCCCGGAUAAAAAUGAUAAAAACCGGGCCCAACCUAUAUUAUUUUUUAUAUGAUUUUUUAUUAUAAAUUUUUAAAAUAUAUAUAAUACAUCAAAAAACUAAAAACAUUAAAAUAAAUGUUUCCUAACAAAUUGAAAAUAUUUUUUAAAAAAAUAUGUGUACUUAAAUAACACUAUAUGUGCAAGUUAACAAGCAAUUGCCUCUAAAAUAAUAACAAAAUUAACAAUAAAAUAAGAGUUAUAUAAUAUCCAAACAAUAACAAUAAAAUAGUACCAACAUAAUAGUGAAUAGGUAGCAAAAUAGUGAAAAAAAUAACAAGAAUAUAGUAAAAAAAACAGCAAGGAAAAGCAGCAGUUUUUUUUUUUUGCAUAUUCGAGCCGGGAUGAGCCCGGGCCAAAAAAGCCUUACCCGAGGCCCAACCCGUUUUCUAAAACGAGCUUUAUUUUUUUCCCAAACCCAUUUUUCGAGUCUAUAUUUUUACCCAAACCCUCCCACUUUUCAGGCUGGCCUUCGAGCCGGGUCGAGUGACCUGACCCAUGGACAGGUCUAAACACAGCGUGAUAUAUGGCGAAAAAUGAUAAAAAAAUAAAAAUUAAUAAAAGUUAUAGAAAAAUUAUAAAAUGCUUCUUUUGAUACGAUAAUUUUUAUAAAAAAUUUUACGAAAUUUAUAUUCUUUACAUUUUAUAAUUUUUUACAAUUUUUAUAAUUUUUUCUAAUUUUUAAUAAAUUUUUAAUAAUUGAAUUUUUUUAUUAAAAUUUAAUAAUAUUUAUAGCUUUUAUUGAUUUUAUUUUUUAUAAAUUUUUUUCUAAUUUUUAAUAAAAGCAUGGGCUUAAUUGCUUUUUUUUGAAAAGGUUUGAGGGUCUUUUUGAUGCAUUUUGAAAGAUCAAGUGCCUAAUUGAGUGUAAAAAAAAAUAAGGGCUUAAUUUCUUUCUUUUUUUUUAAAGUUUGAGAGCAUUUUUGAUGCAUUUUGAAAGUUCAAGUAUCCAAAUGAGUGCAAAAAAAAGAGCAGGGGCUUAAUUGCUUUUUUUGAAAAUGUUUGAGUGCUUUUUGCACCCUUAAGUCUAAAAUUUACAAUUUCAUACUAUAGUUUGAAUGGAUGUCAUACGUUGAUCCGAGAAUUCAAGAAUGCAUCCCGAUCGAAUUUUUGGUCAACCGCAAUAUCUGGCACGUCAAGGUGCCAUUGAUAUUUUUUGCGACGACAAAGAUGCACGAAUCCGAUCGAGUGCUGCACCAGUUUGGGUUUAGGCAAAGUAUUCCGUCGUCACCCUAAGACAUCAAAGAACUACACAAAGUCAACUUGCGAGAGAGAACCGAUGAAGAUUGGGCAAAAUUCCUUGAAGAAUAUAUCUACAUUUAGGAGAAUAUGUACGAUUUCAUACCUAUAUGCGAAUCAAUUCUCGAAUUGGAAUUGGCGACCUCUAUUGAUUACAUGAUAUGAUUUAGACAUCACGGUAAGCCAUAUCUAUUGCCGAAAGAGAAAAGGACUAGGCAACUCCGUCGUAGGAGGCAAAGACAACCCUACAUGAAUCCUAGGUCGGAAUACAUGCCUUGAUGGAGUUACCAUUAGCUCCAACCCCACACGUGGUACUGAUGAUUGCCCUACCUCCUAGUCAACAUGGUUCAAAUUAUUUCGGUGUUUUCACUAAUCCUAUUUUUUAUACACAAGCACUGUAUCGUAUCAUGUAUCAACACUUUCUGCAGGUGUAUUUUUUACACCAUCUCCAUCCCCAGCACCAUAUGGAGAGUCAAUGCCAGUAACAACAUCAAUGUAUCCGCCAUCUCUGACAAUUCCAACAUUUUAUUCGAAACCAGGUUAUGCGACAUCUUACACUUAUCGACUGAUAGUGUCGCAAACACCCUAGCGUCAUUGUUCUACCAAGGUGGUUCAUCUUUGCAACCACCUGUUACUCGAAAGGACGAUAUACGAGGGCAACCUAGGACGACACGAUGCUCAAGCACGGAGGAACGACGAGAAGAAGAUGAUGAAGAUAGAGCUCGAAGUGAAUAUGAAGAUGAAGAAGGAGUCAAAACCUCAACUACAAAGAAAUCUUAUUCACAACCGGUAUCCAUCGGGUUGUGACACACAUUCAGUCGAUGACAGAUUAUUUUUUAAAAAAAAAUUGUCAGGUAAAUCAUCAUUUACUUUGUUAGCUUUUAAUUUGUAUUGUGUUACUUUUUUCAUGCAUAAUGUACUUAUUCCAAUUAUAUAAAAAAAAAUGUGAUAUGUUGUAUUUUACAUCAAUAAUAUACUUACUUACAGUCUAAGAAAAAAUUAAAAAAUUGGCUAUUGUAUUUUUCAUAUCAGUAGUAUAUAUGACAGCCUCCGGUUGUACCAACGUCCAGAGUAGAAAUCUUGCACAAAAUAUAUGAAGAAGCGGUGUCCAUAAGUAUACGAGUCAGGUUGUAAUAUAGUUACAACGGAGUAGAUGAAUACUACGGGGAUUGUACCCAAGGGAGGCGAAUACUAAAUUAAUUCUAACCUAAGCAUAAAUAGAUCUAAUUAGUACUUUAGAUGAAUUAUAUUACGAUCAAAUAAUAAAUUUAUCAAAUCUGAGCAUGGGUGAUUAGCUUGCUUCGGUAAUCAUAAUCAACUGUUGUUUUAGGUUUUCUUGUUCAAUUAACUAGCUGAUAUCCUAGCAGGAUCUUUCGAUAUUCUACUAGAAUAAUGAGUCGGCAAGAACUACUUAUCUCUUGACCUCACAGUCCAGACUAGUUCAGGGUUAAGGUGUUCACGGAUAGGUCAUACCAAUUUUGGAUUAAUUCCCACCUUAAUGACUUCCUAGGGUCGUCAAACCUAGGGUUUAAGUUAUUCAUUUCCUGAACAACUGAUCCGCUUAAGAGAACCCUACAAAAUAGUUAAUUAAUCAUGCCUCCACUCAUUAAUCCCCCACAAGAUGAUUAGUUCCUCAUGGAUCUCAUAACAAUAUAAACUUGAUAGAAAGAAUAGGCAUGAACAAUAAUUCAAUAAUUAGAAUAGAAUGUUGAAUCCUAAACUACUUAUACAAAUUUCAGUCAACUAUAACUUACUUUAUUACAAAUUUGAAACUAAAAUACAUAAGUAAAUACAACGAGUAAAUACAGAUACAACACAAGGCAAUUAAAUUAUAAUGAUAUCUAAAUUAAAAACCUAAUUUAUUAUAGAUACUUCAAGUGUGGAUUUUUAAGAAGUAUUUUAAUCUUUGAACAUGCCGCCAAGCUUGUUUUGUAUUUAUAAUAUCCUAAUAUGCCCUUUUCUUUGGAGUAAUCCUGGCAUCAUUCCUUCUAGUGCAUACUCAUAAUCAGCCUAAAGCAAAAAUAUAAACUCAUGUAAGCUCAUAAGAACUUAGUGAGAAAAACGUCCUUUACCUGCACAAUGCUUGCACAUUGUUACUGAAGAAUUGUUAAGACUUUCUUAUUAUCCUGGUCUUUCAACUUGUUUCUGGCAAAUAUUUUUCCCAGAAUUUCAUUCUUCAUUCUCUAUGGAUAUCACGCCUUACUCUGAACUCAUUACUUACCCAUCAACACCUUCGAUACGCCACUUACCUCUUUCAAGAUGAUCUUUCAUAAGUCUUUACUCAUUUCCUUUACAGAGAUCUAUAUGACCGAAACACCGUUACUCUUGUAUUCGUAACUUUAAGCCAUCGUUUCACCACAAUUCAUGUUUGAUCACAUAUACAGAUAACAGGUGCCUUCAGAUAUACGAUUAGAAAAACCCUUAUUUAAAAUAUGCUUCUUUUAUGUUUACUCAUCACCUCUUCUACAUCUCAUCACUUCAUUACUCAUAGUUGAAUCAUGGUCUUGCAUAACACUUUACCAUAGCCCAUAAAGACACUGUGCCUUUCUAAUCUUUCUAAUCACACUUACAAGUCAUAUUGAAUGUGCCAAAACAAUUUAACACAAAAUUCGCUACCAGAAAUCAUUCCUUUAGGGUACACCAUUGAAAGCCUUACUAUGAUAUGCCACAAAGGCAAUAUUUUCAAAAUUCACCAUAUAAGUCGUUCCUUUAGAGUGCGCCACAAGGGUUUGUCUUUUAAAUUAUUGCUACAAAGGCUAUCAUUGCAGGUUUCACCAUAGAGGCUAUCCCUUCAUAAUUCACCACAAAGGCAUUCAUUUCAUAUUGCGCCACAAAGGCUUUCUUUCUUUCCUGACAUGUUUAUAAUAUGGAUUUACCUAAACUCAUGUUAUGUGAGGUUUGCCCGUCAUCAUCCUGGAACACGCAAAGAACCCCAUUGGAAAAUCACCGUUCUUUAAUUCCUUUCAGAAUGUGCCAUGAACAUAGGUUUUUCCUUCAAGAUUUAUAUCAGAGAUUGUGUUUUUAAUCCCAACGGACCCCUUUAGACUCCACCGCGGUGAACAGACACAGAUUCUCUUGACAAGCUCUUCAUAUUCUGACAUUAUUUAAGACUCAACGCUUUCAUGCAUUAACAUACACCCAAACUAGUUCACAUCCCUUCACAUUUUUACCAGAUGUACUCAUACAACCAUGCUUCAACAUUAGGAUACUUAUCUCAUACUUAAGCUUGACAGAUUUCAUACGAACUAUACAUGCCAUUCUUAACAAACAUUAUUACUUUACUUUUCUAGUUUCAAUUUCAUAGUUCAAUAAAUUUCCACAAAGGUAUCCCAUAUGAAUAGUAUACCUACAAGAGUCAACUUAAAGACUCACCUGACAACCACGGACAGUAGUUUGAACUCUAGAUCCAACCUUUAUCAAGAUUCUGCAGCAACCACUACUUACAAAAUAGGGGAACACAAUUAAAGCUCAUUCGAGUAACCAUACUAUCAUCUCAAACCUAGAUGAACCACAUACAAAGCCUUACUUCUUCAUUUUACUAUUUAUGCACUCAUACAGACGUCUCUUUCAUAACACAACAUGUAGAGCCAUAAAACUUACUUUAACAUGGAGCAAUCACUAAUAAAAUUCGGGAUCUCAACUUCAGCUUAAAGAAAUGCCUUUAGUUCUUCAAGCCUUAGAUAACCUUACAUUAGAAGAAAGAAAAAGAGAAUUCCCAUUUUCCAAACAUAAAUAUCUAUUAUUAUAUUCUAAGUCCUUAUUGAAACUUGACAAAUGUCACAUUAUUACUAAAUUAUCUUAUCAAAAGUUUACAACUUCCAAGAAACCUAAUUUAAUAUCCCCUUAUCUUUUAACUAUCUUGGUUCGCAUUCAGUUGGUUUCUAACCAGCUUACCUUGCAACUUAACUUGCACAAUACCACAAUUAAUGAAUGCACUAUAUCCCUAAUGUGAACUCAUACUUUUGAUACCAUUUUAUUUGGUCAUUGGUUUUAUUCCAAUUAAUAUAGUAACCUGACAAUGAACCUUUAUUAACUUAACCACAUAAUUUUAUAUGCUCGUUCUAUAUGCCGAAAGAUGUACUUAGGCAAAGCUUAUUCGGCCGAUCAUACUACUUUAGGACUAUACGCCAAACCUUGUGCCUACUAGAACUGGGGUGUUACAUAAGAAGCGAUUUGUGUGAAGGGAAAAAUAAACAUAUUAGCCUUAUAAAUUAAGAAUCUGGUGAGCUAGUAACCUUUCUAACUCUUUUGUAUCUUUUUUAUUGAAUGAAAAAGGUAAGAAACUUGUAAGUUAUGGUAAAGUUCAUGGAUGUGAAAAAUAAAAAUCUUAGAUAGCUUAUAAAGAUAAUUUGCAUGUUAAUGGAUUUCGACGGUCUCACUUAUGAAUGCUAUCGUUUUGAUUGUCUAAUGGUUAUUUUGUUUAGCUAACCAAGGAGGAGGCCUAAGAGACGAAGGAAAAGUUAAACAAUUGUAGGGUUCAAGCAUCCUGGUGUUUUGCGGAUGAGUUUCUCAACUGCAACUCUCAGUUUUCAUUUUGCAUGUUACAGGGUUGUGAUAGUUGGGUUAUGUUUGUUGGAAAAUUCUGCUGUAACAUUUGGUGACGUUGAACUUUGUUGUUGCUAAUGUUGUCAAUGUUGUUUUGUUGAAAGUGAAAGGGUAUGUAAAGCUCAUACCAUUGAUGUAUUGAUUGAUAUUUGAAUUGCCCUUAUGUUGGUAAGCUGUAAAACUUAGAAUGGGAGGCAUGCUAAUGUCUUCUGAUAGUAAAUAAUGUGUCCAGGAAUAAGAUACAAUAUGACGCAUUGGCGUUGUGGUGGGAUAUUGAUUAAUGAAGUUCUGGCGUUGUGGCAAGAUGUUGAUUGAAUGAUGUAUCAGUGUUGUGGUGGAAUGAUAAUUGAAGAAGUAUUGGUGCUGUGGCGGGAUAUUAAUUGAAGGAGGACUAGAGUCCGCAAAGACUUCUUCUCGUGGUUAUAAAUUAUGAUAGUCCGCGGGGACUUGCCCUCAUGUUACAAGUCAUGAUAAUUCGCACUUGACUUUAAGAGCACAAGUGUGUAACCAUUCCAGAAUGAAUCUGCAAACAUGAUAAUCUGUCAAGCUUGAAUUCACAUAGGUUGUUAGCUAAGUGUGAGUUUGCAGGAUCAUUUGUGAGCAUCAAUUCGUAGGGAAUAUCUUACAAGUAUGAUUCCAUAAUGGCCAUAUUGUAUGUAAGAUAGUCAGCAAGUCUUGUUUUCAAGCUUCUAGGCCAAGUUGGUCCAUUGAGACUCUGCUAUAUGAAAGUUAACGAAAUAAGUCCGAAAAGUACAAGUCCGCGUGAACAAAUUCACAUAAUGCGAUUCUACAGGGCUAAGUUCUCCAAGCAUGAUUGCAUGAGAAAUAUUCAUCAAACGUGAGUCUACAAGAACUAUCUGUAAGUAUAGAUUUGUAUAAACGAGUGCAGGUAUGAAUCUGCAAAUCUGAGUUCACAAGUAUAUGUCAGCAAACAUGAAGCCACAAAUGUGAAUUCACAGGCAUGUUUUUGGGGUGUAUUAGCCAAUUAUAACUUUGCCAAGAUUUUUCACCCUGUAUAAGUUGCAUUGGGUAAAUCCACCUAGAUAUUCCACAAUGCGUAUGUCCACAGAGAGUAAAGGUGAUCGAUUUAUAUGAGCAAAGUGUGUGUAUGCGUGUUACUUAUACUCAUACAUGAACUGUUAAACGUACUAUUUGUCUUUAUGCAUAAAUUAUAUUCUUCGCAAGCUAUAUGUGUGGGCGAGUAAGCAACUUGAAAAUUCACUAAGUUCACCUUGAACUUACCAUGUUCCUUGAUCUAUUUUGUCUUCGGGUAACAAAAGCUAUUUUGAACUUAAAAGGGAGGGACUAAGCCAGAAUUUGCUGUAUCUUGAGUGAGCCUAGCAACUUUUGAGUUUUAAACAUGUACAUAUUAGGGGCGAUCUAUAGGCUUAGCUUAUGAAAUUGUAAAUAUUGAAAGUCUUGUUCCAACUAUGAUGUGUAUAUAUUUAACGUUGGGUAGAUGAAUGAGGAAAUUUUAUUGUAAGAAUAGUAUUCGUUUUGGUGUAAGCACUGUGAAUAGUAGAUUGAGUGGUAAAAGCUUUAAAGAUAAGACAAACUGUUCGCCAAGUCUGAAAUCUAUCCGAGUAGCAUCCGGGAAGUGUGUUACAGAUGACCCUAAAAAUAAAAAAGCCAUGCGACAAGAAAUAGAAGAACUUAUCUACAAAAGAUUGGCUCUUGAAGUUAUCUGAAGUAUGCAAAAUUAAGAAUUUAAAUACUGCUGCUAUUCUUCGCGCUUGGUUCAAUUACACGACGAACUUCGAUUUAAAAUUUGACGUGGGUUGCUUCAAAAUUAAGAUCUUCAUGUUAGAAUGAAAAGCAAAAACUGCAAUCAAUUUGGAUAAGAAAAUUUGAGUCCUGCAACUUUGCUUUUAUUAAACAAAGAAAGUAGAGCCUUACAUGACCAAGGAUUUACACUUUCGAUUAUACGAGGGCUUCAACAGGAAAUCAAAUUCUAGUCAACAUUGCAGACUCCACAAUUAUUUGAAAUUAUAAAAGGCUGCAAGCGGUUAAAAAAUGAAAAAUGGCACUUGCUUUAGCCACGUUGUUGGAGAUUGGAGAAAUGGUGAUCAGGGAACGGAUGAAGUGGAGCAUGAAGCUAAGCUGGCAGUGGAAAAUGAAAUAAAAAAAAAUUAAUUAAUUUUGAUUUUUUUUUUUGCAUGAAAUGAGAUAUGAUGAAUCAAAAUUAAAAAAAUUUAUUCUAUCAAAGUUGAAAGCUCAAGAUACAAAUAUAAUCAAGCAUCAAGAUGAGACCAAAUUUCAAGGUUGUCUCUUUCGCAAUACGCAGAACAUUUGUGUAUGUGAUUAAAUUUUGAGAGAGUAUUUGUAGAUAAAGUAAAUUUAUGGAUGAAUUACAAAGUGUUAUAUAAAUUAAGUUAAAAUUAUUGUGGGUCAAAGUCAAAAUUAUCAUGUGUCAUAAUUAAUUUAAUUAAGAGAUUGAUUAAUAAAAAUAAAAUACUUAAAAGUGAUAAUAUCAAGUAAAUUAAUAAGAGAUAAUUAAAAUUAUUUUGUUGAAGAGAAGAUUGAUUAAAAAAAAGUGAGAAGUGAAAGAAUUGGCAUAUAAAGUUGUAAUACAAACAGUAAUGAUGGAAGAAAUUGGAUGAUAACAUCAUAUCGAGAAUGACAAUUAAAGAAAAAAGGAUUAAAAAGUCCAAACAUCUUUAUUUCACAUGUUUCACGACGACACAAUAAAAAGAAUUUGUGCAUGAGAAAAAGUGAAAAAAAGAUAAAAUGAUGGGUGAGGUAAAAAAUUGAGAGGGUAUAAAUGGAGCAAAACAAAGCAUCAUAAGAGCGUUGUUGGGAGUAGGGCUUUAGUCUCUUUGAUUGACACUCUGCUCCACAUAAAAAAAAAGAGGGCAGCAGACUUUGCAUCUCUGCCCCUUUUUGCUCUUUUGCUUAUUAGCUUAGCUUUCUCCAUCUGCCACUUUCUCCCUUUCCUUUCAUCAAAGUAAGUUCGGGUUUUCCUCUUUAAUGUUUAUAUACGUGUUUCUACGUAGGAUUCUUGAUUUUGAUUACCUUUUCUUUUUCUAACAUAUGUUGAAUGAAUGAAGCAGGAAUAAGGGAAGGUGAUUUAUAUAUAUGAUGGGGGAGAGGAUCCCACCAGGGAGUUACUUUCAGUAUCCGCCUUCUGGAGUUCCUGCUUCUCCUCAUAGGGCUUCUUCUCUUCCUACAGAUCGUGAUAGGUCCGAUUUUUUUUUUCUUAAUUUGCUUUAAUCAAUCAAAGCCCAUGUUCUGUUUUGGUUCUUUUGGGAAAGUUUUACUCCAAUUUUUGAUGGUUUUCUUUUAUUGAUCUAAUAAUUGAAGUUUCUUCUGCUGAUCGAUAUGGGUUCUUGAAGUUGUUUUAAGGAAAAAAAACUUUUCUGUUUCUAUCUUCUUGUUUUUGCAUGAUUGAUUGUUAUGUUUUCAAUUGAUGGUUAUGUUCUUUUGCCCCUCAGGUUCAUAGUUCAUUUGUGUAUGCUUUACAUAUUCCAUUUUAUCUAGAUAUGGUUUUACUUUAUCAUUGUUAUCUUCAAUGUUAACUUACAAUCUAACAAUGGCAGAUAUUUAGCUGAAUUAUUGGCAGAGAAACAUAAGUUGGUACCUUUUACCCAAGUUCUGCCUCUAUGUACCAGGCUCGUUAAUCAAGGUUAUUGGUUUUUUUCCCCUUUUUUCUGCAAUAUAAGAUUCAUUAGCACUUAUCAUUGGUAUCGUUGGAAACUGGUUUUGAUUAUUUUUUGGUUGAAUGAACAUCACACUAAAAGUAAAUCUAUCUGUAUCUAUUCAUGUUAUGCGCUUCUCAAGGAUGUAAAUAUAAGUUUCAUUUUACUAGAUUGUUAUCUUAGAUUCAUCAUCAUGAGUGCAUUGUCGGUUUGCUUCUUCCAAGAAUAAAUCUCUCAUGUUAACGAUAUUGAACUGAAAUUGUAAACAAACAACAGCCUAGUACAAACUGUCCACCUAGCUAUAGUUGAUCUACUAUUAGUCUAAACUAGCAACAUAUGAUUUUAAGUUAUUACAGGCUGAAUUUAUCCUAGACUAGAUGGUUGUACUAAAACAUGUGGCCUAAGCCAAAAAAUAAACCCCAAAUGUUCACUUUUACCAUUGAGGUAAUUUUGACUGCAUAUUGUCACUUUUGUUUUUUUCUCAUGUAACUGCAGAGAUCAGAAGGGUCUCAAGUCUUACUCCUAGUUUUGUCGAUCAAGAGCGAUUUGAACAUGAUAGUCCUUUCAGGUCAUUAGGUCAACAUCCCAAUGGGAGACAGAUGGAUUUGGAGGGUUGGUCUGUAAUGCAAACAGAGGUAAUGCUGCUUAAUGGUUAUAUACAAAUCUAUUGUUUUAAAUUAAAAUUUUUAAUUGCUUACCAGCUUAAUAAAUUUCAACUGCCUUGUUAUUGGCUCCCACUGUGAUUAAUUCUUACGAUGAAUAAUUUGCUUCUCAUUAAUAUUAAAUGGAAGGAAGAUGAAAUUUGUUAAAUGUUGUUAUCUUGCUUCCAGGAAAAUGGGCAUAUGGAACGAGUUCCUCCAAUUCAAGCUGCAUCAGUGGGUUGGCCCGGUUUGCCUAGAGCCCCUACAACACCGAUUGUAAAGAGAGUUGUUAGACUUGAUGUUCCUGUGGAUAAAUAUCCAAAUGUAAGUUAUGUUGAAAAUUGUUUGUUUUCAUUUUCUUCUUUUGUAAGAUAAUAGGUCAGACUCAGUGCCCUUGCAGUACAAUUUUGUUGGCCGAAUUUUGGGACCACGGGGAAACUCCCUAAAGAGAGUUGAAGCCAUGACAGAGUGUAGGGUGUACAUAAGAGGCAAGGGUUCAGUCAAGGAUUCUGUAAAGGUGAAGUCAGUCAUGAAUUCUUUUUAUUUCCAGCAAGUAAUUUUGGUAAAAGAGUGUAGUUUGAUAUGCACCAUAGGUCAAGUCUUAAGCUACUUCUAGCUUGGUCAUUUAUACAAGUUCUGAUUAUAAUGGAACCGUGCAAUUGUUUUCUACUUUCUCUUGAAAAUUGGAGUGUAGCUGGUUCUUGGGCUAGUUUUAGGAGCAUGUUUUUCAUUUUUUUCCCUCUCAAUGGCAUUUUAAAUUGUAGGUGAUGUGAAAUUUGCUCAUGUAACUUCAUAUAUGCUAGUAAUCUGCUUCUCCGUUUGCAUAUGACAUGCUUUGCUGCCGAUUUCAGUAUCAUGUUUAUUUGGGUUUUGUUUUGGGCUUUUUGCUGUUUGUCUCUUGUUUAUAGUUAAUGUGUAUUUUAUGCUUUUCACUUUUCUACUACAAGAAGCAAAAAGUAAAAGCAUCAUCGAAAUGGCAACUUAGUCUUUUGCAUUUUUACAAGUGACUAUUGUGGAUCAAUCAAUGCAGUGAUCACCUUUACUACAUAAAGUAACUCCUUAAAUACAGUAGUGCAUGAGCUAGUUCUGACAGUUUCUGGUUUAAGUAUAAGAUCAAGUUUUCCUUGGUUGUUUGCCCACUUGUUAUCCAUUCCUACUUCCUUUAAAUUCUCACAACUGGCGGCUGGCUUUUUCUACAGGAAGAGAAACUGAAAGAUAAACCUGGAUACGAACAUCUUAAUGAGCCACUGCAUGUGCUGGUGGAGGCUGAAUUUCCCGAGGAUAUGGUAAAUUCUCGUCUGGAGUAUGCUGUUGCGAUACUAGAUAACCUUCUGAAGCCAGUGGUAUGAAUGAGCAAAAGCAAUUUCUGCUAUCUUCUAUGGAUAGCUAACCCUUCCAUUCCAUUUCUGUUUUUGUGCUAACCCUUCUCCAUUCCACCAUUUCCAGGAUGAAUCCUUGGAUAGCUAUAAGAAACAGCAGCUUAGGGAGUUAGCUUUGCUAAAUGGUACCUUAAGGGAAGAGAGCCCAAGCAUGAGCCCAAGUAUGAGCCCAAGCAUGAGCCCAGGUAUGUCGCCUUUCAACAGUACGGGAAUGAAGCGGGCGAAGACGGGAAGAUGAAGAAAUCCCUUGUUUUCUGCUGGUUCUGAUCAUCAAUUGAAAUCGAGAUGGCUUGGCUUGGCUUUUGUGAUGGAUGAUGUAUUUCACCUUAACUUAGGGAGGCUGAGUUAGGAAGAUCUAAGUCAAAACUCCCAUCAGUUUUUGGGCUGCAUAUGGGUUUUCUUCUCCACUGAUAUUCCUUUUCUUUUCCUUCUUUUAUGUAUUAUUCAUUGCCCCUCCCAUAAGGUUUGACGUCAGUCUCUAUUUCCACUAGUUCGAAAAUAACUUGUUUCCCUAAUUAUUUUCGCCUGCUUCCGAUGUGCUCCCAUGAUUCUUUGUACUGACAAUUUUACAUGCAUAUUUCUAUGUAUGCCCUUCGUCAUAAGAUACAAUCAGUCCCUUGUAUUAUCUUUUAUCUUCAUAGCAAGUAUUAUCUCUCUAUCUUGUUCAUUUUACGUUAGUCUGGUUUUGCUUCCACUGGUAUUAUGCUUCUAUAUCCACUACAAUUUCUGGAAUUCAUGGCUGCCUUCUUGCGAGGAUUAAUGAAAUAUGCAAAGCAAAAUGAUGCAAUCUUGUAAAACAAUAGAAACUAUAUCUCCUUAAUAUAACAUAAAUAGAGCAUUUCAAAUCCAACAUCUGAGAACAUAAAAACUUAAUUGUAAUGUUACCUUAAUCAAAAACUGAAAACAGCGAUCUAUAAAUAAAACCUGACAUGCAAAAAGGUACCAGAAAUAUAAAAAAGUAAAAUUAAGAACAUAUUCUAUCACUUAAAGCACUUGGCAUCCAAGAGAGGCUCUCCCUCAAAUGGCUCGCAGUCUUCAAUCAUCUGAUUCACCCGUUCCUUCUGGGCUGCAUCUGACAGGUCAACCUUCUUCCACUCGUAGAGUUCCAUGUCAUAGCACUCGUCAAUCACAAAUUGAGGAAUCUCUUGCCCACGGAAAAGCCAUAGUCCUUUCACCUUGAAUGGAGGGUUAGCACCGAUCACCAACAUCUUCCCAAAUGCAUACUUGCGGGCCAAAUCCAUUCUCUGCAGGAAUCCUCCAACCUUGUUCAUUGUGACAAAUGAAACUGUAUUCUCCUCAUUGUACUUGUAGUCACAAAACCACAGUGAGUAUCCCUCGGGAUCAUACAUGUCCCAGAAUCCUGACACGAAUCAAGUAUCAGAUAUCACAAGCCCAAACAUUGCUUUUAAAAGGGAGUGCUACUGUGAAAACAACAGGGAUACCUUUAAUUGCAACCUCUCGGAAAUUGGUCUUUGUGUUAGAGUAAAGCCUCUUCCAGUCAUCCAGUACCAUCUUACUUGGAGGCAGCAAAUCAAGAGGAUUCUUUGGUUUGGGCUUUGGUGCCUCCUCCUCCUCAGCUGCCUCUGCCUUUGCUGCCUGUUUCUCAACCUCCUUUUUGGCUUCUUUCUUUGGUUCAGCCUUUGGUUUAGUUUCUUUUGGCUGGGCAGCAGGCUUCUUUGAAGGAACAGGUGGUAGAGAGACUGCCUGCUUCACUUCACCAAGAAUCUUCUUGAUUUUUGGCUGAUUAACCAAGGUCCAAAAGUACCUCUCAACAUGAGGGAACUCCGAGGUAAAACUCUUAGUCAUGAUCUGGGAGAAACCCAAGUAGAGGUUACAUGUCAUGAUAAUGUCAGCAAGGGUGACAAAAUGUCCAACAAGAAAUGUGUUGGAAGCAAGAUGAGUGUUCAAAGCGCCAAGGGCUCUCUUCAAUGCAGCAAUAGCAGCUUCCUCAGCCUACAUGCAAAAUACAUAUAAGAGAUUAAAAUGAAAUAGGUAGGCAAAAUCAUACCAUUGAAUUAAAAUGAACUACUACUGAAUUACAAAAAUAAAAUUUAACUCUUAAUAUAGAUUAAUAAAUACAUCAGAAUGGGGGAGAAAACAACCUAGUCUCUUAAAAAAAUAAUGAGGAGAAAACCCAUGCCUACUUGAUUAUCAAUGCAAUGGGCAUUCCCUUCAACCAAAAUUACUUAAUAGUGCUUGAGUUGAUUCCUUUCCAGAAACUAUGCAGGGGAAAACACUACCACAUUAAGCAUGUACUAAAUGUUGUCUAACUAAUCCUCUCUAAAAUAAAUAAAACAAGAAUCAUAGACAGGUAAUCAAUGCCAAUUUUCCCUUCACCAUUCCCUCCUUAAUAUUUUGUAUUUCAAUGACUAAGUUGCCUUAUUCCAAUUUUAACAUAGGACCUAUUGUCUUAUAAUUAGAAAGAAACAAAGACUAAGUAUGGCCCCAGCAAAUCAAGCCCAAUUAAAAUGACAAAAGAAUCUGCGAGGAAAGACAGUAGAACUUACUGGAGGAAGGUAAACACCGUAACCAAGUCUUGGAUACAACCAUUUUGCAAUAUUAGCAUCAAUUUCCAUGGCUGCAAAAUCAAUCCAUUGCUCGAUAUGACCCUAAGAAAGCCAAAGUAAUACAUACAAACAAUUACUUCCAUGGUUUAAAAUAAACUUAACUGAUGACAGAAGAAUACAAGACCAUUGUACUAUAAGAAUCUUACAUAAUCAAUCAAUGUAGAACCACAUAUAGGGUUGUUAACCUUUGAGCGAGCAACUGCAGAGAAAAGUAUACCAAUAAGUAAAAACAAACAUUAGAGGAAGAAAAUUUAGGAUAUGGAGUCAGCAGAUCUUCUCACCAUAACGAGCAAUGGCAUUGCUCUCAAAUACAGGACCCUCAGGUGUUUCCAACACAGGAACCUAGAAGAGUUAUAAAUAUCUUCAGUGAACAGACCUAGAAAAAAGGUUACAUAACAUGUAUAAAAAAAAUUCUCUAGUUUAAAUCUAUUAAUAGGCGUUACAAGGUCACCUUCCCCAAAGGGUUCAUCUUGAUGAACUCAGGAGUCUUAUUUGACACACCCAUCUCAAAAUUUUCAACCAUUUUGACCUGCACACCACUAUAUUCUGCAGCAAUGAGUGCCUUAAAGGCAUUUUUGUUUGUUUUUCCUGCAUGCAAGACCUGCAUGUAAAUCAACACACCACAUUGAUUAGAAGAACCGGUUGAUUAAGAAGUUGAAUUGAAUGUCAAACACCAGUCAAUCCCUACAACGAAUCCAGUAAAAUCCUGAAAUUGAUCCUUUUCGCCCCAUAAAUUCUCUUAAAGACCAUUCACUUUACAUUCUAAACUACUAACCGGUACUUAGCAUUUCCAUCUACCAUACACAAUUAACCUAAUUGACGUAACAUCUCGCCAUCCAUCUUUCUUCUGGUCAAUGGUUCCCAGUUGAAAUCGAAGGUGGUAGAGUUAAAAUCAAAAUCAAUUUUUUUAUCGUUAUGAUUAGUAUCUACAAAUCCAUAAACUAUUCCAUUGAUAGUAAUUAUAUAAAACAUAUUCAAUGUGCCACUUCUUUCGCAAUGUAAAAAAGCUAGUUACAAUUUUCACUUUCUAAUUCUACUCGAAAUAACUUCCACUUAAUCAUUAGGUGUCAAUUCUUUCAACAGUUAAACUACCAAAAGAAAUGAAACUAAUAUAUAUGCACAGAUAUAAAGCUUACCAGAGCCAUGGCUUGAUAGAAAAGAGCGCUACGAUUUGAGAACUGAGAUCUGGAAAAAAAAAAACAGAGAACAAAAUAAAAGGAAUAAGGAAAAAUAUUCAAGCAGGAGAACUUGAUUCCCAUGUAUUAAGGAGUAAAAAUGAGAGAAAGGAUUAAGAAAGAACCUUGAAGACGAAAUCGCAGCGAGAAGGAGCGGGAGAGACUGCGGGACAAAGAGAGAAUAAAAGAAAGGGGGACUAGGGUUUUUGUAGAGUAGAGCGAGUGUGAUGUGGGGUUAUCAGUUCGGGUUCCGGUUUAGAUCCAGAUUUACUAACCCCUUUCUUUUUCCGGUUUUUUUAAGCGUGUCUUUGAGGUAAUAAGUCAUUUCAAGAAUAAUUAAAUAAAAAUAAAUUAUAUAAAAAAUUCUCAUAACCAUUGAACCAUUGUUUUUCUCCAAUUUUCCUUUUCACAACAGUUUUGCUUUUUAUGUAAUUACACACAACUAAUUGAUCUGAAUCGAUUGGAUCACUAAUUUUUAAUUUAAUUGUUUAGAUCACUCUGAACAACACUACUUUUCUCAAAUUUUUUAUCUUGUGUCUAUUUUUUUUAUUACCAAUAUAAAUUAACUUGGAGUAUAAUGAUUUAUAUUUUUGCUCAUGCUUGAGGUUGUUUGUUUAGAUAAAAGUUAACUCAAGUGAGUUGUAUUUAAUUAAAAACUCUAUUGGUUUGAGUUCAAACAUUAUUAUAUGUGAAGUUUUAUUUUUUAAAAAGAUUAAACUACCCUCGAAUAAUCUAAUUUAUUUUAAAUAUGAAAAACAUUUUUGUAAUUUUUUGAGUUGAUGUCCGGUUAACUCGUAUCACUAACUCAACCAAGGGUUUAAAUAAUAGUAUAGAUUAUUGCAUUUUAAUUAAUUUUUAGAAGGAAUUAUUUCUAAAAAUAUGUUUUUUUGGUGCACCUCAAUAGUCAACACUAAUAACUCAUUUCCCUAAACUCUAGACCCCUAAUUUCAACAAAGUGUAUAAUUGUUGAAAUGUCCACUUGUUGGUCUAAGUGACAAACGCAAAGCACCAAGAUCAUUUUUUAUGCACUAAAUCAUCCACGGUGUUAUUAUAUUGGUUUACCUCAAAUCAAACAAUUUUUACUGAUCCCCAUUGUAACUACUACAAUAGAAAAUCUUACCCAUGCCCCUAAACCUAACAUUCAACUCGAUGAUUUUUGUUAAUCAUCGUGCUUAAACAAACCCAUAAAAAGUUUACAUGUAUAAUUGAAAAACCUUAACCUAUCUCCUUAAACCGUAAAUCCCCAUAGUUGUGGGUUGAGUAAGCUAGAAACCAUGGGGAUUUUUUGAACUUGGCAUCUCUUUCAAAUAACAUAAAAACCCUAACUUAUUUUCCUAAACCUUAACCCUAAAACUUUAAUCCCCAAACAAAACCUUAAACACUAAAUAGAAACAUUUAAUAAAUUCCCAUCAAAUUCUUUCCUCUAAGGGUUUUUAUGCAUCUCUAAUUUCAAUAAAAAGUAACCUCAACUCUCAAAUUCAGAUGCCUUUUGUGAUAAUGGAUUUCCUCAAGUGUUAGAGCGCCAAUUGAGUAUGAAAGCUUCUUUUAAACUAACUUUAAAUAGGCUUUAGGGUUUAUGAUAAACCUUGUUUAUGAUUAGUAUGAAAGAUUUCACUAUAUCAAAACAAUGUUUCAACACUUAUGGAAAACCAUGAUCUAAAUCAAGAGAGUUCAAGUUUUCCUUGAUUGAAGUUAGAUUUUGGUUGAAAUCAUUGAUCUAAAAGUGAUAGUAGCCAGAAUAGGUUGGAGGAAAUUAGUUUUAAAGGACUUUAUCAAAAUUUUAAUUUAGGGUUUAAGGUUUGAGGGGAAAAGGUAAAUAUUUAAGGGUUAAAAGAUUUUGGUUUGGGGUUAGAAGGAAAAGGUUAAGGUUCAACUCUUGUUCAUUAGGUAAAUUGACUACGAUCUUGACACCCAUGGGUUGUUCAGUUUUAGUAUUAAUAAAAUGCAAACAAAUACAUAACAAACAAUUCUUCAUCUUCCAAAAUCAAAGCUAACCACUAUUUAAAGAUAUUGAGUUUAGUACCCUAAAUGUAGUAUAUUUAUUUUGUAUAGUUGUAUUUUUCGAGAAAAUUGGUUUAAUAAAAAUAUUCAUUGAUUACAUUAAUAGCCUUUGUAUAUUAUCCUCAACGAUUUUGUAUGCAAAGAAAAAUGGAAACAAAGAUUGGCUCACUAGUUAUCUAACAUUUAACAAAUGCUAAAUGGUAUUACGUGGUCGGAUAGUAAUACAAAAAAACAACUUAUAUUAGUAGAUAAACCUAAAUAAGUCAUUAGUCUAAUUGGAAAUGAGCAAGCCGCUUUAAAGACUUAAGUCGUCUACCAAGUCCAAUUGGGGAGAUGCUUUGUCUUGAGCAUCAAAACGAAGGACUCCCAGAAGAUAGAGACAUAGAUGUCACUGACUGGACUGACAAUACAUUGGACAUGACCUAAGUAGGAUAGAUCCUAGAUUGUUUUAUGAAUUUAUUCACUUGAGACAUUCAUAGUGUGACAUACCUUAAUCCUGAGUGGAUGAUGGACUAUGCAUGUAUGACUCAUAUACUUUGAUGGAAGUAAAAGCCUAAAUUCAAAUAAAUAAGGAACCGAAAAAUCGGUAUAUUGCGUAUACGACUUCUACAACAUAUAGCAUCAUUCACAAUAGUGGAAUUCAUAGCUCAAAUAAUAAGUAAAUGAUAUCCUCUCAUUGGCAUUACAUGAUAGAUGAAAAGUAAACAUGGCCACGAGUCAUUUGUCUUUGUGAUAAAUGACUUGAUUACUAUUUAAUAGUACUAGGGACUGCAAACCCUAGUAUAUUUAACUAGGGUUGUCGCCCCGCCCUCCAAUCCUAGUUAGACUAGGAUUAUGUUUUUCUAUUGAAAUAGACUUCUAAUAAUUCAACAAGGGUUUCAAUUCUUCUCCCUAUAAAUAGAUGGAAACAGUAAGGCUAAAUACAAAACUUUGAGAUAUUGUUAUUCUGCCCGAAAAUAGUGAGAAUUUAUUUUCUAAGUAUAAAUUCUAUUUUCUAGAAUAACAAUUCUAUUGGUUUAUAUUAAAGAGAGAUUUUCUUUUCCACUAAAAGUAAAGUAAAUAAUUUAUGGUUCUGUGCUUUAUUUGAAUUUGUUCGAGCCCACAAUCGAAGUAGUUCGUGGUACAGGAAUAACAAAGAAGGCCAUUCGAUUGAAAGCCAAGAAUGACAAGGACCCGUUUAGUCGAAAGCAUAAGUGCAAUUUCUGUAAAGGUUUUAUUGAUAUAACUAUCACAAAUCGGUUUGAUUUUCAAAAUUUAAAUUUUUCACUGGGCAAAAAAACUGUUUUCAAAUCAAUUUUUUUCCAACUUUCAUAUUAACCAAGAAAUAAUAACUAGACUUAUGAAAGAUGAUACCUUAAGUUUGCUUAAGGAAAUUGAUAUUCCACAAUAUGAAUAUUGCUUGGAAGGUAAGAUGACUAAGUGAUCUUUUAAUGCAAAAGGAAUGAGGGUUGUGAAAUCUUAGAACUUGUGCACACUGAUAUAUGUGGCCCUAAGAACGUCAGUGUGCGAGGUGAUUAUGAUUACUACAUAACAUUUAUAGAUGACUAUUCCAGAUAUAGGUAUGUAUACCUAAAGCACCGUAAAAGUGAAACUUUUGAUAAAUUAAAAGAGUUUCGUGCAGAAGUGGAGAAAGAACUAGGUUUACCCAUAAAGACACUUCGGUUUAAUCAAGGUGGAGAAUACUUAUUGGAUGAGUUCUUUGGUUACCUCAUAGAGAAUGUAAUAUUAUCUUAAUUAACCGCGCCAGGAACCACACAACAAAAUGACAUGGCAGAGAAAAGGAAUCGAACCUUGUUGGACAUGGUUCAAUUGAUGUUAAGUUAUUCAUAGCUUCGAGUCUCCUUUUAGAGAUAUGUUUUACAAAUGACUUGCUACAUUUUGAAUGAUGUACCAACUAAGUUUGUACCUAAAACUCCAUACGAAAUAUGGAAUGGCAGGAAGCCAAGUCUAAAUCAUUUAAGGAUUUGGCGAUGGCCAGCCCACGUGUUGGAUAAAGAUGUGAGGAAAUUGGAUUCACAGAUAAAGUUGUGUAUGUUUGUGAGAUAUCCAAAAGUAAUAAAGGGUGGUUUGUUUUAUAACUCGAAAGAGAAAAUAUUGAUAGUGUCGAUUUAUGCUCCUUCAUUGAGAGGAGUUAUACGAACGACUUUAAAUCUUGAAGUAAAGAAGUACUUGAUGAACUUUGAGGAAGUACACAAAUCCUUGGUUUUAAAUCCAACUUCUAAUAAUAGACUUGUAAACAAUCAUCAACAUAAGGAGCUUCAUUGUAGUGAGAAGGUUUCUCGUAAGCCCGAGUUCUUCUAGUCUAGCAGAAGUGUUUUAAACACUGAGUUUUUUGAACAGGAAGAUGAUGACCAACUCACAUUUAAAAAAAUGAUGCUGAAUGCUGAUUCCAAGCUUUGGGAAAUAACUAUAAAAUCUGAGAUGAAUUCUAUGAAAUCCAGCUAAAUGGAUAUACAAGAAGAAAAGAAUGUGAAUGGAAAGUGGAAACUUAUAAGGCUAAACUUGUAGCAAAGGGGUAUACUCAGAAAGAAGGUAUCGAUUACGAAGAAGCCUUCUUUUUGGUUUCCAUACUCAAGUCAAUCUGUAUAUUGUUAUCCAUUGCGACGACUCUUAAUUAUGGAUCUGUCAAAUGGAUGCCAAGCCGAUAUUCUUUAAUGACUAUCUUGAAGAAGACACUUAUAUGAUGCAACCCACUCGAUAUAUAGCUAAAGGAAAUUAGCAUAAAAUUUACAAAUUGCUUAGAUUCAUAUAUGGACUUAAGCGAGCAUCCCGCUCAUGGAAUCAAAUAUUUGAUCAAAUGAUCAAAACUUUUGAAUUUGAGCAAAAUAUUGAUAAACUUUCUGUUUAUAAACAUAUUAAGGAUGGAAAGAUGGUUUUUCUUAUUGUAUAUGUCGAUGACAUUCUACUCAUUGGAAAUGAUUUAAGUACAUUGUCAUCGGUUAAAUUGUGAUUAACCCAACAGUUUAGCUUGAAGGACUUAAGAGAAGCUAUCUUUGUUCUAGGCAUUCGAAUUCUAAGGGAUAGAAAGAACAAAGUGAUAGCAUUAUCACUAGGUAUAUACAUAGACAAGAUAUUGAAAAUUUAUACGAUAACUGAUUCAAAAUUUAGUCAUUAUACUAUAGUGGAAUAACUUCACGACCAAAUAAGUUUAUAAUUAAUAGACGAAAAGUUGGACAUUAAUUAUAAAUUAUUUAAGCCCUAAUUACGUAUGUACAAUUGGUCCCCCCACUAGCUCGUUGAAAAAAAAAUUAAUUGCAUGUGGAACAAAAUGAAUAGAAAUGAAUGGAAAUGAUAAUGUCAGAGAAAUGAGUCACAUUAACAAAUUAAUGUGUUUUCUCACCAGGUAUAGAAAUGAAUUGAGAAAUUAAUUUAAGGUUUUCGAAUGAUUAUUUAAUUAAUUAUAAUUAAAUAAUUGAAGUUAAAAAAUGAAAUGAAAUUAAUUUUCUAUUAUGAAUGCUUUGAAUAAUGAAAUUAAAUAUACUUCCUCAUAAAAUCUUUUACAAUAAAGUUGUUAUAACUUUAACGGAAUUAGAAUUGAGUUGAGAUAAUUAUUUAAUUGAGUAAUUAAUUUAGUUAAUUAAAUUAAUUAAUUAAAUAAUAUUUAUUUUUGAAAAUAGAAAAUAAACAUUAGGUUGGAUUAAAUCAUAAAAUGCUAGGUUAAAAGUUUAGGAAACUCAUAUAAUUGAACCCAAUACAUGAGAGGUCAAAUUUGUCCCGUAUAACAUGUGAGCAACAACAACCCAAAGGGAAUUUAAGAGGAUGUGUUGCCUCCUCUCUCUUAGUUAGACAAAGAGAGUGUUUUCUAUUAAAAUAAUUGUUGAGUAUGACUCCUAUUUCAGUCAAAUUUGAAAAAUAAUCUUCUAGUUAAACUCUGUUUAUUUGUUUCAAUCAAAUUAUGAUUAGUCUAGAUUAUUUUUUUAUUAUUUGACCUAUGAAUUUAGCCUAUAAAUAGGCUCUUUUACAACUUUAGAAAAUACACCCAUUAGAGAUUAGAACUCAUACACUUUUGGAGAAUUUUUGUGUUUACAUUUUGAGGGUUCUUUGUUUUUUGGGGUUUCAGGGUUUAGUUUCUAUCUUCAUCUUUGUACUAUUCGUUCUUUUUUCAUUAUAGUAAAAUUAUUUUUGCCCGCAGUAUUUUAUCUUCUUUGGAGGGGUUUUUCUACGUUAAAUUUGUGUGUUCAAUUUCUCAAUUUCUUCCGGUAUUUUUACUUGUUCGUUGCUUAAUUGGGUCAAUCCCCAACAAUAACAUUAUUUGUUUAAGCCUUAUUCAACCAAGAUUCUUCUAUCUCUCUCUAUGAAUAGAUAGCACCGAUUGACUUAAAAAACACACUUAUUAGUUAUUGAUUUAUCGUUAUUCUACCAAAAAAUAGUGAUAAUUUAUUCACUUAGAAUAAAUUAUAUUUUUUGGGAAUUACGAUUUUUACCAGUUUCUUAAGAGAAUUUUUUUCCUACUGAAAGUAAUAAUAAUUUCUUGUUCGUUGUUUGGUUCGUGUUUCUCGAGCCCACGCUCAACCCAAAUCCAUCUUGCACAAUGUAUAGGUACUUUUUGGUAAAACGUUUAUUGCUAUAAACAUCAUAAAUCGGUUUAGUUUUUAAAAUUUUUAAACUUCUGCUAUAACUAUAAAUCGUUAUGAAGGAUUUUGAAGAACCAUAUUUUUAAGUGGGACCGUGUGUAUUAAAUCAAAUAAAAUUAUGAAGAAUUUUGAAAAACCACAUUUGUAAGUGGAAUUGGAAAAAGGAAAUUGAGCUACUGAGAUCCCCUCUUGAAAUUACUUAUAAAUUCUGAAAUUCUUUAAUAUAUUUACCCAAACAAAUAAAUUCAUUUUUAUAAAUUUAAAAAUCUUGAUAAAAAUAAAAUCCCUCCUAUAAAUCCCUCACCCAAACACACUUUUAAGUACCUAUGCAAGUUAGGAAGCAAAUGAUGACAAGGACUCAUCACUUACAAAUGAUCCAUUAGAAUGUCUGACCGGCAUUACACGUGUGUGCAUAAAACAACAAAUUUAUAAAAAAAAAUUUAUAGCAAGGUUUUACUGCAAUCAUGCAGGUUAGUUGUAAUAUUUGUAGUGUUACAAUGGAACACCAAAAUAUUCCAAGGAUCGAACUCAAAGGAGUUGGUGAUUUAAUGAUCUGCCACGAAUUAUUGACCGCCUUCAGACAUACUAACAUCUAGAGUGUGAAUAUUGCAGCAAAAGAUAUAUAUAAAUGAUGCGGUAUCUGCAAGUACACGGGUCAGGUUGUAAUAUAGUUACAACGAAGUAUGUGAGUACUCUGAGGAUCGUACCCAAAGGAGGCUAAUACUAGCUCAAUUUCAACCUAAACACCAAAAGAUCUAAUUAGUACUUGAAAUAAGUUAUAUUACGAAAAUAUAAAUAAUAGAGAUUUUUGGGGGUUUUUUAUAGUAAUGAAAAUAUGACAAGUAAUUAAAUAUUGAGAAAUUGAAAAGUGAAAUUAAUCAAAUCUGAUUAUGGGUGAUUAGCUCACUUCAGUAAUCUUCAUCAACUGCCGCUUUAGGUUCCUCAUCAAUCAACUAGUUGAUAUCCUAGUAGAAUCUUCCGAUGGAUCCACUAGAACAAUAAGUCAGCAAUGACUACUUAUCUUCUGACCUCACAGUCUAGACCGGUUUGAGGUGAAGGUGUUUACAGAUAGGCCAUAGCAAUUUUAGGUUAAUUUCCACCUUGAUAACUUCUUAGGGUCGUCAAGCCUAGGUUUUACGUUCUUCUUUUCCCAAACAGCUGAUCUGUUGAGUAAUCCUACAAAACAGUUAAUAUAUCAUAGCUCCACUCGCUAAUCCCCCAUAAAAGGAUUAGUUCCUCAUGGUUUUCGUAAACAAUAUAAAGUUGAUAUAAAGUGUAAACAUGAUAAUUGAAUCGAAAGUAUAAAGUUUAAGAAAAAGCCUGAUUUGUAUUACGAAGAAGAAUGAAUCCACAAAGUUUAAUCGUAUCCACAAGUCAUAUUUCCUGAGAUAAAACAAAGAACAAGCUGAAAUAAAUAUAAAACCUAAGAAAAGAUAAAUACUAAACUAAAAAUAAAAAGAAAGAUUCUAAGCUAAGUAAUCAGUGUCUAUAACAUGUGCCAAAUGAGCCUAUUUAUAGAUUUGAGGUGAUCGUCGUCCUUAACCCUAGGUUAGCUGACAUUCCCGAACUUUAAGUUGGAUUGUGCGGACCAAAAUACCCCCUGGCUCGUAUUAAUUCCCGUCAAGAGUUGAUGUUGCGACACAUCAAAACCUGUGUCGCGACAUAAAAGUCAGUAUACUUUUCUUCAAAGUGUCUUUAGGGGUAUGUCGCGACAUCCUUAAGCUGUGUCGUGACAUCAAAGGAAAUCUUAGAAUUCCUCCAUUCUGCUCCCUAUGUUGCAAUAUCGAAUCCUCUGUGUUGCGACAUAGUGACUAGUAUCAGUUUAGCACGCCUCCUAAUGGUCUCCUAUAUACUCACAAAGUUCAUUAGCUCACCCUUAGACCUCGUUCGACCCCUAAGGUCAAGAAAAGACUCAAUUUAUACAUUUUGUUGAAUUUAAUUAAACUUACUAAAACAUAAUUAAAAUCUAAUGAUAAUGCUUAUUUUCAAGCUCUUAAAGUGAAAAAAUUAGUUUAAUCUACUAACCCAAUUAUGACAGAUCAAUUAUAUUAUUAUUAUUUAUAUCACUUUUUACACGUAAUUUUAGCUUGUUUAAUAGUAAAUAAAAUUAUCUUAGUAUAUAUUUAUGUUUUCAUACUUGAAGUAAUGAUGUAUGCUUUUUAGUAGUUUUUAUUACAUUUUAGAUAUAUAAAUAUGGUUGCAUGGUCCUGUAGGACAAUCUGGGAGCAAAAGAUGCAUAUUCAUGAUGGAACUGUUGCCUAUGUCGCGACACCAACACAUCGAUGUUGUAACAUCAAAGGCAGAAGCAAAAACAAGUCAAUGAGCGAAACUGCUUGGUAUGUCGUGACAUAGCCUUACUAUCUUGGAGCGAAGACCUAAUAAAUUGUACAUAAAUUGAAACCUUGAACUCUUCCUUAUCCUUGGUCUUUUAAUACAUUACAAAAUAGACGUUAGGCUAUAGAUAUUGAGGGUUUAGGUAUAUACAUCAUGGUGGUUUCAAAAAAAUUUAGAGCGAAAAAAGAAGAAACAAUAUGAUACAAUGAUUAUAGGUCAAGCAAAAAUGUGCAAAAAAAGAAAAAUAUAGAAAAAGUAAAAAGUAAAAAUAAGAAGAAAAAGUACAAAAUAAAAGCAAAAGCCUUAUGAGUGAGAAAAAAAGUAAAAUGUCAAGUGGCAAAACAAAAAGUCACAAAAGUGAGAAAAACUCAGUCAUCAAUGCACAAAAACUCGUUGAGCCAACCAUAGUUAUUAGUAUUAUAUUGUAUCUUCCUACAUGGAGAGAUAAGGAAGGUGAGAGAGGGAGAAAAAAGAAGGUGAGCUUGAAAGGGGCACCUAGAGAGAGAGGGAAUAAUGUCAUGUGCCUAACUAUUUCUAGUGUUUGAACUAUUUUGAGCCAUAUCUUUCUUUGAACUCGUACAGUCCUAAGCCUCAGAACAUUACAAGCCUAGAAGACCAAUGUGACUUAAGCGUUCUCUGUGCAUAAUCUUCUAGUAUUGCUAAUGUAAUGACCUAAAUUCAAGGUUAGCGGAAUAGUGGUUUCGUAACCAUAAAUCCGAUUUAAAGAAAAAUUUAUUUUAAUAUUUUGCAUGAAUAUUGAUAUGAUAGGAAAACCGUAUGAAAAUAUUGAUAGAAAAAUUUUACCGAUUUAAUGGUUAGUUAGAAAAAGAAAUUAUUGAAGAAAUUGGGUAAAAAUAAGGUAUGGGGACCUUGAUCUCGUAAAACUGAGUCAGAAAUAUUUUUAUAAAUAUUUAUGAAAUGUAAGCAAUGUGGUAUUAAAAUUUUGUUAUAAAAUUUUAAUGUUUGGGUAGUCAAUUAAAUGAAAAGGACUAAAUUGAAAAAGGUGUAAAAGUGGCUGGGAUGAUUAAAUAGCUUAGGUGUCUAAUGAGAAAGGAUUUAAAAGGCAAUUAGACCAAAAUUUAUUUGGGCUGGACGGAAAGGGCAUGAAAUCAGCAAGAAAAUGGAUUAUUUAAGGGUAAAAUUGGAAUAUUGCAUCAUUAACUAAAUAAAAUUAGGACUAAUGUAGAAAUAUCUAGAUUUCUUGUGAUUUCUCUUCAUUCUCAUCAGCCAAAAGGCCAUAGGAGGGGUUCUUUAAGCUGGUAUUUCAUAAUUUUUGCACCAAGUGAGUUAAUCCUUGCCUUUUUCUUGUAAUUUUUGUGUUUCUAAGACUUUUACAACUAGGUUCUACUAUUAAAUUCAUUAGUUUUUGAUUUCAUGGAUGGAAUUGAAAGUCACCAUGGUUGAGUGCUGUAAGUUUAUGAUGAAAUAACAUGAAAUUGAAGCUUUAAUUUGUUUAUGAGAUGAUUUUAUUAGGUAAUUUUAAUAGAAAUUGAUUUUUAAGACCUAAUUGUGAAAAGUUGGAAUUAAAGUCUAGUGCUGAAAUUUUGAUUCCCAAAGGUUAUAAAGUAGUUUAAAGUGAUAGAAUAAAGUGUUAAUUGAGAAAAAUCAGCUCAAUUGAGAGGUUAAUUGAGCAGGGACGAAAUUAUCAUUUAUUAAAAGCUUAGGGGAAAAUGGUAAUAAACAUCUUGCACUAAAACAGCUUUGGACAGCAACAGUAGGCUAACUUUAAAAAAAUCACCAUAAAUUGUGGAAAUCUAAUUAGAGGAUAAAUAAAAUAUUGAAUUAAAGCUUAUUGAGUCUAGUUUCUUAUAGUAGAAACGGUGUAAGUAAUGGAAUUGUAAAUCAUGAGAUAUAUUAAAUUUUGUGAGACAAGGUCAGAAUGAAUUCGGAAUCCCCUGUUCUGAAUUUGGAAAAUCAUUAAAAAUUGGAGAAAAAUAAUUAAGGGUUAAAAUUUACAUAUUUAAACUAUUAAUGAGUCUAUUUUUAAUAGAAACAAACGGAAAUAUCAUCCAAAUUUUGUACUAAGAGAUAAUUAAUUUUUAGCAAAGAAAGGUCGAAGUUGUCAAACAACAGAACAGGGGUAAGUUUGAAGAUUUUACUGUACUCAUUGGCUGAACCAAAAAUUCUGAAAAUUUUAUGGUGAAAAUAUAUUUGAGUGUAGUUUCAGAAGCAUCAAAUGGUUUUUAAUAUGGAAUUCUGUAGCUUGAGAUAUAAAUAAUUUAGUGACUACGACUCAAGUAGACAGCUUUGAGUGAACAGUAAAUAAUAGUGGAAUUAUAGAGAAUGUUACAUAUGAACGUGAAAUGUAUUAAAUUGAUGAUUAAAUUUAUUUAUUUAGAUCCAGAAAAUUCAAAUAUGAAGCUAGAUCGAGGAAAGGAAAAAGUUCGGGAUUAGUAGAUUUUUGUAUACGAACAAGUAUCGAGGUAAGUUUGUGUAACCUGAAUUAUAUUCUUAAAUGCUUGAAAUGUAUAUUAUUGAUGUGAAUAUGAUUUAAAUGUUCAUUGUAUGAAAAUUGAUGAGACAUUGAUAUAUUUGAUAAAAAGGGGGAAAAAUCCCGGUUGAAUAAAAGGAAAAUUCGAUGGAUCUUUAAAAAGGAAUUGACGGUAAAGAAAAGAUCUAUCCCGGACAGGUGAUCCUACCCUGAUAUAGCCCUCUCGAAGAAUAUGUGUAAAAUAGAUUUAGCUCAGACGGGUAAUCUGAAUUAGGGUUUGAAUUUAGCCUGGACUAGUAAUUCAGAUCCAAGCUCAUUAGAGUAAAUUGUCGUUGUAGGGGAUUUAGCCUAGACUUGUAAUCACAACAAUACUCUAUAAGUUUAUAUUACAGGGGAUUUAGCCUGGACUGGUAAUCCUGCUGUAAGGAUGAGGUUCGCAGGAGUGUGCUCUCUGAAAUGGAAAUGUGCGCACAUGAAUAUGAAUUGACGGACCCGGAAUAGUACGCUAAAAGUGUACCUCUAAAAACCCAUCGAAAUUCCGAGAAAUUCAAUGGGAUAAAUAUGGUAAAUAAUAAGGGUAAUAGAAAACAUGGAAUUGAUGAGCUCAUCAGUCAUUAAUCUUUGUAUUGAACUCAUAUGAUGCUAUUUGAUUAAUGUUUUGGUUGAGUUUGUGUGAUAGGUAAAUGGUAAAUUGAAUGGAUGUAUGAAUAUUUAUUGUAUUGUAUUGGAAAUAUUAGGUAAGUAUAAUUCUUGUUACAUGACUUUACUAAGCACAACGUGCUUACCCUGUUUCCUUUUUCCCUGAUUUGUAGUAUUAAGAGCUCGAAGGUUGGAUUCGGUCGGAGAUACAUCACACUAUCAACUUCAACAUUUUGGUAUAUCAAGAAACUUUAUUUUGGAAUCACUGAUGUGUAUAAGUUGAUAGAGUAAAUGUUAAAGUGAAAUGAAUGUAAAGUUAGCCAUUGGUAUGGCUUGAAAUCCAGGUUUUGGUAUGUGAUGAGGUUAUCUUAUGGAUAUGCGUAAAUCUAUCUUGAAAAUAUGUUGAAUUUGAUUGGUUGAUUUGAUUUGAUAUCGGUGUAUGUUUUGGGCUUCGGAGGCCUAUCUAAGGGACGUCAUAAUAUGUUUCAAUAAAAGAAUAGUAUUUAACUCGUAAUAACGAAAAAAAAUAAUUUGAAAAACUCUGGCAAUGCCUCGUACCCUAUUCCAGUGACGAAUAUAGGUAAGGAGUGUUACAGCUAACAAUUGUACUUAAUGAAAAUUUUUUAUUCACAUGAUUGUAUCUACUCAAUAUCUAUUUGAUUUCUAUUAACGGUGAUAUUGUUAAACAUUUGGUUAUGAGAUUUGCUUCUAAUUUAUUAGUAAUGUAACUUUGUAAAGUAAUCUUAGUUUACUUUAAAAAGUUUUCAAUGCAUCGAACUAUCAAUAUUAAGUUGCAUGUGCGAUAAAAUUUUUUAUAGCUUUACUAUUUGACAACCAUGUUCGUAGUAGUAAUAAAUUCCAAGGGACGUCUUCUUUUUGCAUACUAUAUGUCUAAAGUUGGUUUGCUUGAGGACAAGCAAAAAGUUAAGUGUGGGGGAGUUACGUGUGAGAUUCUUAUUUACAUCCAUCUUCACUAACUUUAUCUUGUUUAAAUAAAGAAAUCAAGUCAUUUUCGUAUUAUUUUUUUUCCUUUUUCCCAUAUAUGUGUUUUGGUUGCUUGAGGACAAGCAACAAGUUAAGUGUGGGGGAGUGAUCUACCAGGAAUUAUACUAUUAUUUACAUCCCUUUGUAUACAUAAUUGUAUCUUGUUUAAUAGUAAAUCAAGUUAUCUUAGUAUAUAUCUAUGUUUUCAUACUUGAAGUAAUGACAUAUGUUUUUUAGUAGUUUUAUUACAUCCUAGAUAUCUAAAUAAGGUUAUAUGGUCAUGUGGGACAAAUCGGGAGCUAAACAUGCAUAAACGGGCCAAAAAUGAUGCCUAUGUCGUGACACCAAGACACCGAUGCCGCAACAUCAGAGACAAAAGCAAAACAAGUCUUGGGGUGAAACUGCUUGUUAUGUCAUAACAUAACAGGCACCAUAUUUGAUUUUGCAACACUACAUGCCUAUGUUGCAACACCACUUCUGCGCGGUCCAAAAGUCCUAGUGCGUGAUAGUUGCAUUUUUUAGGGAAAUUAGGAGAAUUUUUCCUAGUCAAACUCUAAGCACUUCAAAGAUAGUUUAGGCACUUUAAUAUUCUGAGUUUAGCCUAUAUAAAGGCCAUUGUAAUAAGUUCAAACACACAAUUUUAAGGAGACAAAAAUUAUUCUUAGGUUUUUAUUGCAUUCUUAGUUUCUACUUAGUUUAUUUUAUGUUCUUGUAAUCAAAAGAUCCUAUUCCAAAGUGAGACUUUUGCGAGCGGAGAUUGUUCGGAGCCAUACUUUCAUCGAUAAAUCUAUGAGCAUCUCUUUCCUUUAUUUUAUUCUUUAUAUUUCUUUCUUUAAAAUUGUUAAUUGAAUGUUUGUGUAAAGAUUAGAAUCAAUAUAAUUUAUAUAUAUUUCGCAUGUUUCAAUUGUACUAAUCUUAUUAAUUGAUUGAUUGAUAGAGUUUAUUUGGGUUGGUUAGAUUUGGUUGAGUGUUAUUAAACCCUAGGAUUGACAACCCUAAGAAGUCAUCUAGGUAGGAAUUAACUUGAAAUUGGUAUUGCCUACAAAGCAUCACUUAGCAAAUCAAUGGUUAGAGAAGGAAGAACUUAAACCCUAUGAUAGACGAUCCUAGGAAGUCAUAUAGGUGUGAAUUAACCCAAAUUCGGUAUUGCCUAUCCAUGAAAACCUUACCCUACCCCGAUCUGGACUGCAUCAUUGAGAGGUGAGUAGUUCUUGUCGUCUAGUUAGGUUAGUAGAAGUUGAGAAGCCCUGCUAGGUUAAUUAGUAACCAACUAUUUAGAUCCCUACAUCAAUAAUUAAUUAGGUAAAACAAUUGGAUCUAGGCUUAAGGAACUCCCGUAUUCGAAACAAGGGAUAGGAGAAGUUGAUACAUGAACUUAAGAGUAGAUUUAAGUUUAGAUCACUUUAUUUGGUUAUUAUUAUCAUCUUACUUUUAGAUUAACACUACUAAUUUAUACCUUUAGUAGAUUAGUAGUUAUUUUCGGUAAUUUGCUUAAUAGUAGUUUUUUUUUCACACUGCACAAUCUUCAGAAUACUUACCAAGUAUUUCAUUGUAAACAAACUAUAUUACAACCUGCCCCUUAUACUUGUGAACACAACCUUAAUUCCAUAUAUUUUGUAACAGUAUUCAUACUCUCAACGUUGGUAUGUCGGGAGGCAGUCAUUUAGCGAUUUCUAUUCAAAAGUGCAUGCAAGUAAGGAGACCGUGAUGGGCACAGUGAGGUGUCUAUUAGUUGAAAGCAAGUUGCCAAAGGAAUUUUGGGUUGAGGUAGUUAACACUUCAGUCUAUUUGGUGAACAGGCUGUCAACCAAGGAUGUGAAAGAAAAGACUCCAUUUGAAGCUUGGUACGGGUAUAAGCCUUUUGUUUCUCAUUUGAAAGUAUUUGGCUAUAUUUUUUUUUCAUGUACCUCAGGUGAAAAAAAGCAAAGUAGAAAGGAAAUCGUAGCCUGGGAUUUUUAAGAUGCUACUAUCUGAUUCUUAAGGAAAUACCAAUAUUUCUUCCUCCCUUGAGCUGGAAGUUGCGAUUUUGGGUUGUUAUGAGGAGAUAUUUUAUGUUUGGUUAAGUAGUAUGACUUUGUAUGCGAGUUCUGAAAGAGUAAGUUUGUUAGAUUUGGUAAAACAAAAAGAUAAAGAUAUGAGGCUUUGUUUGGGGACUUCUAAUGUUAGAAAUGUUAGUAAAAAGGUAUAUGAAUAAAUUUUGAUGUGCUUCUAUGUUCUGUAUCAGUGCUUGCUGUUGAUUUCGUAAUGAGAGUCUAGAUCUAGAGUUUUUCUUUGCGACAAGUUAGAAUCAGGUGAGUCUCUAAACUGACUCUUGUAUGUAUUAUUCAUACUAAAAAAACUGUAGGAAAUUUCUUGGAAGGUGAUGUGUGAUCUUGUAAGUUGCAGUAUGUUGUGUAUGUGACUUAGGAGUGACUAUUAAAGGAUAUAUAUGAGUGUGUGAAUGUUUGUUAAGAAUGGAAUACAUAUCUGGUAUGAAUAUGAUAGUUCUAGUAAGGCGAGGUGAGGUAUAGUUGCAUCUGAAUGUCAUGAAAGUAUAUGUGCAUGUCUUGGAUGUAUGCUAUGAGGAAUGUUCUAUUAAGAGCAAGUUGUUAUUCAAAUGGUGAAUAUGGAUCGUGUCAGUGCAUGUAGAGUAUCUGUCUGUCUUCACGGUAUUGUCUAAAGGAGUCUGUUGAGACUUUAAACACGAAUUCUGAAAAGAAAAUUCCAUGGCCAUGGCACAUUCCGAAAGGAACUAAAGGACGAGGAUUACCCAAUGGGGUUAUCUGCCUAUCCCAGGAUGAUGAUAGGCAAACCUCACGCAACGUGAGUUUAGGAAAAUCUAUAUCAUAAAUACGUCAGGAAAUGAAGCCUUUGUGGAUAACUCUAAAAAGAAAGCCUUUGUGGCUAACUCUAAAAAGGAAGCUUUCAUGGCGAACUCCAAAGGAAUAACCUCUAUGGCCAAUUGUAAUAGGAUAGCCUUUGUGGCGCAAUGUAAAAGGAACACCUGUGUGGCGAAUUAUGAAAAGAAUAGCCUUUGUGAUGGAUUAUGAAAGAGCAUCAUUCGUAGCAAACUUCAAAUGUGAUGUCCUUGUGGCGUGUCUUAAUAAGGCUCUUAGUGGGAAAACUUUAAAAGAUGUCACUUAUGGCAAUUUUUGAAUUAAGCUAAUUUUCGUAUUCAAUCUGGCUUUUAAAUGUAUUCAGAACACAAUCAACAAGGCAUAAGUUAUCUAUUAAUUAUACGGUGAAGUAUCACAUAGGACUAUCAAUCGAUUGGAAGUAUUGAAUUGAAGAGAUAUAUAGAAAUAAGGAAUUAGUAUGGAAAGUUUAUUUCAAAAUAAGGAUUUGGAAUUGUACAUUUGAAGAAGGUAUUUGUCAUCUACUCACAUGAUGGCUUAGAACUAAGUAUGGUACAGUAAUAGUGUGUUAGUUAAGUUGAUCUUGGAAAGGAAAUGCAAAGAUACUUAUAAAUGCUAGGAUGAAAGGCAUACGUGAUGUAUCGAAUACCCCAAUGGAAAAAGAGUUAAUUUUUGAGUAAGGCAUGAUAUAUAUAGUGUAUGAAGAAUGGAAUUUGAGGGAAGCAAUCGCCAAAGACAGGUUACUGGGCAAGAACAAUAAGAUCAUCUCAUUGAAUCAUCAACUGUAUUGUGCAAAUAUCACAUAGGUAAUUAUAUAUUCCUCACUUAGUUUGUAUAAACUUAUCCAUGUGUAUGUUAUAUUAUAGGUUUGAUUGCAAGGCUACACCAAGAGGGACGAUACCAGGACUACUCUAAAGGAGUGGCGUAUCGGGAAAUUAUGAAUGCAAUUAGUUGAUAUGUUCCUUAGAAUUCAUAUUUUUUUUGUAAUAUAUAGGUUUUAAAUUAGAAAUAUUUAUACCUUAAUUACCAUGUGUUGCAAAUGUAGUUAUCUACUGAACAUACUUAUAUAUUUAGUUUGAAAUCUGCAAUUGAAUAAGUUGUAAUUGUUUGAAAUUUGUAUAAGUAGGUUAAGUUUUUGUUUGUUUAUGUUGGUAAUGCCCAAGAUCUAGAUCCAAAAAAACGGACCAAGCUCAACAAAGGACUUCUCCUCGGCCAUGACUACAAUAAGCUCAGUGAUGCAUUGUCGGUGCAAAUAAUGUUCUUCCCAAAACUUCAAUCCAUCUUCAAACUAGUAGAAUGCUUCUUUUUCACUUAUAUCAGAUAUUUAAAGCAUUUAUUCACUAAAGUACUAAAUAGUGCCUUCUUGAGUAAGCCAGUGCAACUUAGCCCGAGCUUCCUUCUCGGCAUAUUAUUGGUAAAACUGUUUUUUCAUCUCCUUUUGGAACUCCUCCUAAAUUUUAAUUUUAGUCCUACCAUGUUUCUCAUCCGUGAACCUACGAUGCCACCAUAAGAGAGUAACAUCAGUAAAAUAAAUUAAAGCAGUGUUUACCUUAGUGACAUCUAUAAUGACCCAAAAUUCACGGGCAUCGAAAAAGUAUAAUAUCGAGCCUCCGUCUUGAGUUUAAAAAUAAUUAUUAGAAAUAUUUACGAGACUAGUUGUGUGUUUAAUUAGGUUUUAGAUAGGUGAAUUUGGCUCAAUUAAGAGUAAUUAGCAAAAGGGAUUAAAUUACAAUAGAAGUGAAAAUCUAAUCAUAGAUUAAAAGAAAGUAAAAAGGGCUAAAAUGGCAAUUAAGCCAUUUAAAAUGAUUGAGGCGGCAUAAAGGAAUAAAUUUUAAGAUUUUAUUUAUUUAAUUAUAUGAUUAAUGAUAUUUAUUGUUUAUUAUUAGUUAUUAGUUAUUAUUAAAUUAAAAGAUAUUUAGUAAUUAAAUAAUUAGUAUAAGAUUUUUGGGUAAUAAUAAAUUAUGAUUUUGCCAAGUGUGUGGUAAAAAUAAAAUACAAGUGUAUUAUAUUUCUUUAUUUACUUGAAAAUUAAGUAAAAGAUAAUUGUUAAUUAAAUAAUAAUAUUAUGAGAUUUUUAUUUGAUAAAUUAGUUAGAUUGAGACAAGUGUAUGUAAUGAUUUAAUGCAAGUGUACUAAUAAAAUACAUACAUUUGUAAUAUUUAUAAUUAGUUAAUAUAAUAUAAAGUAAAUGAAAUAAAAUGAAAUAAAAACAAAGCAAAAGAAAGGAAAGAAACAGAAUAGAAGAGACGAAACAGGGGAGAAACAGGGGAGAAAGAAGAAAAAGAAGAAAAUAGGGAAAAUAGGGUUUUUGAAGCUUGAAAUUUAAUUUGGUAAGUCAAAUUAGCCCUUUUCUCUUAAUUCUAAUGUUUUAAAAGCUUUAAAACAAAGUUUUGAUGGAAUUAAGUUGAUAUUUUGUAAGUUCAUAGGUUUUCAAGUAACGUUUAUGUUGAACAAAAGAGAUGAAUUAAGAAUUAAAUUGAAUGAAUUUUAAGUUAGAAUUGAAAAAGGGAUUAAAUUGUAAAAGAAACUAUAAGUUUUAUGUUUUAGGGACUAAAUUGAGGGAAAUUCGAAAUUAGCAAAAAUGCUGAAAUUUCGAUAGUUAAAUUUUAGUUUGGAUGAAAUUUGAAUAGAAAUAGAGUGUGAAUUGAAUUAGGAAAGCAAGUGAAUUUAGUUAGGAUUAAAUUGAGAAUUAGGAAGAAAUUGAAUAGAAAUUCAAUUAUUUAUUAUAAUUAGUGCUGUAAUUAAUAUUACAAAUUAUUAUUAUUUUCGUAGCUAACAAAGAACCCGAGGCAUCGGCGUCAAAAGGAAAGGAGAAAGUUAUCGAGGACUAAAACGGGAGAUUUACGGUUUGUAUUACUAUAAUUCAAAUUAUUUAUUUUUAAAUGUUUAAUUUUAAUUUAUGUGUUUAGUAAAUGAAAUGUGCGGUAAGUAUUAUUAUUAUUAUUAUUAUUAGUGGGAAUUAAACUGAAUAUUUGAUAUGAAUUAAUAUUUGAAUUGUUUGUUGAUUGAAAGUGGGAAGUGAAUUUAAAUCGAAUAGUGACUGAUAUUAAAUUGAAUGGAAAUGUAUUGAGUUGUGAAAAUGUGUGAAUUGCGGAUUAAUUAUUGAUUGAAAGGUGGAAAAAUGAUUGAAUUGAAAAUGUGAGAAAUUGUGAUUGAAUUGGGAUUAUAUGUGAUUUAAAUACCCUAUUAACUAGUCGGGCUGAGUCGGAUAUAGUUGGCAUGCCAUAGGAUUGGAAGAGUUCAGGGAUACUUCGACCUCGAGUCGAUGAGACACUGGGUGUCACUAUAUUUUUUCGGAUAGAUUCGAUGAGGUACUGGGUACCAACUUUCUUCGGCUUUGCCGAUGAGACACUGGGUGUCAACUAUUGCUUCGAACUAUCCGAUGAGGCACUGGGUGUCAUACUGGUGUGUUUGGUUGGAUCCGUGUAUCCGCCAAAGUCCGAGUUUUGUUAAUAGGGUAAUUAAUGAAAUGAUAAACCGAACGAGCUACUGAAAUGAAAUGAAAAAGUUGAAUUGUGAAUUGAAAUGUGAAAUGAGAUUGAGAAAUGAACCUAAAGUUCAUGAGAUGUUCAAAUUCAAAUUGUGGAUAUGUGAUAUUGAUUGAUGGAUUGCUAUUGUUGAGAUAUUGAAUUUAAAUUGUAUAUACGAUUUAUGCAUUACAUGUACAUUAUUGUUAUAAUUUGAAUUAUGGUAAUACCACUGAGUAUGAAUUACUCAGCGUACGGUUGUUUCCAUGCGCAGGUCGAUAGAAGUCAAAGGUCUCGGUUCAGCAUCCAGAUUAAUCCCGGCUUCAGCAUAACUUUGGUGAUGUAUAUUUUCUUUUGGUAAUGUGGCAUGUACAUAGGAAUUAUAAGUUUUAUAUAAAUGGUUAAAAAUGUUAGUAUUAUAAGUUUAUGAAUUAUAAUGAAAGAAGUUUAUCUAUUUUAAUCUAAUUAGUCAAUGGAUAAAUUUAAAUUGAUAUUAUGUUAAUUGAGUUUGAUUAGAAGUAUUUAGAAUAGAAAAUGUGAAUGUGAAAUGAAUUGGUUGAUUUGGUUAUAUUUGAAAAUGUUAUGGAUUUUAAUUGCAGGGGGUUGUAUGUAAAAAUAAGCAGAAGUGCUGCCGAAAUUUUUCAAAAAAAAAAUGAAUGAAGUUUAUUAGCGAAAUUUAUAUGAAUUUAUGACUCUCUUUUAUAUGUUCGUUAAUUGUUUAUGAAUUAUUUGAAAUUUGUCUGAAAUGUCCGGUAAUGCCUCAUAACCCUGUUCUGGCAACGGUUCAGGGUUAGGGGGUGUUACAGUUGUUGGUAUCAGAGCUAUCAGGUUUAGCCGAUUCUCGGCCUAAAUCGAGCUCGGAAUUGAGUCUAGAUGUACAUGCCACUGUCGAGUCAAACUGAGUCGAGAUUUUUGGAUGCUGACCUAUUUGUUUGCUUUGUUUUAUAGAUUAAAGAUGUCUGAAGAAAGAAUAAAUGAUACUGAUGAAAGAAUGUAUACUGAAGAUAGAGAAUUAGAUGAAACAGAAUCUGCUGCACCGAGUGUGAAUCUGUUAGGCAACCAGCCUCCUAAUGUGGAACGGGAAAAUGCCAGAGAUAGAGAUGAAUCCCAAUUACUGAGAAUUAUAGCUGAUGCAUUACAAAGAGUAGCGAGAACUACUCCUGCUACGACUUCAGUACCUACUGUUAGACGGGCCCCGAUAAAAGAACUGAGAAAAUAUGGUGCCACUGAAUUUAUGGGUCUAAAAGGAGUCGAUCCAUCCGCAGCUGAAAAUUGGAUGGAGUCGAUUAAAAGAAUUUUGCAGCAAUUAGACUGUACCCCCCGUGAGUGUUUAAUCUGUGAUGUAUCGUUGCUACAAGGGGAGGCUUAUCUAUGGUGGGAAUCAGUAGUUCGACAUCUAUCAGAGAGUCAGAUAACGUGGGAUCUAUUUCAGAAGGAAUUCCAAAAGAAAUAUAUCGGAGAGAUAUAUAUCGAAGACAAGAAACAAGAGUUUUUAAUGUUACAACAGGGGGAUAUGUCAGUAAUAGAUUAUGAGAGAGAAUUCUCGAGACUCAGCAGAUAUGCCUCCAAAUUUAUCCUGACAGAAGCUGAUAGUUGUAAAAGAUUUCUAUGGGCUUUGCGAGACGAGAUCAAGGUACAGUUAGUAUCUCAUCGGAUCACUGAGUUAGUAGAUUUGAUUGAGCGGGCUAAAAUGGUGGAACAAGUUCUAGCCCUUGAUAAAAAGACUGAAGUUGUUAGACCAACCAGGAAAUGUACAGGAACUACGAGUUCGAACCUUCAGCCGAAAAGACCAAAGGAGUCUCAAGGUGGUUGAAGAUCCAGUUUCAGAUCAGGCAAAGGUGGUAGAAGCAGGGGAAGAUAGAUGACGGUAUCUACUGGCAAUGUGAGAGGUCCUUGUCGAGAAAUAGAAAUUCCAGACUGUCAACACUGUGGAAAGAAACAUAGAGGGGAAUGUUGGAGAUUAACUAGAGGUUGUUUCCGAUGUGGUUCUACAGACCAUUUUAUCAGAAAUUGUUUGAAAACUGAUAGUACUGUACCCGUGACAUCACAGAGAUCGGUAUCUACUGCUAGAGGCAGAGGGUUAGGAAGAGGUGGUUCGGUUUCAAGGGGAGGAAGUAUUAGGAGGAGUAGUGAUAUUGCUACCCAGCAGUCUGAAGCUAAAGUACCUGCCAGAGCUUAUGUGGUCAGAACACGGGAAGAAGGCGACGCCCACGGUGUAGUAACAGUAAGAUCAGAACUGUAUGUGAGUUUCCAGAUGUAUUCCCUGAAGAACUACCGGGUUUACCACCUGACAAAGAGGUUGAAUUUGCUAUAGAAGUGUAUCCGGGUACAACACCAAUCUCUAUACCACCGUAUCGAAUGUCGCCCACUGAGUUAAAAGAGUUGAAAGUGCAAUUACAGGACUUGCUAGAUCGUGGAUUUAUUAGACCGAGCAUUUCACCUUGGGGAGCUCCGGUAUUGUUUGUUAAAAAGAAAGAUGGAUCGAUUCGGCUUUGUAUUGAUUACCGGCAGUUAAACAAAGUGACGAUCAAGAACCGGUAUUCGUUACCCCGUAUAGAUGAUUUAUUUGAUCAACUAAAAGGAGCUUCAGUAUUUUCGAAGAUUGACUUGAGAUCUGGGUAUUAUCAGCUGAAAGUAAAAGAAAGUGAUGUUUCGAAGACUGCAUUUCAUACUCGAUAUGGUCAUUAUGAAUUUUUGGUAAUGCCGUUCGGGUUGACUAAUGCUCCAGCUGCUUUUAUGGAUUUGAUGAAUCGUAUUUUUCAGCCAUAUUUAGACCAGUUUGUGGUGGUUUUUAUUGAUGAUAUAUUGGUUUAUUCAAAUUCGGAGUCAGAGCAUGAUCAGCAUCUCAAAACCGUGUUACAGAUUCUGCGGGAAAAAUAGUUGUACGAGAAACUGAGUAAAUGUGAAUUCUGGUUAUCAGAGGUAGUAUUCUUGGGACAUGUUGUAUCUGCGGAUGGGAUUAGAGUUGAUCUGAAGAAGAUUGAGGCAAUUGUUCAAUGGAAGGCACCAAAGAAUGUAUCAGAGGUACGCAGUUUUCUUGGUUUGGCUGGGUAUUACAGAAAAUUUGUAAAUGGGUUUUCGAAGAUAGCUUUGUCGAUGACCAAGUUACUACAGAAGAAUGUUCCAUUUAUCUGAGAUGAUCAAUGCCAGAGAAGUUUUGAAACAUUGAAACAAAUGUUGACAGAGGCACCAGUCCUAACUUUACCAGAAUUAGGGAAAGAUUUCAUAGUGUACAGUGAUGCUUCUUUGAAUGGUUUGGGUUGUGUAUUGAUGCAGAAUGGAAAAAUAAUAGCUUAUGCAUCUCGACAGUUGAAACCACAUGAACGUAACUACCCGACACACGAUUUGGAGUUAGCUGCUGUAGUAUUUGCAUUGAAGAUUUGGAUACAUUACUUGUAUGGUGAGAAAUGUUAUAUUUACACUGAUCAUAAAAGUCUCAAAUAUCUUCUGUCACAAAAGGAGUUGAAUCUGAGACAGAGACGAUGGAUAGAACUUCUGAAAGAUUAUGAUUGUGUUAUAGAUUAUCAUCUAGGAAAGGCAAAUGUGGUAGCAGAUGCAUUGAGCAGAAAGGCAGCGGCUGAAUUACGGACAAUGUUUGCUCGGCUUAGUAUUAAUGAUGAUGGAAGUUUGUUAGCUGAGUUAAGAGUUAAGCCGGUAAUGUUUGAUCGAAUCAGAGCAGCACAACUAGAAGAUGAGAAGUUGAUGAAGAAAAGAGAAAUGGUACAGCAUGGUACGGUAGAAAAUUUUAGUAUUGACGAGCAUGAUUGUUUGAGAUUUCGGAAUCGAAUUUGUAUUCCAGCUACUUCUGAGAUUAAAGAGCUGAUUCUUCGAGAAGCACAUGAUAGUAUUUUUGCUUUGCACCCAGGUGGAACGAAGAUGUAUCGCGAUCUACGAGAACUGUAUUGGUGGCCAAGAAUGAAGAACGAUAUAGUUGAGUAUGUCAGUAAAUGCUUGACUUGUCAGCGGGUAAAAGCAGAACAUCAGGAACCAACAGGUCUGUUACAGCCUAUUACUAUUCCCGAGUGGAAAUGGGAUCGCAUUACCAUGGAUUUUGUUAUGGGGUUGCCAUUGUCAGUGAGUAAAAAGAAUACCAUUUGGGUGAUUGUUGAUCGACUCACAAAGUCAACUCAUUUUAUAGUAGUUAGAACCGACUGGUCAUUACAGAAGCUUGCCGAGGUUUAUAUUCGAGAAAUUGUUAGAUUACAUGGUAUUCCGGUAUCAAUAAUUUCAGACAGAAAUCCUCAAUUCACUUCGAGAUUUUGGAAGCAGCUGCAUGAAUCAUUGGGUACUCGACUUAGUUUCAGUACAGCUUUUCAUCCUCAAACUGAUGGACAAUCUGAACGGGUAAUUCAGAUAUUAGAAGAUAUGCUUCGAGCUUGUGUCAUUGAUUUUGAAUCAGGUUGGGAACGUUAUUUACCAUUGGCCGAGUUUGUUUAUAAUAAUAGUUUCCAAUCUAGUAUUCAAAUGGCUCCGUAUGAAGCACUUUAUGGUCGAAGGUGUCGGUCACCAGUAUGUUGGACAGAAUUAAAAGAAAGAAAAGUGAUUGGGCUGGAAUUAAUUCAAGAGACAGAAGAAACAGUUAAGAAGAUUAAAGAUAGACUGAAAGCCGCUUUUGACAGACAGAAAUCUUACGCAGACUUGAAACGACGAGACAUUGAAUAUUCCAUUAGUGAUAAGGUAUUCCUCAAAGUAUCGCCGUGGAAGAAAAUUUUGAGAUUUGGUCGGAAGGGAAAAUUAAGUCCGCGCUUUAUUGGGCCGUAUGAGAUUGUGGAAAGAAUUGGGCCUGUUGCUUAUCGAUUAGCCUUACCUCCAAAGUUACAGAAAAUUCAUGAUGUUUUUCAUGUUUUGAUGCUUCGGAGAUUUAGAUCGGAUUCUUCUCAUAUCAUUCCCACUGAAGACAUUGAAAUUCGAUCUGAUUUAACUUAUGAAGAAGAACCAAUUCAGAUAUUAGCACGAGAAGUGAAAGAAUUAAGAAAUAAACGGGUUCCUUUAGUAAAAAUUUUAUGGAGAAGUCAUAGUGUGGAAGAAGCGACUUGGGAACCGGAAGAGACAAUGAGAGCACAAUAUCCUCAUCUCUUCUCAGGUAAAUUUCGAGGACGAAAUUUAUUAAGGGGGAGAAAUGUAAUGACCCAAAAUUCACGGGCAUCGGAAAAGUAUAAUAUCGGGCCUCCGUCUUGAGUUUAAAAAUAAUUAUUAGAAAUAUUUAUGAGACUAGUUGUGUGUUUAAUUAGGUUUUAGAUAGGUGAAUUUGGCUCAAUUAAGAGUAAUUAGCAAAAGGGAUUAAAUUACAAUAGAAGUGAAAAUCUAAUCAUAGAUUAAAAGAAAGUAAAAAGGGCUAAAAUGGCAAUUAAGCCAUUUAAAAUGAUUGAGGCGGCAUAAAGGAAUAAAAUUUAAGAUUUUAUUUAUUUAAUUAUAUAAUUAAUGAUAUUUAUUAUUUAUUAUUAGUUAUUAGUUAUUAUUAAAUUAAAAGAUAUUUAGUAAUUAAAUAAUUAGUAUAAGAUUUUUGGGUAAUAAUAAAUUAUGAUUUUGUCAAGUGUGUGGUAAAAAUAAAAUACAAGUGUAUUAUAUUUAUUUAUUUACUUGAAAAUUAAGUAAAAGAUAAUUGUUAAUUAAAUAAUAAUAUUAUGAGAUUUUUAUUUGAUAAAUUAGUUAGAUUGAGACAAGUGUAUGUAAUGAUUUAAUGCAAGUGUACUAAUAAAAUACAUACAUUUGUAAUAUUUAUAAUUAAUUAAUAUAAUAUAAAGUAAAUGAAAUAAAAUGAAAUAAAAACAAAGCAAAAGAAAGGAAAGAAACAGAAUAGAAGAGACGAAACAGGGGAGAAACAGGGGAGAAAGAAGAAAAAGAAGAAAAUAGGGAAAAUAGGGUUUUUGAAGCUUGAAAUUUAAUUUGGUAAGUCAAAUUAGCCCUUUUCUCUUAAUUCUAAUGUUUUAAAAGCUUUAAAACAAAGUUUUGAUGGAAUUAAGUUGAUAUUUUGUAAGUUCAUAGGUUUUCAAGUAAUGUUUAUGUUGAACAAAAGAGAUGAAUUAAGAAUUAAAUUGAAUGAAUUUUAAGUUAGAAUUGAAAAAGGGAUUAAAUUGUAAAAGAAACUAUAAGUUUUAUGUUUUAGGGACUAAAUUGAGGGAAAUUCGAAAUUAGCAAAAUAUGCUGAAAUUUCGAUAGUUAAAUUUUAGUUUGGAUGAAAUUUGAAUAGAAAUAGAGUGUGAAUUGAAUUAGGAAAGCAAGUGAAUUUAGUUAGGAUUAAAUUGAGAAUUAGGAAGAAAUUGAAUAGAAAUUCAAUUAUUUAUUAUAAUUAGUGCUGUAAUUAAUAUUACAAAUUAUUAUUAUUUUCGUAGCUAACAAAGAACCCGAGGCAUCGGCGUCAAAAGGAAAGGAGAAAGUUAUCGAGGACUAAAACGGGAGAUUUACGGUUUGUAUUACUAUAAUUCAAAUUAUUUAUUUUUAAAUGUUUAAUUUUAAUUUAUGUGUUUAGUAAAUGAAAUGUGCGGUAAGUAUUAUUAUUAUUAUUAUUAUUAGUGGGAAUUAAACUGAAUAUUUGAUAUGAAUUAAUAUUUGAAUUGUUUGUUGAUUGAAAGUGGGAAGUGAAUUUAAAUCGAAUAGUGACUGAUAUUAAAUUGAAUGGAAAUGUAUUGAGUUGUGAAAAUGUGUGAAUUGCGGAUUAAUUAUUGAUUGAAAGGUGGAAAAAUGAUUGAAUUGAAAAUGUGAGAAAUUGUGAUUGAAUUGGGAUUAUAUGUGAUUUAAAUACCCUAUUAACUAGUCGGGCUGAGUCGGAUAUAGUUGGCAUGCCAUAGGAUUGGAAGAGUUCAGGGAUACUUCGACCUCGAGUCGAUGAGACACUGGGUGUCACUAUAUUUUUUCGGAUAGAUUCGAUGAGGUACUGGGUACCAACUUUCUUCAGCUUUGCCGAUGAGACACUGGGUGUCAACUAUUGCUUCGAACUAUCCGAUGAGGCACUGGGUGUCAUACUGGUGUGUUUGGUUGGAUCCGUGUAUCCGCCAAAGUCUGAUUUUUGUUAAUAGGGUAAUUAAUGAAAUGAUAAACCGAACGAGCUACUGAAAUGAAAUGAAAAAGUUGAAUUGUGAAUUGAAAUGUGAAAUGAGAUUGAGAAAUGAACCUAAAGUUCAUGAGAUGUUCAAAUUCAAAUUGUGGAUAUGUGAUAUUGAUUGAUGGAUUGCUAUUGUUGAGAUAUUGAAUUUAAAUUGUAUAUACGAUUUAUGCAUUACAUGUACAUUAUUGUUAUAAUUUGAAUUAUGGUAAUACCACUGAGUAUGAAUUACUUAGCGUACGGUUGUUUCCGUGCGCAGGUCGAUAGAAGUCAAAGGUCUCGGUUCAGCAUCCAGAUUAAUCCCGGCUUCAGCAUAACUUUGGUGAUGUAUAUUUUCUUUUGGUAAUGUGGCAUGUACAUAGGAAUUAUAAGUUUUAUAUAAAUGGUUAAAAAUGUUAGUAUUAUAAGUUUAUGAAUUAUAAUGAAAGAAGUUUAUCUAUUUUAAUCUAAUUAGUCAAUGGAUAAAUUUAAAUUGAUAUUAUGUUAAUUGAGUUUGAUUAGAAGUAUUUAGAAUAGAAAAUGUGAAUGUGAAAUGAAUUGGUUGAUUUGGUUAUAUUUGAAAAUGUUAUGGAUUUUAAUUGUAGGGGGUUGUAUGUAAAAAUAAGCAGAAGUGCUGCCGAAAUUUUUCGAAAAAAAAUGAAUGAAGUCUAUUAGCGAAAUUUAUAUGAAUUUAUUACUCUCUUAUAUAUGUUCGUUAAUUGUUUAUGAAUUAUUUGGAAUUUGUCUGAAAUGUCCGGUAAUGCCUCGUAACCCUAUUCUGGCAACAGUUCGGGGUUAGGGGGUGUUACAACAUCAUCCUAAUACCCAACGACUGAUAGUGUUGUUCCAUUUCCCACAAGAAGUUGUCCACUUCUCUAGUGGACCUUCCCCCUCAAACUUCUCUGGUUUGGGAACAUCCAUCUUCCGUUGAUUUGGUCUCGAAGCCAACAUCUUAUUGCUCAAAUUAGCCUUAUAGAUUGUGAGCUCCCCCUUAAGCUCCUCAAUUUUUUCUUUCAAGGUCAUCAUUGUGGCCUCAAGAGCAUCAUCCGUCACGGUCAACUUAUCCACAAUGGAACUAAGCAUCCAUUGCAUCACUUCCACAUUAGAACCGAGAGACUCCAAGAUAAAUUCCUUGAAUUUCUCCUUCAUCGAGUUUAACUCAUUGGUGCGUCGCUCAACUACCUUGAGUGUCUCCCCCAUAUCUCCAAUAGGCUCCUCAAGAUUGGUCACUUGAAUUGCCAAAGCCGACAGCAUUUCCCUCGAUCAAUUAGCUUUGCUAGAGCUCCCGUGGGUCUCCAUAGGCUUAAUUUGAUCUUCUACUCCUUUUGUCAUCUCAAGUGGCACUUUCAAAACCUUAGCUCUAAUACCAACUAUCACAGGGGUAGAACUUUAGUCUCACAAUCCGUGCGACCUUAGGCAAAUUCUUAGGUUCAAAUCCGCCUAAGUUAGUCUAACUCUUGCAAAGUGAAAAAUCUUGAUAGAAAUUCUCUAAGGUGCAAAAAAUAAAGUGAAAGUAAAUCAAAACAAAAGAACAAAAAAUGCCACAAGAAAGCAAAGUACAUCAAGUGUUUGAGUAAAUGUUCUCAAAGUAUUCUAUUACUCUGGAAAUAAUACAAAAAAUAGGAUAGGAUACAAUGGAAUAUUACAAAUGAGGGAGAAUGCCUCUAUUUAUACUUGAGCUCCCCAAGCCAACGAUAUAGAUUGAGUUACAUUAAUGAUUGAGAUUAAAUCCUAUCUACAAUUGAGAUUCUUAAAGGAUUGACUUAAUCUUUUAAGAUUAUAAAAUCAAGUCUUAUCAUGUUACAUAUCUUCUAAGAUUGGUUUCCUUAUUUGCCAAUAUAGCCCUAAUUUUCCAUAAAUGCUUCACUGGACUAUCAAUGCUUCAAGUAGACAGGCUUCUCCAUAUGCUCCACAAAUCGGGCCAGUUCAAAUGCGUCGAAUGAGCCAUGUUUCAUCAUUUGACCUCCAUGGGACAAUCCUUGGCAUUCAUCACGGGCUCUGAUCCGUGACCCAUGACAUAAGCACAUAAAUGUUUAGUAAGUUUAAUUGACAAGUAUUAUACUUAUCUUGCUAGGUGGACCUACAAAUUCAUUGCUCAACAAGCUUCAUAUUCUCGUAUUAGUUACUUAGCAUAAGAUAAGGAAAAUGUGUAGGUAACCAUGUUCAUUAAGUCUAUACAAGCAAAUUAUAACAUGUCCAAUAAGUGUUCAUUAUAUUCUAUUGAUCACAUGUGCACCUAUUUCCACUUUAUUACUACCUUUCAAUUCCAAUUUACGAGUUAAGAUAAUCAAGUUCAUACCUUUUUCAACCUUAAUUCUUUUCUUUAACCAUUUCUUGUCCAAUUUCAAUUUUGUAGCCCAUGUAAUCUUAGUAAAAUAGGACUCGGCUACUAUGAGAAAACCAAAAAUGCUAAGCCCAAAGGCCAUCACAUAUCAUAUCAUGUAGGCCUCCGAAGAGGUAUUGAAAGUCUAAUGGUCUAUAACAAAUGUUCUACCAAGGGUAAGCUAGAACUGGGUUUUCAGAAAACAAACCACAUACCUCUGAACCUCACACCACAACAAAUGUACUUAAGUGUAAGGCACAAAGGCAACAUAUAACAAAUAGGUUCAAAGGCGACAUACACAUAUAACUCUAAUUGACAUGUCAAUCGUAUCCUAACCUUUCUACCAAGUUUACAUAAGCUAUCAUUAACAUACUAAAGAAUUCACAUUUAAGUACCAUUAAGGCAAUUUUUCAUAUGUAUCGUCAUAUUUCCAUAAUGCCACACUUUAAUCACAAGAGUUAAGAUCUUCAAUUGAGGUUUUCAUACCACAUGAAUUUACGUGUUUGUUUAUUCACGUUAACAUGGUUACGUAUAUCAUAAUCAUACUAAAUCUUAACUUGACAUAGUCAAUUACCAUAUUUAACACGUUCUUUCAUAUUUAAUUCUUUGCAUAACAUAGUUCAGUAUAUAAACAUAUUAACUAGUAUAUUCCAUUAAGGUUCUGUUAAUAUACUCAUUAAUUAAUCGUCCAUUCAUGAUCUUAACAUGUUAUAUUCAUUAUGCAUCAAAUUAAAUGUUGUUGAGCUAUUUAACACCUAUAAACAUUGUACUAAAGACACAUAAUAAGCAAAUAUUGUAAGUUCAAGUGAACUUACCUAUUAAGAUCAUUUAAUGAUCAUCAAUUUAAAUUUUCAUUUCCUUAACUUAAGAUUCUACUCAAAAUACACACAACACAUACAAGCAUUGAAUUAAUAAUUUGAAUCUCCUUUGGUUAGUCUUACAAGCAUUGGAUUAAUUGAAUUCAACACUUGAUAGCCAUAUAGUGGCCAUUUUACUUGUUGAAAAUUCAAGAAUGCUUAACCUUUGAGCCUUAGACUUUUAUAUCCAAAAUUGAUAUAACUCGUAAUUUUCCUAUUCAAUUUUUGUUCCAACUUUAAAGUUAUAAUUUCAAGACCUCAAAUGAUCCAAAAACAUGUUUAAACUCCAAAGUUCUCAUAAUUAUCUCUAAGGCUUCUUAAGUACUCAACAAUGGUGGUAUGAACAUCCUUUAACCAAUUUUUAAUCCACCUUCUUUUCUAACUUACACUCUUCUAAGUUCAUCCCAACAUAAGCAUUGAACUAUCAUGAUCAAGCUUCAUCUCUUUCAGUUCCAAGCAUUCAUCUAUGAUUAUCUAAGGAUUUUUCUCAUCAAUUUUAACAUCGAAAAUGAAUGGGCUCAUGCUUAUCUAUUAUUUUAUGCUAUCAAUUAAACCAAAAUUCAAAGGAAACUUAUCAAUUUCUUGAAGAGCAACUCACGGCACCAUGAAACCUCCAUGAAAAUUUUCUUUUUCUUCUUUGUUCUUAAACCAUGGAGAAUGGAUGAGGAUGACCACAUAAUAAGCUUAUUCUCCCACCCACUAAGUAUAUAUAUACCUAAUUAAUCAAUUUAUUAACCUUUAAUAAUAAUCAUCCAAUGUUGGGAUUUAAGCAUGGCAAAUUGAGCGGAAAUGUAUGGCUUUUACCAUGCUUCUCCACUAAGUAAAUAAAUGAUGGUUUAUUUGUCAUUUUAAGGCAUUUGAUUAAUUUUUCAUCCAAUCCUCCAAACCUUGCUAGUGCAUAUUUAGAUCUUAUGCAUCAAUUACUAAUUUAUCAAUUUAAUCCCUUUAAUAAUUCUCGACAAUAUUUCAUAUCUACUUCAUUAACUUCUCGAUUAAUAAUAAAUUUUUGAAACGGCUUGAUCGAGAAAUCGAAUUAUUCCUAUCACAGCGAAAAAUAGAUCAUCAAACUAUUUUAAUUUGAUUUAUUAAUGUCUUUUCCAAAUUCGUAUUUAAUUAAUAAAUAUUCCACAAUAACCUUCAUUAAUUGAUAAUUUUUCCUUGUAUUAUAGGAGAUUUAUAAAUAUUCAUAUUGUAGCAUAAGUAAACUCAAUUUAAAGUGCACAAGGAAAUAGUCAAAUAUCUCAAACUUCAAGAGCCUUUAAUUAAGCCACAAUGUGUUCGCACACUCUAUUAACACUAGUGAAUUUCAUUAAUUAUAAUUUGAUCAUUAGAGUACUAGCUAAAAUUUUAUCCCAAGAUUCAAAUUGUCUUUCAAUAAAUCCUCGACAAUUUUGUGGUCUCUAACUCAAAAUUUUUUUACUUUUGUGAUAUUCGUAAAGAACAACUUCAGCAAGUAAUUCAUCUUUAUGAAUAGUCAUCACUAAUUAAAUCAUGCAUAUUAAAUUUGAUAUCAGAAAAGCUUACAAGUCGCAUCAUAAAUACAUAAUUGUGAUAUAUUUGAAUGGUUUUCCACCUCAGCAUAGGCUUAUUUUAGAGUAAAUUUGUAUGCAUUUUAGGGAAAAAUACCAAAAAAACCAAUUUUUUUUUAAAUUUACCGAAAUGGGCUCAGUAUUUUAUUAUUUACCGGAAUGGGCAUUUUCCCCGAAACCGCGUCCACGUCAGCACGAUGUCAAGGUACGUGCCAGGAAAUCGCGGCCACGUCAGCGCGCUUUGCUGACAUGGCAACAAAUCGCGUCCUCUAAAGCGCGAUUUGUGUCCACGUCAGCAAAACGCUCUGACGUGGACGCGAUUUCCUGGCACGUACCCUGACAUCGUGCUGAUGUGGAUGCAAUUUCGCCGUGUCUCCCACGUUAGGGUUUUUAGGGGUUUUAGGGCUUUUGGAGAAAAAAGUAAACAAAUAAGGGAUUAGGGUUAAGGGUUUCGUAAUUAAAUUAAUUAAAUUUUAUUCAAAAUUGGAUUACGUUUCGUGUUUAUGGGUUUUUAAGAUAAAAUCAAAGCAGGAUGAUUUAUCAGAAGGAUUUUUGAAGUCGCACCCACGUGUACGCGCUUUUGCUACAGUAGGUCUUGGGAAAAUAAUUUCGACUUGAUGUUUUUGAGCAAAUAGUUUAAAAAACAUUUCAAGCAGAAUGCUUUGUGAGAAGAAUUUGUGAAAUCGCGCCGUCGUGGACGCGCUUUUACUACAGUUGGUCCUAAAAGAAAUAAUUUCGAGUUGAUGUUUUUGAGCAAAUAGUUUAAAAAACGCUUCAAACAGGAUGCUUUAUAAUAAGAAUUUGUGAAGUCGUGCCCACGUGGAUGCGCUUUUGCUACAGUAGGUCCUAAAAAAAUAAUUUUGAGUUAACGUUUCUGAGCAAAUAAUAUAAAACAACGCUGCAAGUAGCAUGCUAUUUGAGAAGAAUUUGUGAAAUUGUGCCCUCGUGAACGUGCUUUUGCUACAGUUGGUCCUGGAAAAAUAAUUUUGACUUGACGUUUCUGAGCAAAUAGUAUAAAAUCGAUUCUAGAAGGAUGCUUUAUGAGAAGAAUUUGUGAAAUCACGCCCACGUGGACGCGCUUUUGCUACAGUAACAUGUUUGGGCUGAGGCUAUAAAUGAGGCAAAAAAUGUUCUGAGAUUGCAUAAGUCACAGCAAAAACAAUUUAGAGAGGCUAAGAAGGUUAGAGUUUCAAAUAUGAGUGAACGUAUUAGUGCUGUUAUUUACUACAGUGGUGAGGUUUGCCACACUGAGAAUGGUGUUGUUUUUUUGUCGAAGAAUACGGUGCGACUGGUUUUUAACCAAAACAUAGAUUUGACAGAACUUCGUAAAAGAAUUAGGCGUAAAAUUUUCGAAACGACGCCAAUGAAAGUUCUGUCUAUUACAUAUCGAUUUUGUUCCUCUGUUGAUCCGGUGACAUAUGACUCGUUCGACAUAAAAGGUGAUCGUAGCUUGGAGGCAAUUGUGCAGACUCAUCUUGCUAGUCGAGCACAUUAUAUUGAGUUAUAUGUACAAUUUACAUUGCCAAAUGAUGUACUUGCGACCAGUGUUCGAGAUGUAUACACGACCCCUGGCCAACAUUCGGUUAGCGGGUUAGAAAACACGAAACAGCCCAUGUUUGGUAGUGGUGUUGAAUGCACAUCCCCCGCAGGACCUCUGUCGGUGGAUGGGACAUGUACGUCGGUGGUUCGAUGUUUGAUGCUGGAAAUACGUACUGGGGAACGUCAUCAAGUUCUAGUGAUUAACAAUCUACAUCCAAUUGGGGACGUUAUGAAAUGCCCAGAAAAAAGGAUGAUGUACUCCCUACGACGUCAAUUGGUGAGGGGACCUCAUACGCUGCAGAUGAUUAUGGGUUAGAAGAUGACUCCGAUGUGGAUCUACCUCGAGAGCUCGGGCCUGAUGGUGUAGAAGUUGGCUUAUUUUCUGAACCGGAGUCUAUUCCAACAAAACUUGAAGAUGCUGAAAGGAGUUCAGAUGAAGAAGAAAAUCCACGAUUCAGAGCAUACUCACCUUCAGCCCACAUGCAUAAUGUCGAUCUGUCUGCAGAUGAUACAUUAGAGUUUCCAGAUCUACCACACUGGUUGCGUGAUCGUACCAGUUCAGGGCUAGAUUCAGGUGAAUUUUAAGUUGGUAAUCAGUUUACCAACAAGGAUAGUUUUAUUGGUGUUUUGAAACAACAUAGCAUCAAAAAAUGCGUUAACUACCACGUCGUUAAAUCCAAAUCUGAUAAGUUUGAAGCGAAAUGUACGGUGCAAUAUGGCACAUGUUCAUGGAAAAUCUACGCUUCGUUAAGGAAAAAGACAGGGUUGUGGGAGAUUAAAAAGUACAAAGGUCCACAUACAUGUGCUGCAGGUACAAUAUUGACGGUAUCUGAAUAAUACUUUUAUUAUGUAAUGUUGCAUUAUUUAAUGUAAUCCGUUUAUAGGUGUUUCACAAAAUCAUCCGAAGAUGGAUUCAGCUAUGUUAGCUAGCUUGAUACUGCCCACGGUAAAAGCAGAUUCCAGGAUUUUAGUACCGGUGUUAAUUGCCAAUAUUCGUAGCCAAAUGGGGUACACGCCCUCUUACCGUAAGGCUUGGAUAGCUAAGAAAAAGGCGUUGAAGAAGAUGCAUAGUUGGUGAGACGCCUCAUAUACUGAAAUAUGACAGUGGUGUCAAGUGCUAGAGAGAUACGUCCAAGGUGCCUCACAGACCUUGAAACGGAACAUGCGUACUACAACGGCCAAUUGCUACGUGGAUGCCAAGUGUUCAAACGUCUGUUUUGGACCUUUAAGUAAUGCCAAGACGCAUUUCCAAGCUGCAAGACAUUGGUACAAAUUGACAGUACCUUUAUGUUUGGUAGGUAUACUCAUCGGCUAUUGCUUGCAGUGGUACAGGAUAGCGGUGGGAGAAUUCUUCCAAUUGCAUUUGCAAUAACACCGGGGGAGUCGUCUGAUGACUAGGAUUUCUUUCUCUCUAGGUUAAGGAGGCAUGUGUGCCUCCAACCUGAUAUCUGUGUUAUUUCAGAUCGGGGCACCGGUAUACUAGUUGCAUUUGAUCGACAGGGAAGCUUAUGGCAGUGCACACACCAUCGAUAUUGCGUAAGACACGUUGCUUCCAACUACUACAGGCAAUACCCAUCUAAGAGCGAACGACGACAAGUGACCAACAUGGGUAUUUAGUCUAUAUCUGUGUUAUUUCGUUUCUCAAUUUGAAUUAGUUUUAUUAGUAGAAGUUGUAUGUAAUAUUCGCUAUGAACUUAUAUUGGCAGGGUAUGAAAUAAAUAAAUAUCGUUUCCACGAGAUGUUGGCAACUUUACGUUCAAUUAACGGAGAAGGGGCAGACUACCUUUGUAACAUACGUUUCGAACAGUAGGCACAAGCAUACGACGGCGGCCUACGAUAUGGCCAUAUGACGUCAAACCUGGCUGAAUGCAUAAAUUCUAUUCUUAAAGGAACAUAUUUUCGUUCAGCGACGCUAUUUCCAAAGCGAGCAGCAAGUUAUGCAGGCCAGAUGCAGGGAGGACAUGUAUGGUGCAGUAAGGUAGUUUAAGAAAUUAACAAGGCCAAGGCGCAGGCAAACACCAUGCACACAGUGUGUCACGAUCGAGACAACUUAUGGUUUCACGUGACAGAGUUUGACAGACCGCACCAAGGUGUUGUUGGCGGACAAUAUCGUGUACACUUGCGAAAUAGGACUUACAACUGUGGGAUGUUUGAUGCACUUCGUUAUCCAUGCGCUCAUGUUAUUGCAGCUUGUCAGAAUCUCCGUCUAGAUCCGAUAAAUUGUGUGGACGAAGUGUACAAAUUAGAAAACAUGUACAACGUCUGGAGACUCGUUUUUCCACUGGUCCCAGAUGAACGUAAGUGGCCCCCCGUAUCUCUUUCUCAUUUUAAGCUGUUACCGGAUAGAGAAUUACGUCGUAAACCAGAGGGUCGACCUUGCUCGACUAGAAUACAUAACAAUAUGGAUAUCCGAGAAACAGUCAAUCAACAUAAGUUGUGCAGAUGGUGUAGGAAUCCAGGCCAUACAAGUCGAUCAUGCCCUAAUCGCAAUAGUUGAAUGUAAUUUUUUUAAAAAAAAUUAUAUUUUUUCAAUUAUUAACUGAUAAUUGUAUUAAUUGUUAGUAAAAUUAUCAAAUUAUAUCAAAUAAUUAAUUGUUAGUAUCAGUCAAAACAUUUUUUCAAAUCUAACAUUAUGUGAAUAUAAAAUUAUUAACUGAUAAUUGUAUUAAUAUUAGUAAAAUUAUCAAAUUAUAUUUAAGUUAAGGGUUAGGGUUUUUAAGUUAAGGGUUAAGGGUUAAGGAUUUUAAAGUUAAGGGUCUAGGGUUUUAAAGUUAAGGGUUUAGGGUUUUUAGGUUAAGGGUUAGGGUUUUUAGGUUUAGGGUUUAUGGUUUUUAAUUUAAGGGUUAUGGUUUUUAAGUUAAAGGUCUAGGGUUUUAAAGUUAAGGGUCUAUGGUUUUAAAGUUAAGGGUUAGGGUUUUUAGGUUAAGGGUUUAGGGUUUUUAAGUUAAGGGUUAGGGUUUUUAAGUUAAGGGUUUAUGGUUUUAAAGUUAAGGGUCUAUGGUUUUAAAGUUAAGGUUUAAGGUUUUUAGGUUAAGGGUUAUGGUUUUUAGGUUAAGGUUUAGGGUUUUUAAUUUAAGGGUUAGGGUUUUUAAGUUAAAGUUUAGGGUUUUCAGGUUAAGGGUUAGGGUUUUUAGGUUAAGGUUUAGGGUUUAGGGUUUUUAAUUUAAUGAUUAUGAUUUUUAAGUUAAGCGUUUAGGGUUUUUAAGUUAAGGGUCUAAGGUUUUAAAGUUAAGGUUUAGGGUUUUCAGGUUAAGGGUUAGGGUUUUUAGGUUAAAUGUUUAGGGUUUUAAUUUAAGGGUUAAGGUUUUUAAGUUAAGGGUUUAGGGUUUUUAAGUUAAGGGUCUAUGGUUUUAAAGUUAAGGUUUAUGGUUUUUAGGUUAAGGGUUAGGGUUUUUAGGUUAAGGGUUUAAGGUUUUUAAGUUAAGGGUUUAGGGUUUAAAAGUUAAGGUUUAGGGUUUUUGGGUUAAGAGUUAGGGUUUUAGGUUAAGGGUUUAGGGUUUUUAAUUUAAGGGUUAGGGUUUUUAAGUUAAGGGUUUAUGGUUUCUAAGUUAAGGGUCUAUGGUUUAAAAGUUAAAGUUUAGGGUUUUUAGGUUAAGGGUUAGGGUUUUAUGUUAAAGAUUUAGGGUUUUAAAUUUAAGGAUUAGUGUUUUUAAGUUAAGGGUUUAGGGUUUUAAGUUAAGGGUCUAAGGUUUUAAACUUAAGGGUUAUGGUUUUUAGGUUUAGGGGUUAUGGUUUUUAAUUUAAGGGUUUAUGGUUUUUAAUUUAAGGGUUUAGGGUUUUUAAUUUAAAAGUUUAGGGUUUUUUAAGUUAAGGGUUUAAGGUUUUAAGGUUAAGGGUUAAGGUUUUUAGGUUAAGGGGUUAGGGUUUUAAAGUUAAUGGUUAGGGUUUUUAGGUUAAUGGUUUAGGGUUUUAAAGUUAAAGGUUAAUGAGUUAGGGUUUUUUGGUUAAGGGUUUAAGGUUUGUUAAUUAAAUUAUGCAUUUAAUUAUAAAUUAUAAAUUUAUAAAUUUUUAAUAAGUUAAGCGUUUAGGGUUUUUAAGUAGUAACUCAAAAAAAUUUCUAUUUUUAUUACAUCAAAAAAUAUCAAAAUAUUCAAAAUAUUUGUACAAAUAAAUUUAAAUACAAAAAUCAAUGUCUAUGCCCGCGGGAUUCAGUGCCACAUGGCAGCCGUCGACAGUUACGCGCUGGAUUCCUCCUUGUCCAGCUUUUGGCGGCGAUUAUAGUUCUUCCGGCGGCGGUUGUGGUUCUUCCGGCGGGGAUUCUGGUUCUUCCAGUAGGGCAUCUGGUUGUCGGAGUUGUGACGAUGAGCCACCUUGAUAGAAUUGUGAAUGUGGAGGUGUUUGCAUCACCAACGGCAACGGUGUUUGAAACCCAUACGGUGGUGGGGAUUGGUAAAAAGAAGAGCUCCCCGACGGCCCCUCUUGCGAUCCCUCGUGCGUCGCUGGCCUAUACAUCGGCGGUCGACUCGGCGUAACAGAAAUAGAGCUGAACCGGGCCAUUGGCUCCAACCUGCCAUAGGACUCGAAAAAGGAAACAUAUAAGGGUUAGGAUACAUAAAAGGGCUAGGAAACGCACCUGGCAUCAUCUGAAAAGGCGGUUGCGUGGGUAUCAUUGGUUGAACUGCUGGGUCGGGUGAAUGUCUGGGAGUCGUUGAAGGGCCAGCGUCGUCGUCCUGUCGUCUUGGAUUUAAAGGAUCGCGUCUUUCCCUUUGGACACGUAAUUGCCGCUGCCUCUCCUCUAGCGAUAGUAAAUACGGCUUGCCAUGGAUCCUAAACCAUGGCAUGCAUUCCGGCAUGCACGCUAACUCCGGAACGAUGAUCGGUUCCAUACUAGGUAUAUAGUCAUACCGAUCUUCCCACAUUUGGAUGUACUUGAACCAGAAUCUCGGCCAAUCCGUAUUCAAUUACCGAAGGUCGAUUUUGUGGUGAUCGUCAAACAUCUCAAGUUCCAUGGAAAUCGGUUGUCUACAUCCAAAUUGCCAUAACACCCUGUCUGACUGGUGCAUCUCCACGGUCGCGUAGUUGAUCAACGCGACUUUCGCCUGCCAAGCGUUUGGAUUUUGUAAGAACUCUUUCGGAAUUACUGCCCAAAUUGCCGGAUCCUCAUAUGGUGUCCAUUGAAACUAUAUGAAAAUGAUAGAAAUAUUAAUUAUAUACAUAAUACUAAAUACUAAAUACCAAUCGACUAGCGAAUGAUGGAAAUAUCAAUUUUAUUUAAUACUUACAUGUGCUUCCGACUAUUGGUCUAAUAGAAGCCGUAUAUCUUCAAGAGAGGUAGGUAAUCGAGCAUGACUUGCCGGAUGGUUCCACCUAAUUAAAUAAAUUUUUAGCAUACUUUUAUUUUUAAAAAUCUACAUAAUAAUUGUAAAAUCUAAUAUAAAAUUUACCUCGUUAUCAGUGGGAAUGUAUAUGGGUGGUCCACUCGAGGAUGUAGAAAUGAAAAGCGAAACCGUGCCCAUGAUUGCAGUAGGGACAGGCAACCUCCGAUUUUUGCUUUCCUCGGUCGCAUCGCCCCGUACAUCUCCUUAUAUAACGUUGUCAAGACGGCAGACCCCCAACUUAAUUCACCAGCUGCUCUAAAAUCAACGAGUUGCAGCAGCCAUCUUAGAUGUACGCGGCUCCGUGACAAGUCAGGCAUCAGAUAACCUCCAAUUAACUGAAGAAUGCAUGCCCGAGCAUAUCGGAUUCUUUCUAUUUCGGUUGAAUCUUCAUCCGGAUCCGGGAAUGUGUCUCGAAACCAGCCCAUCUCGAUCUUACCUCCCUCCAUUUUCUCCAGAAUAGCGCCCAAAAGCUCGUAGCACACCGCAAGCCAAUCGCUAGAUUGGGUAGACCCGGUGACUGGGUACCCGUCCACCGGCAAUCCCAAUUGUAGACUGACAUCUUCCAAAGUGAUAGUGCACUCUCUACAUCUUAAAUAAUAUUUAAAAAUUAAAUUUAACGCUUACCAUUUUCAUUUGUUCCACCGAUAUGUGAUGCUUAUCAAGACGAGUCAAUUCUUCGGCCAUUGCUGAAAUCGUACAAAUUUUUAAUGUUUAAAAAAAUUUUAAAAAAGUAAAAUUAUUUAAAAAAAGAGAUUUAAAAGAAAUUUAAGAGGAACUUGGGAGUAAAUUGAAAAUAAAUAUGAAUUUGAGAGAAAUUUUAAAGGAAUUUGAAAGCAAAAGAGUGGGGGUAUUUAUAGUUUUUUUUUUACCGUUCGGGGGGGCAAUGGUCAAUUUUUUGACCGUUGCACUGUUCACGUACGGGGCAAAUCGCAACCACGUCAGCGCGAUUUGCUGACGUGGACACAAAUCGCAUCCUCUGAAGCAGAAUUUGUUGCCACGUCAACGCGCUAUUUGCUGGCACAUACCCUGACAUCGCGCUGACGUGGACGCAAUUUCGAGAAAAAAUGGCCAUUUCGGUAAAUAAUAAAAUACCGGGCCCAUUUCGAUAAAUUUAAAAAAAAAUAGACUUUUUUUAGUAAAUUGCCCUACGUUUUAGUCUUGUUACAAUAUCCAAGUCUAAUGCCAAUAUUGAAGUAUACCGUAAUAGUAAUUAUUCUCUCUAUCUAGUACUCGAAACUGGUUUUAAAUAUCUUCCAUUCACUCGACAAAUAGUUAUGGUCUAAAUAAAUUUCUGGAAUUCAUGGCUGCCUACUUGCGAGAGGAUUAAUGAAAUAUGCGAUGCAAGUUGAUGAAAUCUUAUUAUUUGUAAUAUAAAAAACAAAACCCAUGCAUCCUUAAUAACAUAAAAAAAACACAUUCCAUAAUCAACAUCUGAGAAUUUAAAACUUAAUUGUAAUGUUGGCUGAACAAGACUCAAAAAGGGGAGAAAAGAAAAAUAAGUCCGAACCUGAAAAAAGUGACCGUAUAAAAAACCCUGACAGGCAGAACAGUAGCAAGCAACAUAAAACCAAGACAUAUUAUCACUUAAAGCACUUGGCAUCCAAGAGAGGCUCUCCCUCAAAUGGCUCGCAGUCUUCAAUCAUCUGAUUCACCCGUUCCUUCUGGGCUGCAUCUGACAGGUCAACCUUCUUCCACUCGUAGAGUUCCAUGUCAUAGCACUCGUCAAUCACAAAUUGAGGAAUCUCUUGCCCACGGAAAAGCCAUAGUCCUUUCACCUUGAAUGGAGGGUUAGCACCGAUCACCAACAUCUUCCCAAAUGCAUACUUGCGGGCCAAAUCCAUUCUCUGCAGGAAUCCUCCAACCUUGUUCAUUGUGACAAAUGAAACUGUAUUCUCCUCAUUGUACUUGUAGUCACAAAACCACAGUGAGUAUCCCUCGGGAUCAUACAUGUCCCAGAAUCCUGACACGAAUCAAGUAUCAGAUAUCACAAGCCCAAACAUUGCUUUUAAAAGGGAGUGCUACUGUGAAAACAACAGGGAUACCUUUAAUUGCAACCUCUCGGAAAUUGGUCUUUGUGUUAGAGUAAAGCCUCUUCCAGUCAUCCAGUACCAUCUUACUUGGAGGCAGCAAAUCAAGAGGAUUCUUUGGUUUGGGCUUUGGUGCCUCCUCCUCAGCUGCCUCUGCCUUUGCUGCCUGUUUCUCAACCUCCUUUUUGGCUUCUUUCUUUGGUUCAGCCUUUGGUUUAGUUUCUUUUGGCUGGGCAGCAGGCUUCUUUGAAGGAACAGGUGGUAGAGAGACUGCCUGCUUCACUUCACCAAGAAUCUUCUUGAUUUUUGGUUGAUUAACCAAGGUCCAAAAGUACCUCUCAACAUGAGGGAACUCCGAGGUAAAACUCUUAGUCAUGAUCUGGGAGAAACCCAAGUAGAGGUUACAUGUCAUGAUAAUGUCAGCAAGGGUGACAAAAUGUCCAACAAGAAAUGUGUUGGAAGCAAGAUGAGUGUUCAAAGCGCCAAGGGCUCUCUUCAAUGCAGCAAUAGCAGCUUCCUCAGCCUACAUGCAAAAUACAUAUAAGAGAUUAAAAUGAAAUAGGUAGGCAAAAUCAUACCAUUGAAUUAAAAUGAACUACUACUGAAUUACAAAAAUAAAAUUUAACUCUUAAUAUAGAUUAAUAAAUACAUCAGAAUGGGGGAGAAAACAACCUAGUCUCUUAAAAAAAUAAUGAGGAGAAAACCCAUGCCUACUUGAUUAUCAAUGCAAUGGGCAUUCCCUUCAACCAAAAUUACUUAAUAGUGCUUGAGUUGAUUCCUUUCCAGAAACUAUGCAGGGGAAAACACUACCACAUUAAGCAUGUACUAAAUGUUGUCUAACUAAUCCUCUCUAAAAUAAAUAAAACAAGAAUCAUAGACAGGUAAUCAAUGCCAAUUUUCC